UGUGUUUGAGUUAAUAAGUUGACUUGCUCUGAACCAAUUCUGUGUGGGAAUGCAGGUGGAGUGUCGCGCCUUGGACUUCAGCGAUUGUGGGACACCGGGGAAAGCAAAAGUAUCCUCGGCUUCUCCAGGCGGCUACUCGAGCCCCUCAUCUUACCUUCUGAAGAGUUGCAGAUAGAAAAGGCUGCGUUUGUUGUUGAUAGAGCUCUGAAGGGACAUUCAUUCUCCCCUUCAAUUUUUUUGAUCAUCCCAUAUAUGUACUGUAUGUCUUAUUUUCAUCUCCUCUCAUUAAAUUUUUUCUUCUUUGUAAUGUGUGUAGAUCUUUCAACUCUGGACAUGAUACACUUGCUUAAAUAGCGAAAAAAAGAUAUUUGUUCUCAAUAAAUUAACUUUUACAUUGUAUGAAUUUCAAACACUGUUGAACGUCAUUUUUUGGCUUACUUUAAUGUGAAUAUAUGAAGGUUACUGUACGGUCAAAAGAUAUUUGUUCUCAAUAAAUUAACUUUUACAUUGUAUGAAUUUCAAACACUGUUGAACGUCAUUUUUUGGCUUACUUUAAUGUGAAUAUAUGAAGGUUACUGUACGGUCAAAAUGUACAGUUAGGCCUACACUCCAACUUCAAGAUUCCGAAACCAAUGUAAAAGAUCAAAACAGACGGUGGACUGACCAAACCCAGUUUUGAUGAUACACUGUAUGUAUAUCUACAACCUCAACACUCCUACUGGCUACUUGCUCUGAUUUAUCUUCUGGAUCCACAAUCAUCUCAUGAUCAGUCCAAGGCAAAAAUUUGGUGAGCUCAGUCUCUGAAGAAACCAUCUCUUGAGGUGACUAUCUGUCUUUGUUACCAUCAUACCAAAUACUUCUUCUCAAGAAUCAUGAUCUUUGCCGGCUAGAAAGAGUAUGCGCUGUUACAUUGGGAACUUCAUUGUAAUACUAAGGUUCGUCUUCUUCAUCAGAUGAUAACAAAGAUUACCCAUCCAUGCUUUAAACCCUUGGUUCACUCGUCUUUCGACAUCUGGUNNNNNNNNNNNNNNNNNNNNNNNNNNNNNNNNNNNNNNNNNNNNNNNNNNNNNNNNNNNNNNNNNNNNNNNNNNNNNNNNNNNNNNNNNNNNNNNNNNNNNNNNNNNNNNNNNNNNNNNNNNNNNNNNNNNNNNNNNNNNNNNNNNNNNNNNNNNNNNNNNNNNNNNNNNNNNNNNNNNNNNNNNNNNNNNNNNNNNNNNNNNNNNNNNNNNNNNNNNNNNNNNNNNNNNNNNNNNNNNNNNNNNNNNNNNNNNNNNNNNNNNNNNNNNNNNNNNNNNNNNNNNNNNNNNNNNNNNNNNNNNNNNNNNNNNNNNNNNNNNNNNNNNNNNNNNNNNNNNNNNNNNNNNNNNNNNNNNNNNNNNNNNNNNNNNNNNNNNNNNNNNNNNNNNNNNNNNNNNNNNNNNNNNNNNNNNNNNNNNNNNNNNNNNNNNNNNNNNNNNNNNNNNNNNNNNNNNNNNNNNNNNNNNNNNNNNNNNNNNNNNNNNNNNNNNNNNNNNNNNNNNNNNNNNNNNNNNNNNNNNNNNNNNNNNNNNNNNNNNNNNNNNNNNNNNNNNNNNNNNNNNNNNNNNNNNNNNNNNNNNNNNNNNNNNNNNNNNNNNNNNNNNNNNNNNNNNNNNNNNNNNNNNNNNNNNNNNNNNNNNNNNNNNNNNNNNNNNNNNNNNNNNNNNNNNNNNNNNNNNNNNNNNNNNNNNNNNNNNNNNNNNNNNNNNNNNNNNNNNNNNNNNNNNNNNNNNNNNNNNNNNNNNNNNNNNNNNNNNNNNNNNNNNNNNNNNNNNNNNNNNNNNNNNNNNNNNNNNNNNNNNNNNNNNNNNNNNNNNNNNNNNNNNNNNNNNNNNNNNNNNNNNNNNNNNNNNNNNNNNNNNNNNNNNNNNNNNNNNNNNNNNNNNNNNNNNNNNNNNNNNNNNNNNNNNNNNNNNNNNNNNNNNNNNNNNNNNNNNNNNNNNNNNNNNNNNNNNNNNNNNNNNNNNNNNNNNNNNNNNNNNNNNNNNNNNNNNNNNNNNNNNNNNNNNNNNNNNNNNNNNNNNNNNNNNNNNNNNNNNNNNNNNNNNNNNNNNNNNNNNNNNNNNNNNNNNNNNNNNNNNNNNNNNNNNNNNNNNNNNNNNNNNNNNNNNNNNNNNNNNNNNNNNNNNNNNNNNNNNNNNNNNNNNNNNNNNNNNNNNNNNNNNNNNNNNNNNNNNNNNNNNNNNNNNNNNNNNNNNNNNNNNNNNNNNNNNNNNNNNNNNNNNNNNNNNNNNNNNNNNNNNNNNNNNNNNNNNNNNNNNNNNNNNNNNNNNNNNNNNNNNNNNNNNNNNNNNNNNNNNNNNNNNNNNNNNNNNNNNNNNNNNNNNNNNNNNNNNNNNNNNNNNNNNNNNNNNNNNNNNNNNNNNNNNNNNNNNNNNNNNNNNNNNNNNNNNNNNNNNNNNNNNNNNNNNNNNNNNNNNNNNNNNNNNNNNNNNNNNNNNNNNNNNNNNNNNNNNNNNNNNNNNNNNNNNNNNNNNNNNNNNNNNNNNNNNNNNNNNNNNNNNNNNNNNNNNNNNNNNNNNNNNNNNNNNNNNNNNNNNNNNNNNNNNNNNNNNNNNNNNNNNNNNNNNNNNNNNNNNNNNNNNNNNNNNNNNNNNNNNNNNNNNNNNNNNNNNNNNNNNNNNNNNNNNNNNNNNNNNNNNNNNNNNNNNNNNNNNNNNNNNNNNNNNNNNNNNNNNNNNNNNNNNNNNNNNNNNNNNNNNNNNNNNNNNNNNNNNNNNNNNNNNNNNNNNNNNNNNNNNNNNNNNNNNNNNNNNNNNNNNNNNNNNNNNNNNNNNNNNNNNNNNNNNNNNNNNNNNNNNNNNNNNNNNNNNNNNNNNNNNNNNNNNNNNNNNNNNNNNNNNNNNNNNNNNNNNNNNNNNNNNNNNNNNNNNNNNNNNNNNNNNNNNNNNNNNNNNNNNNNNNNNNNNNNNNNNNNNNNNNNNNNNNNNNNNNNNNNNNNNNNNNNNNNNNNNNNNNNNNNNNNNNNNNNNNNNNNNNNNNNNNNNNNNNNNNNNNNNNNNNNNNNNNNNNNNNNNNNNNNNNNNNNNNNNNNNNNNNNNNNNNNNNNNNNNNNNNNNNNNNNNNNNNNNNNNNNNNNNNNNNNNNNNNNNNNNNNNNNNNNNNNNNNNNNNNNNNNNNNNNNNNNNNNNNNNNNNNNNNNNNNNNNNNNNNNNNNNNNNNNNNNNNNNNNNNNNNNNNNNNNNNNNNNNNNNNNNNNNNNNNNNNNNNNNNNNNNNNNNNNNNNNNNNNNNNNNNNNNNNNNNNNNNNNNNNNNNNNNNNNNNNNNNNNNNNNNNNNNNNNNNNNNNNNNNNNNNNNNNNNNNNNNNNNNNNNNNNNNNNNNNNNNNNNNNNNNNNNNNNNNNNNNNNNNNNNNNNNNNNNNNNNNNNNNNNNNNNNNNNNNNNNNNNNNNNNNNNNNNNNNNNNNNNNNNNNNNNNNNNNNNNNNNNNNNNNNNNNNNNNNNNNNNNNNNNNNNNNNNNNNNNNNNNNNNNNNNNNNNNNNNNNNNNNNNNNNNNNNNNNNNNNNNNNNNNNNNNNNNNNNNNNNNNNNNNNNNNNNNNNNNNNNNNNNNNNNNNNNNNNNNNNNNNNNNNNNNNNNNNNNNNNNNNNNNNNNNNNNNNNNNNNNNNNNNNNNNNNNNNNNNNNNNNNNNNNNNNNNNNNNNNNNNNNNNNNNNNNNNNNNNNNNNNNNNNNNNNNNNNNNNNNNNNNNNNNNNNNNNNNNNNNNNNNNNNNNNNNNNNNNNNNNNNNNNNNNNNNNNNNNNNNNNNNNNNNNNNNNNNNNNNNNNNNNNNNNNNNNNNNNNNNNNNNNNNNNNNNNNNNNNNNNNNNNNNNNNNNNNNNNNNNNNNNNNNNNNNNNNNNNNNNNNNNNNNNNNNNNNNNNNNNNNNNNNNNNNNNNNNNNNNNNNNNNNNNNNNNNNNNNNNNNNNNNNNNNNNNNNNNNNNNNNNNNNNNNNNNNNNNNNNNNNNNNNNNNNNNNNNNNNNNNNNNNNNNNNNNNNNNNNNNNNNNNNNNNNNNNNNNNNNNNNNNNNNNNNNNNNNNNNNNNNNNNNNNNNNNNNNNNNNNNNNNNNNNNNNNNNNNNNNNNNNNNNNNNNNNNNNNNNNNNNNNNNNNNNNNNNNNNNNNNNNNNNNNNNNNNNNNNNNNNNNNNNNNNNNNNNNNNNNNNNNNNNNNNNNNNNNNNNNNNNNNNNNNNNNNNNNNNNNNNNNNNNNNNNNNNNNNNNNNNNNNNNNNNNNNNNNNNNNNNNNNNNNNNNNNNNNNNNNNNNNNNNNNNNNNNNNNNNNNNNNNNNNNNNNNNNNNNNNNNNNNNNNNNNNNNNNNNNNNNNNNNNNNNNNNNNNNNNNNNNNNNNNNNNNNNNNNNNNNNNNNNNNNNNNNNNNNNNNNNNNNNNNNNNNNNNNNNNNNNNNNNNNNNNNNNNNNNNNNNNNNNNNNNNNNNNNNNNNNNNNNNNNNNNNNNNNNNNNNNNNNNNNNNNNNNNNNNNNAGCAUUGCCUUUUUAGCUUCGCUUUUUGCGGAAAACGUGGCUCCGUUUUUGGUAGUGGCUCCCAGUUCCACUCUGCGGAACUGGGAGAUAGGAUUCGCCACAUGGGCACCACAGAUGAAUGUGGUAUGUACGCAGUUGUGAACACAUCAUGUUUGGUAUGUUUAUUAAUUGAUUAAUAAAUGAUGCUCAUAUUUUUUGGUUAACGGUUCAGGUUGUGUACGGUGGUACUUCUCAAGCUCGUACUGUUAUUGUACAGCACGAGUUUUACUUAUCAAGGGGUCGUAUGAAUGGAGUCCGUGGAGAAACCAACAGAAUUAAGUUUGAUGUCAUCCUCACGUCUUAUGAGAUACUUGACGUAGACACAGCAGUCCUAAAACCAAUCAAGUGGAAAUGCACGGUACUUCUUUCUUAUUAUAAUGGUACUAUACGUUUCAUGUCUUUCUUUAAAUAUCAUAUGUUUCGUAUUGUUAUUUUUCCUUGGUUAGAUUGUUGAUGACGGCCAUCGGUUGGAAAAUGAGAAUCCAAAGCUGUUCUAUUCGCUGAAGCAGUUUACGUGUGAGAAUCACGUUCUUUUAACAGGAAGACCACUUCGGGUUCGUUUGGUGAUUUUGGCAAAAGUUAUCUUGUGUGCAUGCAUAUACAUUUUUCUGCAAUUAAGAUUUUGAUAUAUAUAUUUAGUGGCAUUAUUUCUGCAAAUAUGUUACCUCUUUAAGCUAUUUCGUGUUCUAUUAGGUGGUAAAUUCUGAGCAACAAGCUGAGCAGCUCAGUGCUCUUGGAAAGAGGAAGAGAAACCGUAAGCAGGUAUACUCUUUUUGAUUCCACCAGUCCAAAAUCCAAAUUAUAUGUAUGCAUGUAGCAUCAGGUGAUAAUGAUUUGUCAUUAUAUAUCCUUUUUGUCUGUUAUGCAUAAAUUUCUUUCAUGUCUCUCUUCAUUUUUGGACUGCUUAGGGAGAUCAUAUCUUUUAGAAAACGUGUUUUAUUCCUCUUCUUGUUACUUCCGCUAGAUUGUUGAAAAAGAAUCUGAACCAACUGAUGGUGAAGCAGCUAGACAGGGAAACAAGAAGACUAGAAGGACUUAUCACCGUAGAAGGACUCACCGUACUAUAACCUUUUCAUUAAUUAUGUUUCCCAAAUAAAUGUUACAAAGAUUCCCAAUUAAUUUUUUUUUUUGGUUGUAAGUUUGUUCGGGGCCAAGACCUUUGAUAGAAGGCCAAGGGAAAUCUCUGAGGGUGUUAGGCUUUAGAAAGAGCCAAAGGAAGACUUUCUUAGAUACGUUGAUGAGGUAUAUCUUAUUUCUCAUUGGAACAGGAUUUGAGAUUUAGGGAGUUAUAAAUAUUUUUAAGUUAAUCUUAAUAAUAAAAAAAAUCUAUAAUUUAGGGAUUAUGCAAUCAUAUAUAGCUCAAUAAAAUUUGGAGGUUAAAACGAAUGUUUCAUCCUAUGUCUUAAACCGGCCUUGUUUCAAAUAAAGUCUCUCAGUGUCUGCGCACAAGUUUGUGCCUUCAUGAGUUGCCAUAUGGUUUCCACAUUUUAAUUUGAUUAAUAAUUUGCAGGUAUGGAGUUGGAAACUAUGAUUGGAAGGAGUUUGUUUAUCCUUUAAUGUGGAAGACCUAUGAUGAAAUAAACAAGUAAGGCCAUUGAUGCUCUUCUCUUCACCUGCUUCACAAAAAACUUCUCAUUCAUUCUUUGAAAAUAUAUAUGUUCUUAUCACCUACUUUUCUAUUUUGUUGUUUCUCAGUUAUGGAAAAUUUUUCCUGGAGCACAUCAUCAAAGACACUCAAGAUACUAAUCCUCCAACCUUUUCAGGUGAUUGAUAACUUAUCCUUUCAUUUUCUUGUUGCCAAUUUUAGAUAUUUCUAUUGCUUUUUCUGCUAUCUUAGUUAAUGUAUUACUGCAAUGAUCUCUGUAGAUAUGGCCCCAAAGAUAGGACUAACUCGUGACAAAGUACUUGCCAGAAUUACUGUUAUGAUGCUACUACAAGAGAAGGUAAGUCUACAGACUGAAACCCUUUUAAUUUUUAGAAUAUCUUAGUUGUCAUCUUCUAGGAUCAAUGCACAGUUUUGCUUCAUGAAGUUGAGGUGUCUGUAUAUGUGGAUUGCUAUCAAUGUGGUUGUUUAAAAAAUGUUAUCAUUAUGUUAGCUAGGGCUAGUGAUGUGCUCACAACUGUCUAGAAACCAACACUUAAAACAAAAUAACAUUCGGUAUAUUCUGUGGUAUACCUCUUGGUUAUUUUUGCUUCAUUUUCACUCUUUACGAUGACUUAAUACACAAGUAGAGGGACCUGCCUGUCCCUAUCUUUUGGUUCACUCAUUUUUGUCUGUGCUUAACUCUCACUGUUUGAUUGACAGGUGAAACUUAUAGAAAACCAUCCAACUAAAGCUGUUUUCCCUGACCAUAUUAUCGGAAGAUUUGCUGCACUAAAAAAUGAAAAAAAUUGGAACAAGGAACAUGACAAGUUACUGUUGCGUGCUGUUUCUAAGUAAGAGCCUUGCAAAGAGGAUCCUUACCUUAACAAAAAACAUAUUUCUCAUAUGUUGUUUCCCUUCUUGAUAAAUGUAGGCACGGGUUUGGGAAAUGGAUAGACAUUGUUAAAGACAAAGAGUUCGAGCUGGAACAACUCAUCUGCAAAGCACUGAAGGUCCCUGUUGAAAAUUUGAUUCGUACUGAUCCAGACCAGAAAGAUCCGCACAGACAACUUGCUGACUAUUUGAGAAAACGAUUUGAAAUUCUGGAGAAUGCAAUGAGUGAUGAGUGUGCUGAAACUUACUACCGUGUAAGUAUCUUUUAUCCUGACUCACUUUACAUGUUGAUGCAGCAUUGGUUGCAGCAAAUUCUUGAUCUAAUGCCUAUGACUGAUCCCCAGUGUAUCUUUUGUGAUCAGAAUGGGAUAAGAACUGAUGAACAUCCUUUACUGGAUAUUGCCAUUGCCGACAUAAGGAGGAGGGUAAGUGUCAUGUGAAGAUAUGGUGAUGUUGAGAAGGACUCAGAAGAGAGCUGCAGAAGAUGUUACUGUUAAUAUAAGUUGAGGUCAUUGUAUCGGAUUGUUUUGAACCUAGAACCAAAACAUAGCUGAUAUGUUUUGGAGUUAUUGUUACUUUUAUUAGCCUAUUAUUUGGGAUUUGACUGGAUUUUUAUUUGGGAUGUGGCUGGAUUGUUACUUUUAUUAACUAUAUAUUAUUGGGGAUUUGACUGAAUAUUUACUUUGCUUAUAUUUAUCUUCCAUCCAAAUAUUUUCGAAAUUGAAGUUAUUAUAAUAUAUAUAGUUAGCCGAAAUAAGGUUAUGAUUGAUCAAAUUAUUUUCACUGAAACUACUUUUCUUGAUCAGAUAUGCUGCACAACUUGAAAAGAACUCCAAAUUGAUAGCAUCAAGCAUUUAAGCUCAGAACAAAAGCUGAUUCACUAAUCUCUCUUAUUUUAUUUCAUUUUUCAUCCUUACAUGUAAUUCAUCUUCUUUUAGUAAACCAAAUAACUGCCUAUAUAUGAGCUCUCUCACAACUCAAGGCACACAUAUCUUUACAUGUUUUAACUAAUGAUUUGAUUUCUACUUGAGAUUUGCAUGGAAAGAAAAUUCCCCCCUCCCUGAUCACCAUAUAAAUUUGUUCGCAUUAUUUUGAUAAUGUUCAAUUUAGCAUCCUUGGAUGAGAUGAAAGACUGCGUUAUCACUACGUAAUAUACAUAUUAGUAUUAUACUAUACUAUUAUACACAUACAUACAUACAUACAUACAAAAGGUGUAAUAAUGUUUUGAUCAUAUAGAUAUUAAUUAGAAAAGGAGAAAAGAGAAAAAAAAGAGCGGAGUAGCAGAAAACAAGGAAGCUGGUGGGAAAGAGGAGACAAAAGAGAAAGGCUUUAACUCCACGCCUUGCUCCAGCUUCCAAACAUAUACCAACUUCUCCACGAUCCUUUUCCACUUUACACGUUGUAUAUAUAUACAUACACUCAUUGUGGAGAAGUUACUAUUUUAUAGAGUAGUAAAAAAAAGAGAGAAUAUUUACCAAUAUUAGUCAUACAAAAGUUUAACAUACAUUUUCUUUUCUUUAUAAACCAAACUAAGAUCAUCGCUAAAUAAUAAACUCAGAAUAAGAUAGAACUAGUAUAAACAUAAUUGGUAAUGAUCGAUAAUUGUAAAGAUGCAUAUCGAAGCUUCGUGGAUUCCAAGUUCAGUCAUUCAAUACAGUUGCGUAUAUGCAUGCAUACACGUCUUGUAACGUAUACGCAUAUAGGUUCGUUCUUCAUUACGUAUACAUACGGUAAUGAUAGUUGGAUAUAUAUAAAUAAGUUUCAAAGAUAUAUACAGCAAGGGGACAAGCCAGACUGUGAUGUUCCUCAUUUAAGAUCCCUUCUUACAAAUCGGGAAUUUUCAUUAAUCUUCUUAAUCAAAGAAAACCACAUCAAUUAUUGAUUAGCUUUCUUUUCUCUUUCACCUGUUUGGUUUUUGGUCGGUUGGUUAAGAGUUUUCCCACCGAUUAAGUUUCGGCCCUAGGUUUUCCCGCAUUGUAAAGCGUAUAAACAAUUUAAUUGAAAGAUCCAAAAGUGAAUUGUGUACGAACCACUUUUUAUCGUAAAAAUCUUAGAAAAUAGAGAAAAAUAAGAAUUUUGUUUUUUGAAAGCACUAUAUAAUUAGUUCCAAAACUACUGAAUAAGAUACAUGAUUUUUUUAUGAGUACUUCUCCAUUUCAUGUGAACGCAGUCUCAAGCGCAGAAAUUACAUCUGAAACAAUCUAUAAGCCGUAAAACCAGCUUUAAAAAAAAACAAUCUACAAGCUGUAAUGAGGAUAACUUUGUUACUUUAUAUCUGCAAGAAUAGUGUAGAUGUUUGACCUUUUAUGUAAUAAGUCCAUAAUAAAAAGGUCUUAGGGAAGGAUAGCAUUCCCGUGAUGGAGGCCGUAGGGUUUGUAUUAUUGUGUAUAGUCUUUUCAUCUCACCUUGCCUUAUGUUCUGCGAGACAGAUCAUCCGUAGCUUACUCUUCUAAUAUAUUUAUAGCAAUUUACCAAUCAAUUAUGUGUGUAUUACAACUAUAUACCAGACUUUCAAAACUAACACAAAAUUCAUGUUGAAGUAUGUUUCUUUCAUAAUUUCUUGGGUUAGUGGAUUUGGAGGUGAAUAAAAGAAGAAAUUUUAACUCAAUAAAUAAAAAAAAUUAAAAUCAAAUUAAAAUCAAAUUAAAAUCUCUUCUUAAAUGAUGUGAACCUAAUUUAAAGCCUAUGCCAAAAGCACAUAUAGGCUUUUGAUUUCUGUAUAUCCCAAUAGCAUAAAAUAUACAAAAGCCGAAUUAUCUUUACAAUCAUUUGCAUUUGGAUUUAAAUAACCAAAUGAUUAUAAACACAACCAAUAGUAAGAUAAAGAUAGUUAGUGUUGAAACUAAACAUCCGCAUGCAUAGAGCACUUAGAUGAAAGUUAGAUUAUUAAUUAUUGAAAACCCUCGAAACUAUCUGAAGAGACACAUAGAAUGGCUCCUUGGCAUUUGUUCAGCCCCUUUAGUUUAUCUUCUCAUAUAUAUAAGCAUAUGUUACACAUCUUAUUACAUGCACUCACCCACAUUGUAUUCAACUCUUAUACACGCAAGCAAUUGUGUUAAUGGCAACACAUAUUGAUAUCAACCAAAAGCUUAAUGUAUAUCCAAGAUCUCAAAACCAAGACCAGAAGAAGGUUAUCACCCUCUCCCACUUGGACCGUCAAUGUCCUUUACUCAUGUACUUGGUUUUCUUCUACAAGAAGACCACGACUCGUGACUUUGACUCGGUCUUUUCCGACCUGAAACUCGGGCUGGAGGAGACUCUGUCUGUUUGGUAUCCCGCCGCCGGCAGGUUGGGUUUGGAUGGAGGUGGCUGCAAGCUCAACCUCCGGUGUAAUGGGGGUGGUGCAGUCAUGGUGGAGGCGGUGGCGACUGGUGUCAAGUUAUCAGAUCUUGGUGACUUGACUCAGUACAAUGAGUUUUAUGAGACUUUGGUUUACAAGCCUUCCUUCGAUGGUGAUUUCUCUGCAAUGCCUCUUGUUGUUGGUCAAGUAAGUUUUAUCGUAAAUACUAUUCAUCUUCGCAAGAAUUAUGCUUAAUUAUAAAGUAUACUGGUAAAUCUUGUGUUUUGCUUUAUGUAGUAUUUUAUGUGUAAUAGAUCAAUGUUUUCAUCAAUAUGAUUCGUGGUCAAUAAGAAUAUACCUAGACACAAACAUUUCGUUCGCUUACAAUAAAGAAUUGUGAGAUCAAAGUCGAGCUAUAACGUACUUAGAAGGGGUUAUAAAUAAGCAAGUCAAUUUAUUCUUGAAAGUUUUGGAUGUUUUCUUGAUUUGUGUAGGCGAAGCUAAUAUUCUAUGUUUAGUCUUUAACACAAGCAUAUUACCCCAGAAAUUGGAAACCGUCUAUUUUUAUUUUAUUAUUAACAACAACAAAAAAAAUCUAAAGGAUUUAUUAAUCCCUGUUCAGUGUUUGAUCAACGACGUAUAAUAAAUGUAGGUGACAAAAUUUGCAUGUGGAGGUUACUCAGUUGGAAUAGGUACAAGCCAUUCACUAUUUGAUGGCAUCUCAGCUUACGAAUUCCUUCAUGCGUGGGCUUUCAACUCUCACAAUCACGAUAAAUCCAAUGGUAAGAUUAUUAAUAAAAAGGAUAAUGUGGUCAUCAAACCGGUUCAUGAUCGAGGAAAUCUACUGGUUAACGGGGACACGAACCGGAGCCUCGGAGUAACCAUGGCUGCAGCCAUUUAUCAUCUGUACCAGCUGAUCAAACAAGCCAUGAUGAUCCAUCAGGGGAAAAACCAUAAUUUCGAGUUAGCGGACUCUAGUUUUGUGAUCAAAACAUUCGACCUUAGUGGUGAUGCGAUAGAAACCAUGAUGAAGAAAUCACCAGAAGGGUUCUUGUGCUCCUCCUUUGAGUUUCUUGCUGCUCAUUUGUGGAAGGUAAAAUCAAUAAAGUUAUUUAAGAACUUAUUAUUUCUCUAAAUUUCUUUAUAUUAUGUGGCUUAUUAAUUAGUAAGUUGGUUUUUUUUUCUUUAUAGUUUCGUUUUCAUAAUAGUGCGCCUUUUAAUUUCAAAUGAAACCACCAUUUUGAAUGUCUUUACGUAAACUUUAUUUGUGGCAUACUAUAAAAGUAAAAUAAAUAAAUCAAGAACUUCACUUAUGUAUUGUGUUUUUCUUGUAGUUGAAAAAAAAUGUUUUGUAUUUUUCUUUAACUUAUGUUUUGUGUUUGCGUUUUAAAUUUUGUCCAAACAUGUUUUGAAAAAAGAUAAAUUAUAUUUUCUCAAAAGAAAAAGAGAUAAAUUAUCUUGCAAAUAUUUGAACAGUAAUUUAACAUGUAACACAAAUGCAGUAUUUGUAUCAGAAUUCAUCAACGACAUUAUAAUAGACAUUAACAUGUCUUUUUAAAAAGUUAUUAACCGUAUAUCAUAUAUAUACAGGCGAGAACAAGGGCCUUGAGGUUGAGGAGAGACGCCAUGGUGUGUUUACAAUUCGCGGUGGACAUAAGGAAGAGGACGGUGCCACCACUGCCAGAAGGAUAUUCCGGCAACGCCUACGUGCUUGCGUCCGUGGCAUCAACCGCCGGAGAACUACUCGAACAACUAACACUCGAGUCAAUAGUUAAAAAGAUAAGAGAAGCCAAGAACUCAGUUGACCAAGACUACAUCAACGCGUACAUGGAAGCGCUUGGAGGUAGUGAACAAAGAAAUGACGGAAACCUCCCUCCUAUCAAAGAACUAACCUUAGUCUCCGACUGGUCAAAAAUGUCAUUUCACAACGUUGGCUUUGGCAACGGCGGCGAGCCGGCGGAUUACGUGGCACCACUAUGUCCUCCGGUGCCACAAGUUGCUUACUUCAUGAAGAACCCUAAAGAUGCUAGAGGGGUUAUUGUGAGGAUUGGUUUGGACCCACAAGAUGUUAGUGACUUUUCAAAUUAUUUCCUUGGUUUUUAAUAGGCUGAUGCUGAUGUGAUAAUUAAUCAGUAGAAUCUUUGUUUAAUUACUAUUUUGUGUGAAUAUGGCUCCUCUAUAGCAUGCGUGUGCGCUACAGACACUUUUAUUGUAAUUGGGUUAUGAUGGAUGUAUAAUGACAUCUAUAUAUGCUUUGUGUAUUUGUCGUUAUCACUUUAAUUCUGAAUAUACUUUAUCUCUUCCGGAUUUUCUGUAUAUAAAUAUAUAAAGUUAUGCUAUAUGUUAUCUUUGUAGACUUUUUCUUUAGGUCCCCAAGGGACGCUUUAAGCCUGCUUCUGGCCUAUAUGGGUUCAGUUUACAAUGUCAAAUGGUUGAGAUAGGGCUAGCCCUAGGCGUUCGGGUAUCCGUUGGCAUUCGGAUCAGGUUUUUCGGGUUUUCGGGUUUACGCUUCUAGGUCCCAUACUAAAAUUUUAUUAGUACGGGUCGGGUUCGGAUAAUAACACUUCGGGUUCGGUUCAAAAUUGUAUUGCAUCAUAAAACCCAUAAAGUAAUCACAUAUCGUACGGAUUCGGGUUAUAUCGGUUCGGUUCGGAUAUAACCAAAGUAAAAAACAAAAAUUUUGAAAUAAAACAUAAAGAAAAACAUCUAAAUUAAAUAAAAAUUAAUCUAUCACAUAUAAAAUAACAAUAAAAUAACAAUAAAAUGUUAAAUCAAGCAUGAAAACAAACAUCAUUUGUAAACAAUAUGUAUUGCUUUAUAGAGAGUGGACUUUUUACUUCAAUGAGCAAAUUAUAAAAUACUUAUUUAUAACUAAUUGUGUACUUAAAGCAUUUAUUAAAAUUUUAAUAUUUAUUAUUAUAUAUAAUAUUAACACAAAUAUUGAAUUUAAUAAUUGGAAUACUUAUAUAUAUUUCAAAAUAUUUAUAUUGACUAUUAAUUUCGGAUUUUUCGGGUUACCUGUUCGGGUUCGGUUAAUAACACUUCGGGUUCGGAUAUUUUUUGUACCACCCUACAAGACCCGUUCGGGUAUUUUUACGUUUCGGAUCGGAUAACGGGUUAGGUUUUUCGGUUCAGAUUUCGGAUUCCGGAUUUUAUGGGCUCAUGUAAGAGAAUGUUCAUAACGAGUUACAAGAUUGAUAAUUUAUAGACUAAUCUGAUAUAUUUUCUUUUAGUUGAUGUACCCAAAUUAUUCUAGAUAAAAUUCGUUUUCUAUGUACUGUUUAAAAUUUAUUAAACGCUUUUGGAUCUCCCAAAGUUGCUAAAACCUGCGGGGAAACUUGUAAACAAGAGCUUGCAGUUUCUUUACAAAGAGAGAGCAAACAAAAAGACCAGAACCAAAGAUAAUACUAAAUGAUUGUGUUUGAAGAAAACACUCUUUCUCAUGUUGACCAAGUACAUAGAAAACAUAAAACAGAUUCUCAUAUGCAUGUUCUGAGUGAGCUAUUAUGCCAUCCAAACCCCAAAUCUCCUUCAAAGAACUCAGCUUGGCUCUGUUCCUGUUACAUUGAAAGUAAAUAAUCAUUUUGAAUAAAUUUAGCAUUCUUUCAAAAAAAAAAAAAGAAGUAAAUAAUCAUUAAAUCUACUAGGGCAAAAAUGGGCAAAGCAAAUGGUUUGUUUAUACCUUUGGCAUCAUGGAGUUGACAAUAUCAUCCAAGGAACCAGCAUUUGAAGGCAUUGUAUCAUUCUCUAGCUUCUGUUGUCCCACAAAUAAACCUUCAUUUGGAUUGCUACUUCUCAAUCGCUGAGCAUCAGUCAUUGGGCCUAAGUUGUUUGCAGGCUGCUGCUUCAUCUGUAAUGGAUCAAUAAAGCCUGCUUGUGCAGCAUCUGAGUUGCAGAAGUGGUUCCACUCCAAGGCGUCUGGUUUUGAAUGAACAUCACUCUGUGGAAUGUUGGUUGACAAUAAAGCGUUUGACCAGUCCUCAAGACGCUUGUUGAUCUCGAAAUGGGGAGACAACCCUGGGUUUAAGGAUGGAUAUGACGACUGCUGGUGACCCUGGAGAACCAACUGAUUAUUAGGAGCAACCAUUAAAGAGCUUUGUUGUGAACUAAAGCCCGGAAAAGCCUUAUUGUUGUUGUUGAUAUGAAGAUCAUCUAAAGGCGGAAUCGGCAUUCCCUGAAGUAUGUAACCUCCUCCAUCAUUGUGGUUACGAGGAAGCGAUGAUGACACAUGUGGGAACACUCCUCCAAAGGAGUUUAGGCGACCAAGAGGAUAAUGCCUCAUGGUUGCAGCUUCACCAUGGAACUGACCGGAUCCAAGAGGUAUCUGCCUUUGGUGGUGGAAGCCGCCAAGCCCUUUGAGAGAACUCAUCUGCAUGAAGUGUGAGUCUAUAGCCGCCAUGCUAGCUUGUUGAUUAGCUUCAUUAGUUAUUUUCUUCAACGCAGAGCGGAACUUCUGUAACCAAAAGACAUUGUAGUUAUGUUAGUGGAACCUUAUUAACCAAUAGGGCCGGAUCUGAACACAACCCUAUGAAACAUUGGCUUGAACUCCCAAAAAAUUUAAACGUUUUUUAUAUAGCCAUAAGCCUUCAAAUCAUGAAAAAAAAUUUUAAUGAAAAUUCUUCAAAAAAUUUCUAUAGCUUCCAAAAUCUCAGAUCCAGGCCUGUUAACCAAUAAAAAGAAUAAUAGCCUUUCUCUCUCACACACACACACCUGAAGGUGGCUAGCAACAUUCUCUCUUGUGAGCUUGUCAACAUUCAUCAGAUCAAGAAUCUUUUUCGGUUGAGCUUCUGCAUCAUUUCAACUUAUCAAUCAGAAAGAAAAAAAUGAUUACGCAAAGAAACUAAGUAAGAGAUGAGAUCAAAGAAACAUUUACUCUCAACGCCCAAGUGAUCAACAGCUGCUAAGAACUUAUUGUGAAGCUCGCGAGUCCAAAGAACACGUGGCUUCUUCUGAGCCGUUGGAUCAUCGUUCUCAUUCCCUCUUUCUUCAUCUUCUUCUUCCACCUCUUCAAACUGAUCUUUACGUUUCCUGUUUGCUUUCACACCGUUCUGAUCAGAGUUUCCUUGGGAUGAUUCAUCAUGAAUCACAAUGCUCUUCAUUUUCUUGAACUUGCUUUUCCUCACCACGUGUUGCCAUAUGUUCUUGAGCUCCUCGAUACGCACCGGUUUAAGCAGGUAGUCGCAGGCACCGUGCUUGACUCCUUUCAUCACGUACUUUGGAUCGCUAUGAGCAGACAACACUGCAAAAUAAUAAUCAAAUCAUCACGUCACAAAGAUCAAUACAGAAACUAAACACAAGGCAGGGUGAUGAAUUGGUUGUUCAUACUAAUGACAGGUAAGUCCAUUUCAAGCCCAACGAGCUCAAGGAGCUUGAAACCGUCCAUGUCAGGCAUGUCGACAUCGCUAAUAACGAGAUCAAACUUGUUCUUGUUCUCCCUCAACAGCUCCAGUGCGGUCUGUGCACUGUCCGUUGUUGUAACUGCACAUAUAAUUAAUUACCCCCAAAGUAAUUAGCUUUGUAAUAAUUUCCCCAAAAAAAAAAACUCUGUUUUUUAAAACAGAGCAAGAGACUGUUUCAAAAUCAACCAACUCGAAAGAUUUAAAGUCUGAAACUUUGAUUGAUAUAGUAGCAUAUAUGCAGAGAAUUAAUAUAACUUCAAAUAAUGAAUCUAACUAGAUCUUAAUUUUGAUUACUCAAAAGCAAAUAUGUGUGAAAACAUUAAGAGAGAGAGAAGGGACCAUGGUAUUGACAGCGGUGAAGGAGAGUCUCGAGAAUACGGAGACAAGUUUGGUCAUCGUCAACGGCAAGAACUCUCAUCCCCACUGGGAACUGGUCCACUGCUUCAAAAUCUUGUUCCACAGUCAUCUUCUUCAGAGAUUUUCAACGCAGACAAGAGCUAGGAAUUGAAGUAGAACAAGGACUUUAGAAACAAAUAUGAUUAUUAGUAGUAGAUUAUAUAAAGAUCCAAUGAAUGGGUCUGUAAAAGAGAUAAUGAUUUAGGGGAAAAAGGGAUAAUUUUAUUUUUUAUGAGAGUAAAAAUUUUGUUUUUCAUCUGACGAGAAAGGAAGAAAAGCAAAAGAGAAUCUAAGCUAUAUAUGGUUAACUCAAAAACUCUGUGUAUGAUAAGUCUUCAAGACUGGCCAAUUAAAACUCAUUUGAGGAAUUUUCUUCUUUUUUAAACAACUUGUAUUUUUCUUUUUAUCUUUUUCUUACCACUAGAAAACAAAAGACAUUUUCGGACGAGAAUCUGUUGGAAAAUUCAGUGAAACAAUCGAUCAUUUGUACGUGAUAGUCACGCGCCUCAAGGAGCGGAGUCUUGUCAUUGGGUUUGGUUGGCUUCUUUUGACCGUCUAUGAACUUGUCGGUUCAAUUUUAACCAAGACUCGGUUCGGUUUAUAUACUUGUCGACUAUAAUUGUAGAAUAUGAGGAUGGUCGACUCAGAUUUAUUUUUAUAAAAAUUUCGUUGAGUUCUUACCUUUUUAUUUUUUUUUAUUUUUGAUUUAUGUAUAGAAAUGUGGACGAUGAGGAGGAAGAGGCCAAACCGGAAUCGUCAACGGAAUAUUCCGGUUUAACUAAAAUUAUUGAUUUUUUAGUUUGAUAAUGAUGUUAAUUACUAAGGGAUGAAAAAUUAUAGGAAGGUAAAUAAAGAAAAGAAUGGAUAGAUAUGGGAAAGUGAUUAUGUAUAUGAUUCUGUAUAUCAUGUAAUUAAGAUUUGAGAUAUGUUUCAUAUAUUGUACAGAGUAUUGAAGGCAGGAAAUAUAAUUUUUAGAUAUUGCAUAAAUGAAAACUUUCCUAAAUCUAUGUCUUUCGAUUUAAUUGACCGUCAAAACCGACUGUGUGGCAAACGGAUUUAUAAUUAACUGCAAACUAUAGUAAUUUAACUUUUAAAAUCAAAAUAGAAUAAUAACUGAGAAAAGACAGGCUUUAGGGAGAGCAUGGUGAAAGUUGGGAAGUGCGAGACACGCAUGAGCGUACUUCAUGGCUUUUUCCUCUUUCGUGCAGUUUCAGAAAGAUUCAGAAAAAUACGUAUCCAUAAUAAAGAACUAAUAAUGGCUAGUGCCGAUGAUAUUUUAAACACAAGUACAUUGUUACUUGGAUAAACUUUCUUUUUGAUAAUACUUGGAUAAUAUUUCACUCUAGUUAUACGAUAUUUAGAAGAAGAAAAGUAUGAUUAGAAAGAUGUACUUUAUAAUUUAGCAGAUUCCGUGUAACGUUAAAAGGACUCAAGUCAAUGUAAUUGCUAGAUUAAGCACAAUAUUAUCACCGGCCAUUUGUAUCAUAUUUGACUUAAUUAAGUUAUAAUUAAAAAAAAUUAUUAGACAGAGACUAUAAGUUGAGUAGCGAUGAGAGUAACGAUAAAAAUCUUAGAAUAAAAACUAAGAAGUCCUUGAAAUUUGGGUCACAUCCACAUUCUUAGACUAGAAACAAAAGCUUCAUGAAUGCAAAAUAAGAUCCCAAUGAUUUAAUAGACUUUGUGUAUUAAUAUUGUAUAUAUCAUAACAAUCAUAUUGUAUGCUUUCUUGGAUUGGUCACCUACCGUGUUCGUUUCUGUACCCUCUCAUUUCCUAUUAUACUAUAAAGUAUCCUACCUCAGAAAACGAAUUUUCUUUUGGCUUAGAUUAACAAGAUUAACAUUAUGAUCAUUGUCUUAUGCAAGUUAAAUGAUUUAAUACUACAUUUAUUUAACGUUCUGUUCUCCAAUCUUAUAACAAAAUUCAAGGAUACCAAAAAACAAAAACUACAAACUGUAACUCCUAAACUUUUCUAGUUUAUCAAGCAACUCAAAAAUUCUUACCUAUAAUCAAAAUUAAUAAUAUCAGAAAUAUUUUAUGUAUAGAAAAAACUGAUAAAACUGCUAUUGACGAGUGACAAGGCUGAUAACCAUAGAAUAAAUGGAAGCAUAUUCAAGAUUUCACUUUUUCAAAGAAAAUCAACAUACGUCCCAUGCAAUGCAUUGGAAAAUAAAAGACAACUUUCUAAUACAAAUUAUUAUCAUUAAUAGUUCCCUUAAUUUUUUUCUCUUCUUCUAAAGUGGCAAAAGAGAGAUUAAAGAAAUAUGUUUUCUAGAAGAUCCAUGUUAUGCACCAAAUCUGUCAAGAUUCUACAACUUAGUUAUUGGAAGUCACUUGUCAUUAGCUACUCUCAUUGGCUAUGGCUCGUAAUCUCAUAUAUAUAUAUUUUAUAUAAACACAAUAUUCACAUUUAAACAUGAUAGAGAAGAUGUUAUAACAGCAAAAUUUUGGUGUAAUGUUUAUUAAAAAUGAAAAAAAAGAUGCUGAAAGAUUAUAAUGUAAAAGAAAGCAAACAACUAAUAAUAAAUGGAGGGGAAAAUCAAAAUGAAUCUAAGUCGAGUUAUUCUUGUCCCCCACAAGGGCUAACCUGAGUAGUCAAUAAUAUGCUUCUUGUUUGGUUGCUUCCUACUCAUUUCCUACUCUCACUUAUUUAUGUUUUCAACUUCUCAUACAUAUUUGAGGAAACUACGAAUGAUAACCAGGACGAGUUAGUCUGCUGGUAUACGGCUUGCGGCUGCAAGUACAGUUCCGGGUUCGAUUCGCACUGGCCACCGAAGUUUUCACAUGGGUUCUUCGGCCCGAAGAAACUAACACGUGGCCUGAUCCAAAGCGGUCGCCAAAGGCUCUAAGCCUGCCACGUGACUAGUCUGGAUCCACAAAGUGGAGGUCAGGAAACUCUUCGUAAAUAUCAAAAAAAAAAAAAAAAAAAACUACGAAUGAUUUUUCUAUUUAUCGUCAACUCUAGUACAUCAUAUCAUAGUGUUUACUAUUCAUAGUAAUCAUUAUCAAGUAAUUAUAAAACAGCUAGCUAUGAACAAUGGAUGCUGAUGCAUAGGAUUGUUUUCAUCAUGAACCUUUUAUUCACUUCAAUUGAUGGAAAAUGUAUUUGAUAGCAUGUCGUUGACUUAGUAGUAGGUCCUCGUGUUGGUAAAAAACAAGGAGUAAUCCUACUUAAGCUAUUAUGGGGAGCUACUAACCCUCAUCAUUGUUAUAACACAAAGUACCAAUUGUUACUGUAUGACUAGUAAUAUUGUCAUGAUCAUCUUCAUAUAGUACAUGAUUUAUUCCAUUUAAAACAUUUUAUAAACUGAGAACAUAAUAAUCAAAAAGAUGUCAACACGAAGUGAAAUUUUACUUUGCCAUGAAUGAGUCUAGCUUUCUCAACCAUUGAAUGAGCUCAAUCCUAUCUUUAUUCAUCAUAUAUUCAUGGAAGAAAAAGCAAAGCUCCGAGUCUAUCCCUCUUACUCGCAAAAACUCUUUAAUCGCCGUCUGAAAAUCAUACUUCAGACUCCUGCAAAGAAACAAAAAAAAAAAAUCACAAGUUUCAGUAACUGCAUUUUUAAACUAGAGCUAACGUUGUAAAUCAAACUCACUAAACCUAAGCGAUUCUAGAAAGCAGAGAGAUUGUACCCGAACUUUGGUCCCAAGUAAGGCUGGCCAGUGAUUUUAUCACGUCUAAGCAUGUAAAGGUUUUGAAUUUCAAUACGGUUAGGCCAGACGGAGCAGAGGAACUCCAUGUCUUCACUCCCAUCAGCCUUGGAGAUGUCGACAAGAAGGCUAACGUGAAGACGGACAUCGCGCCCUGAAGCAUCUAAACCGGUUCGUGGAACAGUCAUAAACCCAUCGAACAUAGUUGCUUCCAUUUUGAUGGUUUCGUCUUCUCCAAACUUGCCUUUCAUCACAAUGCAUUGCUCGCCCGGACGAUCCUCAACAGAGAAUGAUUUGAACUCAGUCGCUGGCUGCAUUUUAGUUUUAAAGUCAAAACAACAAUCAGAAAAGGAACGGAUCUCUCCCCAUUUGCUUGGAUAUUGAACAAAACAGAACAGUAACUCUUGUCUUUGUCUCCCUCAUCAAUCUAAUUGUCGAAACUAACAAAGCAAUAUACCCAACACAAGUGGAAUCUAAGAUUAGCAUUCAAUCCUAAACCCUAAAUCAUAAAUCAUAAACCCUAAAACCUGAUUUUUAGCUGAACACUCAGCUCUAAGGUCUGGAUAAUACCUGAUGCGGAGGAGCAUAUUCCGAUUGAUAAUCGAUCUCGUUUCUUAUGAUUCGAAGGAGGUUGGACCGGAAGGGAGAGUUCGCCGGCGCGAUCGCUGCAAAGGAUCGCCGCGAAGUAGUGAUGUCUCGCGAUUGGGGAGUUGGUAACAGAGGAUUACAUCGAGCGCAAGAAAGAGAUGGAGAAUGAGGAUGAAAAACGCGAGCUUUCGAAAGAGUACGGAGGAGAAGAGCCAUGGAGGUUUUCAUGGUCGCCGUCGACGACAUUAGGGCCUCGUCUGAGUGGUUUUCUGAUCUGAGGUGGUGGUUAGUGGGAUUUUCAAUUGAACCCAACCGAAAUUGAACCGGAUCGGAAUAGCUGGGCUUCCAUAUUAUUAUGUUUGUUACACUACUAAUGGAUGUUAAUAGAAGUAAUAAAUGGGCUUGAACUAUCUACUAACUAUGUAAUGGGCCUUAAUUGGUCGUAUAAAAGGCCCAUCCAUUACUUGACUAGGGUUUCCUCUUAUAAGUUUAAAAAACGUUAGUCGCCAUUUCUACUCGUUAAGCUUCGCUGCGCCGCUGCACAUCCCACGACGUCAAGAUGGUAAGCCUCUCUGGUUGUUUCAAUCAAUCGUUUAGUUUGAAUUGAGUUAAGAGCUUGAUAUUAGCUAGAAAAUGGAACGAAAGUAUUUAUUUUUGUUUGUGUGAAAUGGAAACGAAACAGCCGUCGCACAAGUCGUUUAUGAUCAAGAAGAAGCUGGCCAAGAAGCAGAGGCAGAACAGGCCUAUUCCUCACUGGAUUCGUCUUCGUACCGACAACACUAUCAGGUUCGAUUUUAAAAAAAUUGUUUCUUUGUUUUCUUUCCCGAUCUGUCGAAUAGAAACAUGUAGUUGGAGUUAGGACGGAGACAGUGAGUGAGUUCGGAAAUCCAGAGAUGUGUAGUUGUCUAUGUGUGUUGAUUUAGGACAGAGACAGCGAGGCAUUAAGUGAGUUCUGAAACGAGACAUUCUUUUUUGUUCUAAUGGUUUCGUGUUUGUUUUUUUUUUUCAGGUACAAUGCCAAGCGCAGGCACUGGCGUAGAACCAAGCUUGGAUUCUAGAUGAACGCUUCAUCUAAAAGUGUCUUGUUUUCUGUUGGGUUUAGCAUUUCUUCUUGUGUUGUGACAUUUUCAAUUUUCUGUGAGACUUGUCUUGUGAUAUUUGCUACCAAAUUUUAUAUUUAUAAGAGAACUUCUUAGAAGCUGUGUUAUUUGAUUGUUUAAGGUUCUUGUUUAUUGGUUGCUUACAUAUCAUCUUCUGGCAAUUUAGCCCACGGAUUAGGUUUUACUUAUCUCAGUUGUAGGCUGAUGUAUCCAAAAUGUGAUCAUUGAUGUUCGCCCAAGCUGUUCUAGUGAUGCUUCGUGCUUUCUUAGAAUCUUUCAAACUUCUUUGAACUAUAUCUGUCUGAUAUGUUAUUGGUUCGGAAUAUGUAAUUGUAAGCACUGUUUUAUGUAGCAGACGAUGUAAAUGAUAUUAGAACGUUAACAAAAACAAUCAAGACUCGGGUGAUAUGUAACAACGGUUGUUCCACUAUAGCUCAAUGGGGACUCUCCCAAUACAACAAUGCCUGUGAAACACAAUCAAAGGUCCCUUGACAAAAUAUCUAGCGAUCAUUGUGCGAGAGCUAGCUUAUUCAUUUAGCCAUCUCUUUCAAAUAAGUUCAAGAAGGUGCUAAAAGGGUGAUAUAUUAUGUAACUUAAAUUCUUAUUGUCAACUUAUGGAGGCCAAAACUCAGCUUACGUUAUGGUAUGAGUCGAUGAUGGCAUCGGCAAGAUACUCACAUUUUGCCAUAGACAAUCCAGCCAGCGAUAUCCUCCCGUCUUUAGUCAUGUACACAUGCCACUUGUUCGUCAUGUUAUCACUCUGCUCAUUUCACAUACCAAAAAAAAAAAAAUACAAAAUUAAAACCCGUUGUCCCAACACAGCCAAAGGAAUAUGAACAUUUUGAGCAAUAGCAAACCUGAGCUUUGUUGAGGCCAGUGAAUGAGAACAUGCCAAUUUGCUUCAGAAUAAAGGACCAGUCCUUGCCACUCUUGUCUUUUGAAACAAGACUGUCAUACAACCUUUGUCUCACAGUCUUUAUCCUACCCGCCAUCAUUUCCAUCUCUGCUUUCCACUCACCAAACAUAGUUGCAUCUCCCACCACAUUAGCCACGAUCCUCGCCCCGUGAACCGGUGGGUUCGAGUACAUAGGCCUAGCAAUCCUUUUCAACUGGCUCUUCACCCUGAAAAGAAAGUAGUGUUACUCUUGAAAUUUCUGUACAUAAUAAGAAACUUGAUUAAGUGUUUUAUUACCUUGUAGCAGCAUCGGCUGAUGAGCAGACGACAUUGAUUGCACCUAUUCUUUCAGCAUAAAGACCCAAAUUUUUACUAUACGACUGAGCAACAAAAAACUCCAUUCCACGUUCGGCGAAUAAUCUCACAGAUGCUGCAUCUUCAUCAAGGCUUCCACUAGCAAAGCCCUGGAACAUAUGAGUGUAUCAUCAAAAGAAAGUUGAGUAGCUCUCAAACUACUCACAAGCAAGGUUCUACAAAUCCAUUUAGGCGGCAAAUAUAUCAUAACCGAAAGAUUUUCUUAAAAUCCGAUUGAAGUAGUUCAAACUGGUUUAAACUAUCCUAAUUUUGGUUUUAAUCGGUCUAACGCAAUCUAAAUCAAUCUAAAUUGAUGUAAAUCGGUUAAAUUAAGCAACAAGGUUAGUGAAAGUCCAAAAUUUGUCUGAUUUAUUUUGUGUAUAUCGAAAUGUUUAUUAUAUAUCCAAAAUAAUUGUAUUAUUAGACCCAAAAAAAACUAAAAUAUAAUAAAUAAACAAAGAAUUCGUUAACGCCCAAGCCUAGACCCCAAAUAAUCCGCAUAGUCAAUAGGUCUAUACAAAGCGCCUAGCUACAGCCUCGCGAUUUCUUGAACAUUGCUCUAAGUGUAGGAAUGUGAUACCUACCUGGUAUGCAACAUCGAAAAACGGGAUAUGGUUCUUCUCCUGAACGACAUCAGCUAUUUUCACCCAUUGUUCUGGUGUUGGGUCAAUCCCAGUUGGGUUGUGAGCACAACCAUGAAGCAAAAUGAAUGAUCCUUCCGGAGCUUCCUGUAUGAACCAUCCUAAUUCAUGAGAGAUAUUCUUGAUAGUUUAUGGAAUGAUCAUCACAUAAAAGCAAACAAACCUUAAUAUCUUCUAUCAUCCCCUCAAAGUCCAAACCAAUAGUUUUUGGAUCAUAGUAACGGUAUUCAGACCAUGGAACUUUGGCAUCAUUGAAGAUAUUCUUGUGAUUACCUGAAGUAGUAUUAGUUUGUCAGUGGAUAAAAACAUGCUACAUAUGAAUGCGUUAUAUAUUUAUGGUCAUUGGAAACACACACCCCAUGUUGGUGCUGAUAUCAGAACUUUUGCUCCAGGGAAGUAACGCUCAAUGAGAGCUGCUGCUAGUCUCAGUGAACCGGUUCCAGAAAGACCCUGAAUGGUUGCCACCUGGUGAUUUGGAGCAAAGGGAAAUGAAUCAGCUAAUACUAACGCAUAGCUGAGAAAAAAGGAUCAUGAAGAGGGAACACAUGAACAUACUUUUUGUUCCUUAAUAACAGGAUGACCAGCUCCGAAAAGCAGCUCAGCAGUGGCUUUGUUGAAUGCAGCCAACCCCUCUAUUGGUAGAUACUGCAGUUUUCAUCCAAGCCUAAGUAAGUUUUAAGCAUAUUCUGAAUGAUCUAACUGUUUGUAAACACACAUUUUCAAAGUUACCUCUUUAUUAUCUCCCCUCUCUAACAUCAGGUUCUCGGCCUAAAAAUAAAAAAAAUUAAGAAGAUUAACUAACCCUUAAUCUGUCAAAGACUUUCCGCAAUGCGACAAAACUUAGAGAGAGAGAGAGGCUAAAAUCUUUCAAACCUUUUUAACGACGUUAAGCACAUAAGGCUGGAGUUCCUCAGUUCGAUAAGCGCCAACACCGAGAUUGAGUUUAAGCUCGUUAGUGUCAGCUUUGAACGCUUCGCUGACUCCAAGGAUAGGGUCUGGUGGUGCCAUUGUUAUACCCUCAAAACGAGAAGGUUUCACUGAAACCGACAUGGUCACCCGACUAAGAGACUGUAACAAAAGCCACUUUAAUCAGAUAUGCUAAUGCAGAUUACAAACUACAGUUAGCAAACUUAGCUUUAAAUGUCAUUUAGACUGUUCUCGUAAAGACAGUACCUUUGUUCUCAGGAAGGGGUUCGAACCUGAGGGUCCAAGUUUUAGCUUAUCCUGAGUUGUGAAUAAAGAGAUGCGGAAUCAUUUUGCCUUAUUGGUAAGAGGCUAAGAGCUAAGCAUAUAAUUUUGUCUGCUAAAACUUCAUUGGUUCUAAUCUCUUAGAACAAGUACCUUGUUAAUCUCGCGCGGUAACAGAGAAGUCGAGCCGAGAGAGAGCAUUGAAGAAGCCAUUGAAUCGAUACGGAUAAAAAAAAAAGCUGCAAGAGAUCCUAAGUCAGUGAGAGUGAACUUAGACUACUUAGUACAAGGAUAAGCUAUUCAGACAGAUGACGUAGUGUGAAGAUGAUCCACACAAGAGAUACAGAAGAGAUGACUAGUCACCUGAACUUCGUUACGACCGCGCGGUAUGGAAACGAUCAGAUCGAGAUUACUGUAGAGAGAACAAUCGAUCACGAGACGAUAAGUACGAAGUUAAUUACUCUAGGCUUGUCUUGAUAGAGGGUAUUAUGGUCACUGCGCAGUGUUUAAAAAUCUGGAAAGUACAAAAGAGUUUGGAUUCUGUCUGGAUAGUAGUUGAUGACUUUGUAACAGUCCAAAGCUGAUAUAACAAAUACAAUAAUUACGAGCGAAUACCCCUGGGAAACCUCUGUUCUCACAUUUUCACCCCCAGAGUUCUUAGGUAGUCAGAUCAAACCCUUUUUAUAGGCAACAAUUAUUUGCUUUUAAGACGAUGAUGGUCUUGUUAACCGGUUAAAUGUGGAAAAGAUCAUAAAGGAGACGACCAUAACGUUCCAUCCCAUUCGUAGAUAAUUAUUAAAACAAAAGAGAAUCAUGUUUUCAUAAUAUAAAAUCACAAUUUCAUGGAUAAAUUUUGACGACUAAAGUGUUUUUCUCUAAUUUUUCAAUCUAACAUAUUUUAAAAGAAAAUAAAUACAAUUGCUUACAAGAAUGCACGUAAUGUUUGGAGUUUUUCAUAUGUUAUAUUUUCUUUACGUUUUCUUUCUACUGGUUUGGCUUUUCAAUUUGGUAUCUAUUUCAAACUAGAUUAGCAAUUGUUUGACAAGAAAAAAAAUCAUGAUUCCAUCUAAAAUCAUUAGAAGAGUAAAAAGAUAUGUCAUGAUUAUCUAGUGGUAUAAGCGAAGCAGAGUAAGAAGAUGAUUUUUGCUUCUAAACGGCCCCCAUCAACCAAUCUCUGUCCAUUGUCAUAUGGUUCUUUGAGCUAUACAUACAUUUAAAAAUGUUUUGAGCUGCAAACUCAUUUAAUAUAUCCAAAAUCGAAACGUGACGCAUAUGUUUCUGGCAAUUAGAUUAACGCUAAAGAACGUGCACAGCUUGGAGAGAGCGUUCAGAAACCACGAACCACAUCUUCUUCCUGUGUGCGCAUUAUCGGAACUGGUCUGGUCAAUAGAGUAAAUAGGUUAGAGUAUGAAGGGUGAGUUUUAAGGAACGUGUUAAUGUCUUAUGUCGUAAUGAUGAUACAUGGACCCACUCCACGCAAGAGAAAGCAGCUGACUCAAAUGAGAGACGCACAUUCUUAAUAAGGGUCGUCGUGGGAUCCAAUCACUCUCGGUUCCUAAUCCACUUAAUAAUUUCCAUGCGCCUCUUUCACGUUAAAGCUGAACAUAAGCAUACUUUAAGGGUGUAACUGGUUAUUCAUAGAAGGAAUAUUAUGAAUUAAAGGAAUGAUUAUUUUUGGAAUAAGAAAAAAUGGAAUGAUAGAUUAAAUGGAAUAAAAACUGAAAAUAUUUUUGGAAUGGCUUUCCACUCAUUCACGAAGGAUUAUGAUCCUGAAUAAAAGGAACAACAUUUACAAAGGAUUUACUUUUUUGUUCCAUUCCAAAAAUGGAAUAUAUGGAAUUGUUUUUAAAAAGUUUUCAUGGUAACUGGUAAACAUUUUAUGGAAACAUGUGGAAUGACCCAUUCCAAAGAGUUUUAUUCCACAAAAUAGCAUUCCAGUUACACCCUAAAUAUAAGUUAAUAUUUUGGUCGACUACUUCUUUCAUUUCAAACGUUGUUGUCUUUUACCUAUUCCCAACGCAAAUAUUCUAAUUACCUUUUAAACUUAAAACAUAUAUAAAUUCCUAUAUCCAUCUAAAAAUUUCUCAAUUUUGGUGGAGAAUAGUCGAUAUACAUACAUGUCUAUUUCAUUUAAAUAGACCAACCAAUUUAAGAAGUACCAGGUAAUACUCUAAUUAAUAGUUUAAUACUUGUUUUAAUGGUGGACCUUAAACCAAAACAAUAUGAAGCAAACGGUGUACGUAAUCCACAUCGUAACUUUUGAAACACAAGGUUAAGUAUAUAUUGAUUUUGAAUCUUAUAACAAUUUCAACAAAUGCAAUGAUAGAUAAUGAAGAUUAUUUGUCUUUUUUUUUGUCAAGAUGAAGAUUAUUUGUCUAAAACGUUAAUUUUCAUAGACAUACGUGAAUAUGGUAAAUUUCAGGGUUUUUUUUGUUGUUACUGUUCGUACCAUUAAGACCACUAGACCAAGGAUUCUGAUGAAUGUGUGCUGCCUCAAAUAUAUGUGCAUGGUGUAUCUGUCGAAUAUGCAUGCUUAUGUAUGUCAGCAUGUCGUAUUAAACGUUAUCGAAUGCAUCACUUGCAUUAUGUCGUUAUUAACUAGUCAUACACACAAUUAAUGUUCUAUCGUAUGUUUGGUUCACAAAUCAACACGUUCGAUCGCACUUAAAUAUGAACCUGUUACAUUUCAGAAAGAUCAUAUCAACGUAGCAUCGUUAUCGCAUGUUACUUGUUCAUUUCAACAGUUUCAACCAAUUUGUUAAUGUUCACAAAUCAACAUUGUAUUAAUCUAUUACGAAAGUUUCUUCGCUAAUUUAUUAUUACUAUGACAUGUUAUCGUCUGUAUAAUAAUUUUAUAAAUUCCUAUUACUAGUUACUGGGACAUAGUAUUAUUUAUGGAUAGAGUAUGAGUAAAGUUUACUCAAAGGUCGUCGCCAAGGCUUGCUUCCAGAUUUAUUUACGUCUGUAAUGCCUCUCUCAUCAAUCCAAACGAUUCUUAUUUUAUUUCCUUAAACGGUUGCGUUUUACAGGUCUACUGACGCCAGCAGUUUCGUUAGGUGACGUCAUCAGGUUUUCAACAGGGAGAAAAUAAAGUUUCCAUCUAACGGUUCAGAUUUGUUUUCAUGUUAAUCCAACGGUGAUAGUUUCUGUCUUCACAAACCUUUUGAUGUUAAUGGAGAAUAAUCCUCUGUUCACCAACUUCUUCAUUCCCUUCUAAUAAUAAAUAAACAAACAUGCCAUUUCUAAUUUUCUACAUCCUCCUGCCACUUCUCCGUAUUGCCUUUUUUCUUCCCGAUGUUUCAGACCAAUCUGAAGAUCGCUCGAGUUCAUCGUUCACUUGGUCGGUGUUGACUUGUUCGAACUUCAACUUCUUGUCCUUCCACAAGUACACGUUCUUUCCGAUCUAAUCUGCUCUCUAUACACCCAAGGUAAAUAACGGUUUUACUCUUCUGGUGAUUACGCUCUGAUUAAUUCACUUCUUCGAUUAACGUUUAUUUCAUAUAUUUUUUUAUUUAUUUAUUUGUUAUAUAUGCAUGGUUUUAAAUUCAAAAGGCCGUAGAUUUUGGAACUAUGAUUCUGUGAGUUGAAGAAAAUAAAAAAAAGAUGUAGAAUUUGAGUUUUUGACUUGGAGAUUAUUGUCUCUUCUUUAACUCCACAUCUCACAUCUUCUAUUAUGCAUUCUCUGUUUUGGUCGUAUCUGAUUUGAAUUGGGUUCUCUUCAAAACGCUCUUUUGUUCUGUUGAUUAACAGUUUGGUCAACGAUGGAGUCAACAAAGGUGUGCAUGAACGCACAGUGUGGAUCUACCUCCACGUCGGGGGAGUGGAAGAGAGGCUGGCCGAUGCGAUCGGGCGAAUUGGCCUCUCUCUGCGAUAAGUGUGGGUAAGCGAACUUAGUCACUCUUCAAUCUUCAUGUUUCAAUUCAAAGUUGGUUACUUUUUGAGCUAAGUUUUUUUUGUUGGAUGUUGGUGUUGGAGUUAGGUCCGCAUACGAGCAGUCCAUAUUCUGCCAAGUGUUCCACGCAGAGGAGUCUGGUUGGAGAGAGUGUAAUUCAUGUGACAAGGUGAAAGAAGAAAAAAUAAUCCAUUUGCUUAAAAUCUGUUUUGUGCUCUAAACAUGUUUUGAUUUGUGUUUUUUUUUUUUUUUAAUCAGCGUCUUCACUGUGGAUGCAUUGCUUCUAGAUUCAUGAUGGAGCUUGUGGAUAAUGGUGGUGUUACAUGUAUAACCUGCGCCAAAAAAUCCGGACUAUUCUCUGUAAGACUAACCUCUCACUGAUUUGUUCUUGGAUCUUUUAAUCUCCAAAAGGCCUCGUACUAAGCGGAGUUGGACUAGAUAUAUAUUAGAAUUUUUUUCGGUCUAAUAUCCAAUGUGGAACUUGGAUUGCUUAUUUAUCCUAACAAUACUCAGAUGAAUGUCGAAUCCAACGGUAGGGAGUUCCCUACAUUUGCUUCAGCAGAGCAUGUAAGCAGCGUUCUCGAGAGGACAAACCUCAAGCACUUGCUUCAUUUCCAAAGAAUCUCCCCCACACAACCUUUCCUUCAGAUGAAACAAGAGGAAUCUCUCCUUCCCGCAAGACUAGAAUCUCUCAGACACAACACUGAGAAGAAAGAAUCUGCACAGCCAAACUUGAGCAUUUCACUUGGACCUACUCUUAUGACAAGUCAAUUUCAUGAUGUGGACGACAGAAGCAAGACUACUCCUAUUUUCCAACUCGCCUCUCGGUCUAGACAACUCCUUCCAAAACCUGCGAACUCAGCUCCCACUACUGCUCCUCCCAUGGAGCCUAACGGGAGCCUCGUGUCGCAGAUUCACGUUGCUAGGCCUCCUCCAGAAGGUCGAGGCAAGACUCAGUUGCUUCCGCGUUAUUGGCCUAGGAUCACUGAUCAGGAGCUGCAGCAAUUAUCUGGACAGUAUCCUCAUCUGUAUGUUUCAUAACAUUCUUAUUCUAUGUUUUUUCUUUUGCAAUAUCUUCUUCUAUGCUAAGGUGUGUCCUUAACUGUUUAUUCUCUCUCCAAGCUCAAACUCCAAAAUUAUACCACUGUUUGAAAAAGUUCUGAGUGCAAGCGAUGCUGGUCGUAUUGGUCGACUGGUUCUUCCUAAAGCAUGUGCAGAGGUAACUUGUUUCUCCAUAAAAUGUUCCCCAAGUGCUUUAGUAUCAGCUAAUAACCUUUUAUGGUUGGUAAUUUAGGCGUAUUUUCCACCGAUCUCUCAGCCUGAGGGCCUCCCGUUAAAGAUACAAGACAUAAAGGGGAAAGAAUGGGUGUUCCAGUUUAGGUUUUGGCCUAAUAAUAACAGCAGGAUGUACGUUCUGGAGGGUGUGACUCCUUGCAUACAGUCAAUGCAGUUGCAAGCUGGUGAUACUGGUACUUUUCAAAACCCUUUUAUUUCGUGAUAUACUUACUCAUAACAUGUUGUUGGAACCUCGGUAUUAGGCCUGCUAUUUUGAGCCGAACCGAACAAAAUGUUUGGUUAGUUCUGUUCGAUUCGGUAGCUUUUUCUGUUUGGUUCGACAAUCGGUUACUUCGGUUUUCUUUAUGUAAGAAAGUUAUAACUAAACGAUACCAAAAACCUGAACCGAACUAACAAAACUAACCAAAUUUUCAAGCUAAACUAACCAAAUUUACCUGAAAUUAACCGAACUUAUCUGGAUCUUUAACAAAAUUAAACCAAAAUCUACCGAAAUCAAAAACUUCGGUGGAAUUUUCAAAAACGGAGCUAACCAAAUGCCGAAGCGAACCAAACUUUAUUUUGGGUUAAUUCUAUAAGAUAUAUGCUCAACCGAACUAACCGAACCAGCAAGCCUACCUGGUAUGACUAAAUCAAACAUUGGCAUUAAGCGUUUUCGAUCAUGUGUUGUGUGUUCUUGGUACUUUUUUUAUUACUUCUGAUGUUUUGAAUUUUUUUUUUGAUAUCUGCAGUAACGUUCAGCCGCACAGAACCUGAAGGAAAACUCGUAAUGGGAUACCGUAAAGCGACAAACUCUACAGCAGCACAGGUAAAAAGCAUGCCAGUCUCAUGUUGUAAUGAUAAGCAACUGUACUGUGAAGAGUAUUGAACUAAAAGUAUGCUUUCUGGUGCUCUUAUCAUUAUGAUGCAUUGAGUGAAACGUUUUUUUCUGUGGUUUCUUCAGAUGUUCAAGGGAAGCAGUGAACCCAAUCUGAACAUGUUUUCCAACAACUUGAGUUCGGGAUGUGGUGAUAUCAACUGGUCUAAACUUGACAAGUCUGACGACAUGUCAAAGGACGGCUUAAUGCUUCAGCCGUCGCUAAUCUCUGCUAGGAAACGUGUUCGAAACAUUGGCACUAAGAGCAAGCGACUGCUCAUUGAUAGCGUAGAUGUUCUGGAACUGAGAUUAACCUGGGAGGAGGCGCAGGAACUGCUGCGGCCUCCUCAGUCUGCUAAACCGAGCAUAUGUACAGUUGAAGAUCACGAUUUUGAAGAAUACGAUGUGAGUUGAUAGAGUCUACCUGUUUUUCACAAAAGCAGCUGGAUCUUUGCACUGUAGUUUCUGAAAUUAUUUACUUGAUGGUACUCAGGAACCACCAGUUUUUGGGAAGAGGACAGUGUUUGUGUCACGUCAAACAGGGUGAGGCCUCAUGUACUGUGUAAUGAUAGGAUCAGAAGAUGUUAAAUCACACUUUGAAUGAAUUAUUUGGAAUAAAUCGUUAGGCGGUUUAUAUUAGAUUAUUGAUUAGGUCGGUGUCUAGACCGAUUUUUUAAAUGCCUAGACCAAUAUUUUAAAAAAAAUGUUCUAGAAAAAUUGUUUUGCAUGUCCGAUUUGCCGACUAGUGGGACGCCUAGGCUCAGCUAUACCGAGUUUUAGAACACUAUUUGGCUCUAAUAUGUGAUCCUUGGAUUCUCAGGGAACAAGAGCAAUGGGUUCAGUGUGAUGCUUGUGCUAAAUGGCGACGGCUUCCUGUGGAUACUCUUCUUCCACCAAAAUGGUUGUGCUCGGAUAAUGUCUUGGAUCCUGGCAGGUAAACGAGACUGCAUACAUGUUCAUGUGCUUAACCUACAGGACAUUGCACAUGACUCCUCACUGAGACAAAUAAUAUGACUUGCUGUUUUUUUAUCUACAGGUCUUCAUGUUCUGCACCUGAUGAACUCACCCCAAGAGAACAGGAUACACUUCUCCGGCUAAGCAAAGGUAAUGAUCAGUAUGCUUCAUUAGAAACUUUUUUUUUUACAUUAGAAACUAAAGUUUCAUUUGCACAGAGUUCAAAAGGAGGAGACUGGCAUCAUCAAACCAGGAGGAGGCCUCUGCUCUAGACACUUUAGCAAAUGCAGCCAUCACCACUACAGGUGAACAAGGAGAAACCGAGGUUGCAGCCACGACCAAGCACCCAAGACACCGAGCUGGCUGUUCGUGCAUUGUCUGCAGCCAGCCGCCGAGUGGGAAAGGCAAACACAAGCCGUCAUGCACUUGCACUGUGUGUGAGGCGGUGAAGAGGCGGUUCAAGACGCUCAUGAUGCGGAAGCGAAACAGAGGAGAAGCAGGGCAGGCAAGCCAGCAGGCGCAGUCAGAUCAGUGCAGAGAGGAGACAGAAGCUGAGAGCAUUCCAGCGGUUGAACUGCCAGCGGCAGGGGGGAUUAACCUGGGAGGAGGCGCAGGAACUGCUGCGGCCUCCUCAGUCUGCUAAACCGAGCAUAUGUACAGUUGAAGAUCACGAUUUUGAAGAAUACGAUGUGAGUUGAUAGAGUCUACCUGUUUUUCACAAAAGCAGCUGGAUCUUUGCACUGUAGUUUCUGAAAUUAUUUACUUGAUGGUACUCAGGAACCACCAGUUUUUGGGAAGAGGACAGUGUUUGUGUCACGUCAAACAGGGUGAGGCCUCAUGUACUGUGUAAUGAUAGGAUCAGAAGAUGUUAAAUCACACUUUGAAUGAAUUAUUUGGAAUAAAUCGUUAGGCGGUUUAUAUUAGAUUAUUGAUUAGGUCGGUGUCUAGACCGAUUUUUUAAAUGCCUAGACCAAUAUUUUAAAAAAAAUGUUCUAGAAAAAUUGUUUUGCAUGUCCGAUUUGCCGACUAGUGGGACGCCUAGGCUCAGCUAUACCGAGUUUUAGAACACUAUUUGGCUCUAAUAUGUGAUCCUUGGAUUCUCAGGGAACAAGAGCAAUGGGUUCAGUGUGAUGCUUGUGCUAAAUGGCGACGGCUUCCUGUGGAUACUCUUCUUCCACCAAAAUGGUUGUGCUCGGAUAAUGUCUUGGAUCCUGGCAGGUAAACGAGACUGCAUACAUGUUCAUGUGCUUAACCUACAGGACAUUGCACAUGACUCCUCACUGAGACAAAUAAUAUGACUUGCUGUUUUUUUAUCUACAGGUCUUCAUGUUCUGCACCUGAUGAACUCACCCCAAGAGAACAGGAUACACUUCUCCGGCUAAGCAAAGGUAAUGAUCAGUAUGCUUCAUUAGAAACUUUUUUUUUUACAUUAGAAACUAAAGUUUCAUUUGCACAGAGUUCAAAAGGAGGAGACUGGCAUCAUCAAACCAGGAGGAGGCCUCUGCUCUAGACACUUUAGCAAAUGCAGCCAUCACCACUACAGGUGAACAAGGAGAAACCGAGGUUGCAGCCACGACCAAGCACCCAAGACACCGAGCUGGCUGUUCGUGCAUUGUCUGCAGCCAGCCGCCGAGUGGGAAAGGCAAACACAAGCCGUCAUGCACUUGCACUGUGUGUGAGGCGGUGAAGAGGCGGUUCAAGACGCUCAUGAUGCGGAAGCGAAACAGAGGAGAAGCAGGGCAGGCAAGCCAGCAGGCGCAGUCAGAUCAGUGCAGAGAGGAGACAGAAGCUGAGAGCAUUCCAGCGGUUGAACUGCCAGCGGCAGGGGGGAACAUUGACUUAAACUCAGACCCAGCUUCUAGAGUGAGCAUGAUGAGUCUUCUGCAAGCUGCAACGUUUCCUCUGGAGGUGUAUCUGAAACAGAAAGGUGUUCCAAAUACAGCGGGAGAACAGCAAAGCAGUGAUAUAGUAAGCACAGAGAACGGUUCGUCCUCAGCCGCACAAGAACAUGACAGAGACACAAGCGGAGCUCCUGAGGCAUUGAACUAACUUACUAGCCCCCUUUGGAAUCCUCCUUGAGUAUUUAUUCUUCAGAGGUGUGUUUAUUAAUGUAUACAACCUUUCUUCAGUUUCAAAUUGGUAGAGUGGUUAAGACUAUUCUGCCAAUUGUUUUAUUUUUCUUCUUGGUUUGGUUGUUGGUGUGUGGUGAGGCUUGAGAGAGAGAGAGAGAGAGAGAGAGAGAGGAAUAUUGGUGAGGUUUUUGGAAAUAUAUAAGACAGCCAACAUAAUCUUGACAGAUUGUAAUAUAUAUAUGUGGUUCGAAAAAUGAUAUUUUUGAUGCAAAUUAUGUCUCUCAUUCAUAGGUUUUUAUAAUCCAUAUGCAUCUUUGGCGCAUUUGAGAAGAUGAUUAGUUAAAGAGAUUGUAAUGGUAUAAUGUAUCUUGCCAAAGUUAUUGUCUACAUCUUCUAUAUGUUGUUUCACAUCAUUGGUUAUUGAUUUUGAUUAAUAAGAAUUGUAAUGUCUCAUCUAUGUGAAACAAGUGACAUUUGCUAAUCGGAUAUAAGAUGAGUUCAACAAUGCAAUAAAAGUUACAAUUUUUUUUUUAUGACAGCUUGUUUGUAACCCGGUUUGUACGGGUUUGAAUUAUAUAUUUUCAGUUUAAACCGGUUUAAACUUCUAUCCGAAAUCACCAAUUCAAAAUCUUCUUAAAAAUCAUGGACAGACCCCCACAAUAAAUAAAUAACUAAAUACGAUCAAUAAUACUUUUAAAAUAAUAAUUUGGGCCGGCCAAAGUUGAGUCGCCUCAAUUGACUAAUUCCGAAAUCACUCGCACAAAACUACACGCCAUUCAUUUUGUCAUACGUGUUUUUUUCUAAUUGAUUAACACGUCCUCCCAGACUCCAACACAUGGACUCUGCCUUCUUUUCUGCGUCAUCAAUAUGAAAACAUGACCUUUAUUAUGAUAUUAAUUAAUUACCAUAUAUGCCCCCACUAGCCUCCAAAUGUCACAAUUCUGUUUUUUCUAUUCCCAUUUAAAAAAAAAAAAAGUUAAGAGCACAGAGAUUAUAAAAUAACACGAAAGAUCACGAGGUAGUGUAGUAGUAAUCUAAAGUUUAUUAUAACGAUUGUAACAAUAAAGAUACUAAUGACGUGGUCAAAGUAAAUGGACAAGUGGGUGUGGCAGUAGAGUAAAUAAAUUGAAAAAUGAAGGGUGAGUUAGGCAGUAACAGAGGGAAGAUGAGAUAGAUAUUAGGUGGAGAGCGUGGUGGGUCCCACAAACGCGCAAGAGUGAUAGCUUGGGUUUCGGUAAGGUGAGGUCGUCUCGUCGUGGGUUCCUCUCUCGACCCUCGAAAGUAACAACUUCAUUUUCACGCGCUUCUUCUUUCACGUUAUAAAGUUGAAUAACAAAAAUAUAGUAAAAUAAAAGGAUUCUGGUCGACCACUUCUUUCAAAUGAUGUUGUCUUUUACCUAUUCUCAACACAAAUAAUUAUAGUUGGUUCUUAAUUUAAAUAUAUAUAAAUCUUGAUCCACCUAGGAAAUAUCUGAAUUUUAAUAGAUUAUAGUCCACAUAUACUAUAAUACUAUUUCAUUCAAAUAGAUGGAGGAAUCUGCGAACUAUAUGAUGUCAAAUAGUAGGGUUUUAAAUUAUAUGACUAAAUCAUUCUGUAUGUCAAAUAAAACAAACAAACACUUCAGUACAGAUGUUUGAAUACAUUGAUUUUAAAGUGGCAGCGUUAUCAAAAAUUAACUAAUUGCUAGGUUAAUUGAAGUUUAUAUGAUCUAAAAUCUAAAUACUAGUAAUAAAUACAAAUGAGUCAAAAGCGUUUGAGGGACCACAAUUUAUAUAAGAUAAUUAGCGUUUACUUUAGAUGCAUGGUAUAUGGGAAUAAUGUAAAGUUUACUUAAUGGGUGAGAUAUGUUCCUAUUCAAAUUGUGACAAAUAAAAAUCGACAUAUGCGCAGUUUGAUAAGGUCAGGGAAAGCUACUUUAUAAAAUUUGUAUAAUUGAUAGGUUUGGAUGGAUCGUAAAUAAUUACAAUAGCACAAUAACCUUUAUAAUAAAACAUAAAUCGUUUAUGUCGUGGUUUAUCUUGUUAUGUUUUAGAUAAAUCAGAACAUUAGUACCAUAUAUCAAAGACCCAUACUAUUGAAUCGAUAAGGAAAAUAUACCUUACCGUGAUUAAUCAGUUUCCUUCGUAAAAAGGAAAUGAAUAAAAUAAACAAUUAUAACGGGAAACAGUUUUUAAGAAAAAGAAAAGAAAAGAAAAAGGCAAACAACUUAGCGCGUGGAAUCACGGACGUUAAGCGAGAGUAGGCUAAAAAACUAACUACAAGCUGUUUCGGACACGCUGGGGCAUCGUGUUAUAAAACCAUGUUCGUCCUCUUCAUCAUCCACCACACAUGUAUUCCAUCUCCUUCUAAAUUAUCAUCUUUCCUCUUCUUCCUUCUAAUCUCCCCGAGACAAUCUGCCCUUCCCAGUAACCAUGGGCGUCGCUGUUCUAAAUCCCCAGGACUGCUUGAAGCAUCCUUUAUCUCACAUGAAACAUCCACGUAACCCCAGCGCAUGUCCCAACAGGCAGAAAAAACCGGUUUCAAACCGCACGCGCCGCAGCCCGCCGCGAAAACAAACCUCCCCAUCUCCCCCUGUAGCCCCGCCGCUUCCAAAGGGAACGGUGACGACGCGCCCCAACAACAACAACAACAGCGUCGUCGCUGGUCAGGUUAGAAUCCUGAAGCGCGGCGAGGAGAUCCCUAAGAAGACAACAGAUCUGGUCGUAGAAAAGACAGAUCUUGUCUCUACUCGUAGGAUCGGACCGGAUCCAGGAAUGGUUCCGAGUCAGAUCCGUUUACCCGUCCGCAAAGCAAAGACCGUCCCGUUUUACGCCGGUCCCGUGACCAUGACGUCUCCUCCUCCAAGCGACGUCCCUCUUCCAGCCUUUUUCGCUGCAAAGGAGCGUCUCUUUGUUCCAAGCCGCCGACGCUACCAACGAAAUCAUCAGGAUGCUCCGCCUAAACAUCGCGUGACCCGCGUACGGCCGAUGUUCCACUGUUGUCCAAAACUGUUCCAUUUUCGGAUCGAAUCUUUCAAAUAAAUCAUCUACAGACGGAUGAAAUCGAGAAGGUGAAGAAACAGCAUCUUCAGUUAUGAAACCGUUUUGUAUCUUCCCUUAUUUUUUCAAGGGGCAAGGUCGAAAUAUCUUCUUAACAGGCCUUAGUUUCUCUUCGAGUUUAGUGUUUGUAUAGAGUACUUGUUCAUAGGCUUUCUUUUUUUUUAAUUGUGUCUUUUGGUAUCUCCUGUGUUAGUUGCCGGUUUACUUUUAAGUUCGUCUUUCUUCUGUUGUGUCUCUUGUUGUUUCUCACCGUAGGCAAAGUAUCAGAGAUAUGUAUGUAUCUUUCUGGCAAUAUGCAGAUUGCAGUUUCUGUAUUACUUUGAUCUUUCGAUGUAAGAUCAGUAUUUCCAUCUUUAUAUUAAUUGAAAUUUAAGUUUUAUUUGUCUUUUUUUCCAUGGUUGUUCAAAGUAUUCUAUUCAUCCCUGAUAUCAAUCUAAGCGAUACGAAGACCUUGAUAUUGUGACAUUCUUAUGGAUCUGCUUUACAAUAACUCAAGAUAUAAAACUGGUUAAUGCUUCCCUCAAUUGUUUAACUUGUUACAUAAACUAUUCACGUUUGAAACUUGAAAGUGUGUCUCUUAUCACACGCAAAGAAACAGUGUUUAUACGUUUUAAACUAUCACACGCAAAGAAACAGAUUUUUAAGUCUUUUCUGAUUAGUGAUUUUUAAUAAUGCACGCUUGAUCCAUUUGGGAUUUUUAAAAACGGUCAUCGAUCUUAGAUUUAUCAUUGUGAACAAAUUAUAAAUUUUAUAGGUUGUCAUCAAUUACAUGCCAAGUUGCAAGAUACCAGCUCUCAUGGUUGGGCGGCCCACCAUGACCCUCUAUAGCCCAUAACUUUACAUAAGGUAAUUUUAAAAGAAUCUGCAUUCGAUUUUCACAAAAUAACAUAAGGUAAUUUAAUAUGAUUGAUAGAAACUUAUAAUUUAUUUAUCUCUAAGUUAAACUACUUGCCUUGUCUUUUUACUUCCGUAUCAAAAAAAAUUGACGGUGUUAACGGGGCUGGUUGGCACUAGGCAGCUGUCGAUUGUUCAUUGGUUGAACAUUACGUGUUAAAUGAUAAAUCCCCAAUAAGUCAGUAGCCACAUCAGUUUUUUUGUUCCUUUGCAUAUAAUAAUAAUAAAAAAUGUUUUAAAUCCAUAAAACAGCAAGGUGCCCUAAUAGUGAGACAAAAAAAGAAGAAAGAUUAACCCAAUUGCAAAAAAUGUUAUAGAGAAUCUUUACAUAUAAAUAUAAGAAAUAAUUAGAUAUACACUUUCCUAGCCAUGUUAAUUAACUACUUAUUAUCUCAAAGUUAAAUCCAAAUCUGCAUCUUGCAUUUGCUAAAAUGUAAAAAACAAUUUAUGUUUCGAAAAAUACAAUAAAGAAAGAAAAAAAAAGAGACGAAUAAUAAUAGAGUGAGCCUCGUAUAUAACAACACCAUACAUCUCUCUUUUUCUUCUCUGUUUCGAUACUUCAACUUCCUCCUUCUCUCUCUCUCUUCUGUAACUUCCCCCUUCAUUCUCUUGCAUAUCUGAUUCCCUUUGAUUGGUGAAGCUUCAAUGAAGAAGGUUGUUACAUCGGCAGCAGCUAAGAUGACGACGGUUAAGGAUGAGUGGGUGGCGGCGGCGAUGACGGACGACCAGAUGGUCGUAGAGCUUCUUUUACGGCUGAAGCACGCGGGGACGGUAGCUGCGGAGAAUCCGGAGACGAAUCUCCGGUGGGGAAUCCGUCAACGGAGGUCACGGUCCUCAAGAUUUGGCGGCGGCGUUACGUUGAAGAAGGGUGUGGAUUCGGUUAGAGGUAGUCCGAAGACGCCGCUCUCCUGGAGCGGCGGAUCUGGAAGUGGCGGCGCCUCUGCAUCUCCCUCCGCCGAGGACACCAGUCGCCAAGCUAGCUGCUCCACGUCUGCAGGAUCCGGAUCUAAGGUACUUUCUCCUCCUCCUCCAAACUUUCUUCUCCGGCGAUACACGUCCGUCGUGUGUUAGUAAGUCGUUCUCCUCGUCUCUGUAUCAUCCCUUCUUCAUGAUUCACACGAUUCGUAAUUCUAUGAUGACGUCAUCUCUUUCAAGCCGACGGAGACGGGUCGGACCUCCCUCGGCGUUUACGGCGGAGCCACCACCUUAUUUUCUCUAGCUCUAGGUUUAUUUUCAAACUAACUCUUCCGUUUCCAAAAGUCAAAAGCAUUUUUUAGUUUAUUUUCCUUUUUUUCGUUCUUGACAAUAUUCUAUGGCAAAGCUUAAUAAGAUCUGGUGGUUGGACGGUUAAUCUUCUCGAUUAGUUUAACGCUCCGGUUUGAACCGGAGUUUUCAAGCGGAUCUCACCUUGUGGAGCGUCUCAUAAUUGGCCGGUUUAGAGGUGAUUUUAUGAACCGGCCGAGUUUUAAAUUUUGUCUCGAGGAAUAAUAUAAAGCUUCUUUAGGAUUUUUAUUAUGGGGUUAGUACAGCAAGUUGGUCAAACGUGCACGUUCGCUUUACGUUUUGAUGCGUGAAACGAUACCGUUUUGGGUGAAAAGGUGGGAGGCGAGUUAAAUCCUGUCGGAGAGAUUAGGAUCACGUGAUCUUAAAAGAAUGAUGACGAUUGAUGACGCAGGGAUUUUCACAUCCAUUUUAGUAGUUUUACUGUCUUUCUGAUUUUCCUGACUUUUUUUUUUUGUUUGAAAUUUUCUAUUGUGGGAAAACAAACUUUACAAGUAUGUUAAAUAAGAUCUUUGGGUUUGAUUAUAGGAAAAGUGAAAGAUCUAUAAACAGUUGUCCUUAUUCGUCAGCAUAUCAUUGUCUUCAUUGAUAGUAACACCUUCAAUUUGGAAGAUUUGGCAUUUUAAAUUUUCUGAAUCAGUAUAUUUUCUUAUUUUGUUUUUGCAGGCUUUCCCCACUAACGAAAUCACCAGUUGUUUUCCCAAGAGAUUGAAGAACAAGAAGGUAUUAAAAAAAAAACUCUCUUGAAUUUACAAAUUACACUUUAAUACUGAGCUGAGUUUUUUUUUAAUAUUUGGCAGUCAACUUCUGAGCUUAAACACGAAGAGAACUUGAAGUUGAAGGAAAGACUCCACCUUGAAAAGGUACUUUCUCUUUUUCUAACCUUUGUUUUUGGAGGGCAAGACCGCUACCUCGGAGAGCUUAUUCUUCUUACCUGAUCUCAACAUAACGCCAUCCGAGGACGAGUUAUUGUAUGGAACUAGCUAGGUGCCAAAAUUUCUAUCUCGAUUUGAGUUACGACCAAGAAGGGAGGCAGAGACUUUAACAAAGAAAGUGAUUGUAUAUUGUCUCUUCCCAUCAUUCUUGUUUCUUUCUGGGUAAAACGCUCAUUACUUCUUGAUUAUUUUUUUUUAAGAAGAAAGUGAAUGUUAAGUUCUUUAGUGUUUUGUUCUCUCUCUUUUCUACCCGAUUCCUUGUAGCUAAAGCGUUGUUUGAGGAAAAAGUAGGACAACUAGUAGACUUUUGUGUCUUCGAAUUUCAACUUUAUUUUUAAAAUUAGAAGGAUAAAUCCCUUGUUUCUGCUCAACUAAUCCAAGACAAGAGAGAUCUCUCUAUCCACCUCAUUUGUCCACGAUUAUUCUAGUAUUUAAUUUUUCAAUAUUUUAUUUAAAACUUGUGAGGUGUAGUGUUAUUGGUGGUUCGUCGGCGUGUCCAUGAAUAUAAAAGAAAAACAAAUGACAACUUGUGAUCACCUAAUUUUGUCGGUCUUUUGUAUAGAUCCAAAGUUAUUUAUUACUAUUGCAGAUAAAUACACAAAAGUUAGAUGGUACUUAUUGUUUAUAAAUGUCAUAAAACAUGUAAUUUGAGGGAAAAUGGAUUUUUAAAGGAAAAACUAUAUUUGAUACUCCUUCCGUUUCAUAUUGUAAAUAGUUUUAGAAAAAAAAUUUUGUUUCAAAAUGUAAGUAGUUUUUAUAUUUCUAAGUAAUUUUUACAUUUAUUGAAUAUAAUGUAACCAAUCAAAUUAAAUAUAUUUAUUUUUGAUUGGCUAAAUUAUAUCUAACAUAUUUAUUAUACAAUACUUUUUAAAACAUAAUAAUUUUCUUAAUUUUUGUGAUUUUAGCUAAAGCUACUUACAUUAUAAGAUUAAAAGAAAAAAAUAUAAUAUUACAUAUAUGCUAAAAUAUCCAAAACGAGAAGCAACUGAGAAAGUAAAGUAGUAUAUUUUCAAAUUAUUAGCAGUUGACAAAAAAAUAAAGAAAGAACACGGUUUCAGACAUUUAUGGUUAAUUAAGACACGGUUGGUCUGGACGAAUAAUAACUCCUAGGGGAAAGAGAAAAAUAGUAUUUUUUUCUCCAAUCCCCAAAACGCAAGAAAACAAUGUCGUUUAACAGCUCCCACCUCCUUCCUCCGCAGGAAGACCUUCCUCUCCGACACUACUCCUCCGAUCAAUCACACCAACCGUCUCUCCUCACCGCCAGUUUCCUCCACCUCCCUCCCACCACAGCCACAACCGACUCCGAGUUUACCCAUCCGCAUCGCGACGGAGACAGUCCCGCUGCUGCUGCUACGAACCGACGGUGGCUCUCAUUCCACACGGAGGUCGAAAACACGGAAGAAGUCAAUCCUGAAGUCAACGCCGAUGGUGUUGAAGAUUGGAAGAGCGCUAGCGACAAAGCUGCGAUUUUGAAACAUCCCAUGUACGAGCAGCUUCUGGCAGCCCACGUGGCUUGCCUUAGGGUCGCUACUCCCGUUGACCAGAUUCCGAGGAUCGAUGCCCAGCUCAGCCAGUUACACACCGUAGCCGCAAAGUACUCCUCUCUCGGUGUGGGUAUGGACAACAAGGAGCUUGAUCAUUUCAUGGUAAGUUGGAUAAAAGGAGCUUCCUUUUUUUUUGUCAUACUCUGUUUUGUAUGUCUUAUGGCUUGUUUUAUGAUGAUGCAGUCACAUUACGUUGUGGUGUUAUGUUCGUUUAAAGAACAACUCCAACACCACGUCUGUGUCCAUGCGUUAGAAGCCAUUACGGCUUGUUGGGAGAUUGAGCAGUCACUACAAUCCAUAACGGGUAUGUAUGGUCUCACCUUCUCGCUGUAUUGUAUGUCUUUGUGAUUUUGUGUUGUUUGUGGGCUGCAGGAGUUUCACCGAGUGAAAGUAACGGCAAGACAAUGUCUGAUGAUGAUGAAGAUGAUAAUCAAGUAGUAGAGAGCGAGGUGAACAUGUUUGAUGGAAGUUUGGACGGUUCAGAUUGCAUGAUGGGAUUCGGGCCUCUUGUUCCAACCGAGCGGGAGAGAUCCUUGGUGGAGCGUGUGAAGAAGGAACUGAAGCAUGAGCUUAAACAGGUAGUUGCGAUAUUACAUUAAAUUAAACUAGAACACAUUUGUGUUAUAUCAUGUCAUGUGUGCUCGUAUUUUUAUAGGGUUUCAAAGAGAAGAUUGUGGACAUAAGAGAGGAGAUAAUGAGGAAGAGAAGGGCUGGGAAGUUGCCUGGAGACACAACGUCUGUGCUCAAAGAGUGGUGGCGGACUCACUCCAAAUGGCCAUACCCAACUGUAAAAGCCUCAGCCAAGACAUUUUCUUACAACUUUCUAAAAGGUUUUUUUUUUAGUUGGUUUUUGAAUUUUUUUGUAGGAGGAAGAUAAGGCAAGGCUUGUGGAAGAAACCGGUUUACAGUUGAAGCAGAUUAACAAUUGGUUUAUCAACCAGAGGAAAAGAAACUGGAACAGCAGCUCUUCCACAUCAUCUACUCUCUCCAAGAGCAAACGUAAACGGUAAUAACAAGAUUUGCGUUUCCUCAUAAUAUAUAUAUAGUUUUGUUUCUUGCACAAUUUAAUCAGUCUCAUAUCCUCUAUCUACCAAACUCAGGACUGGGAAGUCGUAGGUGACAUUCUGGUUAACCAGAGGAUGAUGCUUGCUUCUCCGGAUAUGAAAGACAUGGUUUCUCCUCCGGUUAUGUGAUCGUACUAAUUACAAUAUGUAUAGGUCUAUCGGUUUGCCUAUAAAAUUGGAUUUGUAGAGCUUAAUCAUGUUUGUAUCAGCUUAAAAUCUAUGUUUAUGUGUGUAUAUAAAGUAUAGUUCUUGGAAGUUGGUUUUUGCGUCUAGUAAUGAACGCUUGGUCGGUUUUUUUCUUUGUAAAUUGCUAUGGUUCAUUAGUAUCAAACAAUAUUCAUCGCAGUUAAAUCUUUAUCUCAAACAAAAAAAUAGUUUUGUAUAAGUGCAAGCAGCCAGUACCGGUCCUGACAUAUAAAUGACCAGAAAUUAAGUUUUUGUAUAAAUGAAAGCAAGAGGUAGCAGCUUUAGGCAACUUUACAGUUUUGUAUAGUUGUGACCUCUUGCUAAUCCCCGUUAUUGGACUUGACCAUUGAUUUUAAUCUGAGAAAUACCUUUUUAUUCAAUUUUUUUUUUAAAAUAAAACAAUCUGAAGUCAGGGUACAACAAACAUUCACACAACAACAAACACAUUUAACACACUAAUCCAAAAUCAACAACUAAUAAAAAAAUGAUUACAGAGCUAUGUUACAAAAAACAAACAAAACAAACAAAGAACAUAUUAACCAAUAUGUUGUAUCAAAUCAGAAGAGAAGAGAAGUAUCACCAUCUAAAAACCUUCUUCUCUAGACUGAAUCCUAAUCAGUCUCAGCCUACCACAUGAUUAUCGCAGAGGCCAAGAGUAUAUAUCCCGUGGAGAUCAAUAUCCAUAGAAAAAAUUAUAGUGUUCUUUUGAAAUAUGAGACUAAACCAAACCAAAAGGGAGGAGAUAAAAAUGAACACCACUCCCAAACAAACAAAGUGACCUGCAAUACAUUGUUGAACAAAUCAAAAGAUUAGCUUUCCAUCAGGAUUAUGUGAAGCAGAUAUGAGUUACUACUUACUUACUUACCUACUGAUACAUACUGAGAAGAAUGUUUCAUCAACCAGAUCCAGAAAACACAUUCUCCAAGAUAUCAUGCAGUUUUGGAGCUCGUCUCCGGAACAUCGGUUCUAACCGGAAAGAAGGGACACCGGUCUGCCAUCGCUUGGCAUCAUACAUCUCAUUCCACGCCUGUACUAUCUCAUCAAUCUUGAACCCCAUACCUUCAAGUGCACUCUCGCUUGAACAAUGACUCUUCACCAUCACAGCUACAUCAGUUGAAGAAGCUCCAGCUAGUUCAAACUUCUCAACCGCAACCUCCAAACAUUCCUCCCAAGUUAGCAACCCAAGCUUAUACUCCACUAUAGAGCGUUCAUACAGCAAGGAGCCCCACAAGAGAUUAAUCUGAGAACUCAUAUUAGCCGUCUGUUCUUCACUAAACAACUCCAUCUUAUGCAGCAGUGACUUCUCUUUAUCAUACUUUGAGAUUCCGUUUAGACGACCCUCUUCCAUCUCUUCCCAUAUCUGCAUACCCUUCUCCAUGCUAUCCUCAGCUUUGUUGUACAGCAUAAGAACCUCCUUAGACACCUCACUCUCUAUAUCCACCUUCCUUUUGAGAGCAUGAUACCACAAAAGCUUUGCGUGUUCGAACUGUUCUUGACCAAGCGCAAUGAGAGCUUCGUAGAAGUCAGGUUUAAUCUUGAGAGCUUCCUCAUACUUCUCCGCAGCUUUGUUGUACUCGUUCAGUGUCCACACAAACGCAGCUUCUAUUACAGCUUCUGUUGAAGCGUCUUCUGGAAAGUAGACUUGCUUCCUCGCCUUUGACAUAUGGACGUUACCCCAGUUGAACAUAGCUAGCGCACCCAUUUCUCGGAACUUAUCAGCUGCUAUUUCGAAAAGCUUUUGAGCGUCUUCGCCAGUUACUGCUUCCUCCAUCGCUUCUGUGUAGAGCUUCAUCCCUAGGUCGUGGAGGUCCAAGUAAGAAUCGGAAUCAAACCCUACAUGGUUCUUGAACAUCUGCGCAAACUGGAAGAUCCAGUUCUCAAAGGAGGUGGAUGCUUUGUCAGAUUCAACCUUCAUGCCAUCAUAGGUUGGUUCUUGAUCAGGGUGAACUUCAGCUAUAUAUAUUCUUAAGGAACCGAGUUUGUCAUUGUUAGAAGCAGCUAGAUUCAGUUCAUUCGUUGCAGUGAUGGUGACUAAAUCACCUUCUGGAUCCUUGUACUUGAUCAAGAAACCUCUGAGAGAAGGGAAACGAUCUUUGAUCACAUCUCUUACGAGUCUAACGCUGGAAUCUAGCGGUAACUGUGCCCACCUGAUAUCAUCUCCAUGUACCAACUUAACCGUUCUAGUAACUGUUGACUGUUCGAAAAACUCAGAGGCAAUGACCUCUUUGUCCAUGACAACAACCUUAUCAUCUUCCAUCUUCCUCUCUUCUCCUCCUGCCUUGUUACCAUUUCUCUUCUUCUGUUUCUUGAGUUUAGGUUUCUUUUCUUCUUUAUUACCACCAAUCUUUGCAUCAAUCUCAGACUUUUUAUCGCUCUUCUCCUUGCUCUCUCCUUCGUCUCUCUUGACAAUCUUUGGACUCUCAACACCACUCUUCUUCUUCUUCUUGCUCUCCUUAACAACCUUCUUUAAACUCGCUGGGCCAAGAGGCUGCACAUUAACAAAGCUCUUCUCCAUCUCAUCAACAUCAACACCUUUCUCCACCAACGCCUUCUUCACCCUCUCAAACACUUCAUUCGCAGACGCGUUCUCCGGCUCCAUGUUCAGCACAAUCCUAGCAUCCCUAAACGCGUAAUCUAGCUUGUUCAAAGCCUCGUAACACCUAGACCGUCGCACUAGAGCCUUACUGUACCUAGGAGAAGCCUCGAGAGCCAAAUUACAUUCGUUUAUAGCGUUUGGAUACUCACCUAAACCCAUUCGCAUGUAGCAAGAAGCCAUGCUCGUUCUAAGAUACGCUACAUCGAUGUGUUCCUUAGGCAACAGCUUAACGGCCUUGUCGAAGCUUAACAUCGCUCCUUCGUUGUCGCGUUUUUGGAAGAGCUUGUUCCCUUCUUCUUUGAGCUCGAGUGCUCUGCUGAUGAAUAUCUCCAUGUCUUCGUCGAAGGCUCUCGAAGUCGAACGAUGGUUGGUUUUUCCGCCGCCGGAAGCAUCCUUUGCCGUCACCGGAGUUUUCUUCUUCGUCGCCGGUUUUCCCAUUUUCAAACUACUUUCCCGAUAUAGAAAACAAUUAAUAAACGUGUAAGAUUGAAGUUUGAUGAUGAAGCAGAGGAAUGAAACAGAGAAUAAGAAGGAGAAGCUUUUAUGUUGACACUUCAAAGGGAACACGACACGACUCUUUCCAUAGGUGGAGUGAACCCUAAUCCAAGAAUAAAAUAAAUAAUAGUAAAAAAAUACACAUUUGUUUGUUUGCUGUAAUAAGCAAACGGUAUUGUAUUCCGACCAAAGCGAAAGUCUUCGUUGUGUGUGUUUGCUGGAAACUGGAAAGAUAGAGAAUUAUUAGUUUUUCUUUUUCUUUUCAAUAUAUAUAUACGAAAUAAAUAUCUAUAAGGAAAAAAAAACUCACAGAAUAUUUUGAUAUUGGCCCCAAUAAGUAUAAUGUAGUAUUUUAGAUAAAUAAAAUUAUUUAUAAAAUCAAUGUAUUUGUAAUUAACAUUAAACUAAAAGUUGCAUUUAAAUUUUAAAAUGACAUUUUUGUAAUUAACAUUAAUACUAAAAGUUGUAUAACAAGAUUUUCAGAAACAAAAUGAGUAAUUUUUUCCUUUUAUAAUAUGUGAAUAUGAAAAAUCGAUUUAAGAAAAAACACAUACAGAAUAAUUGAUAUAGGCCCAAUAAGUAAGUUUAUCUAGGCCCAAUAGGUAUAUUUAGCCCUCUCAAUUUCUCAAAUUUUUACAGAAAGAUGCUCACAUCAAUUUUAUUGGCAAAAAAAAAAGAGAUAACUCAUAUUGCUUGAGACACAUGAAACCUAAUAGCCUUGUUCAUAGGAUCAUAGACAUGUUUCUUGUUACAUAAAUCAUGUUUCUUGUUACAUAAAUUAAUGGUUGAAACUUUAGCCGACCCUGGAGCUUACGGGUUUGAAGAAGUAAGGCUCGCCGGCAUAAGUAAACUGAGCGGUGCCGCCAGCUGCUAUAGCGUUUCCGUUAAUCAGAAGACAUGUGUUUCCUCUUGGGAGCAGUAGCCACGGUUCAACAGGCUUCACGGGAGCAAAACCUCCGCAAGAGAGAGUCACGUGCAACUGAGGUUGGGAGCACGUGUUGAUCACCGAUAUUUUCCACUCCGGUUCUCCGGAGAUUACUCUCCCCGUCCUCGCCCCUCCGAUCUGGAUGUUAGCGAAAGAGCAGCCGCACAGUCCUGGAUUAAGAUAAAAGGCAUGAAACUUAUGGGAUACAUCAUACAUGAAAAAAGUCUAUAGAGAUUCGAUUAUACAUUACCUUGAGUGACCAUAGACAGAAGAAGAAAGACAACAAAAUACCUAAGAGCAAACGUCAUUGUUGUUGUGAUUUUGUGUGUUUUGAAUGAGAAAAGAGUCAAUCAGAUUUAUAUAGUCGUUGCUUAUGCUUUAAGUCUCUUGCAGCCUUAAUUAGUAAAGAUAUAGUCCUAGAUUUCAUAAGAAUAUGGAAACACAAUUACCAAAUAAACAACAGUAUAGUUAGUAUAUAUCUAUACACUUUUGGCAAUGUAUUUUACUUAUUAAUUGCUUGUAUUUGGUUGGUCAAUGUAUCUAAGAUUUCAAGGUGUUUACUUGCAAGGUGUUUUAUCUCUUUAUUAUUUUUAAAACAUUUCAUACUAUGUGUCUUAACACUACACUGACUGCCCAUAUCCUUCAGAUUAAUAUUAUUAUAGUUUUUGCAUGAGAUUUGUGCUAAGGAAAUUAUAUAAUAGACGGAAGAAUGAUGAGUAACGAAAAAGUAAUACUCAAUUCGGAGCUAACCAUUCCCUAUUUUGUUUUCUUACCCUAAAGCUCAAGAGAUAUGCCCUAAUCAUGUAAUGAAUGGCCUAAUCAUACUUUCAUCCUACCAAAACGAAUUAUAAUUUUUGUAUCAGGUCUAAAAAUUGCCUCAAAGAGUAUCAAAGCGCCAUGGAUGUGAGGAGAGGACAAGUGAUCUAGCUACGCAUUGUUCAUGCCAUGGAACACACUUUUUCUGCAAAAUGAACAGAUUUACAUCGGUUAUCAUUCAGGUACUAAGACAAAAUAAUUUGUUUCUUAACCUCGUAAAGCCUAAGCAUUAUUCAGUUAACCAUGAGAACAGUUUUUUUUUUAUUGUGGGAGAGAAGUAUUCACACCUUAUCUUGUGCCGCUGCAACAAAGUCGAUUGUCGUUUAUAUAUGUUGCUUGGACACCAAUCAUCCAAGAUCCGAUGGAGGUAUAUAUCAUCCAACGCAUAUGUCUUCAACUAUCCACUGCAUUUAUAUAAACACUAGUGGAGAAAUUGUGAACCGAGCUUAAUUUGACUUAUAUCUAGAUAUAAAAUUUACUCUUUCAGGUGACAAAAUAUUUUUACCAAAGUGUGGAAACCUAACGUUUUUAUAUUGAUAUACGUGCAUGCCACCGAGAGAGGCACACGAAUUGCAUGAUCAAUCAGAGACAAAGGGAAGAGCUUAGCUUUUAACCUGUCAUUGAUAUUUGAAGGUCUCCCUCUCAACAUGUAAAUGUAAAUGUAAAUUUAUAAAAUUAAUCAAAAUAAAAUAUUCGUUCAUUUAGAAAAAGUAACAAAUUAUUAAAUUUUGUAGAUAUAUAUGUUUGAAGAGUAAGAAUUUAAAAAUAUGAAAGAAAACAUGCAUGAUGUUAUGUACAACAGAAAAAAAUAUCGUUUACCAAUUUAUUUACAAACUCAAAACAAAAUCCAAUGAGCUGACCCAACCAAACCGAAAAUAAAAUAAAAAACGUGGUUCACGAGCCAAACCGAAGGUGGGGGAUACAACGUAUAUACACGGUAACGGUAGGCUUCGCGCCUCCGUCAAAUGACGUGUCAUCCUCUUGGAUUUUCCGUUAAAGUAGACGACACCGCCGUUAAUCGCCGUGGUCCAUGGAUUUCUUCAACCAGAGGAAGAAGAGAAGACCCUGAGAGACGCCAUCUCCCCCGUUUCUUCUCUCUCUCUCAAUUCCACCUCGAUCUGACGAUCAUCAUAAACCCUACUCUUCGAUCGUAAGCUCAGAUCUCCGUUUCGAGCUGGAUCGGGCGAAUCAGUGCUCGAUCGCUUCUCUCCGAUUGGAAUUUGAUCGGAAUAUUCGAUUCACGAUCGGAAAUCUGGAGAGGGAGAUAGAGAGUAGGUAGAGAGUUUGGUGGAGAUGAUGCAGAGACGGAGUCCGCCGAAGCACAGGCAUGACGGGACGUCGCCGCUUCCAUUGGGGAUGGAUUGGAGUCCUCCGCCGCGCAAAUUGGUUAGCUCUUACGUUUCCCGCGUAUUCGAACUUUAUUGUGGGAGCUUCGUGCUUGAAUUCGUUUUUGGGGGGUUUGAGUGAGUCCCAAGCUAGAAGCUACCAUCAAAGCCCUAAGUAAUUGGGAAACUCCUAACAAUUAGCUGAAGCAAUUGGUGAAUUAUGUUUCGUUGAACAUCAGGAGUAGCUAAAACUUUGGUUAUGCUCCUUGGAUAGUUGGUUCUGUUUGGCUAUCAAUUGCAUUUUUGAUAUAUGUAAAGUUGGAGACUUUAAGGCAGUGAGAUUAUUAUUGUGCAGAAUGGUGGAGAUACUGUUUGGCCUCAUGACCCUCGAACCGGAUGGAGUUAUUGUGUUACAAUACCCUCCUGGGCUGUCCUUCCAAAGUCUAAACAUUCAGAUCCCGUUGUGGUAAGUCAAAUCUCCUGGGUUUAUCUCUUGCAAGCUCAUAAUCUUUAGUGUUUGUUUAUAGCAUUUUUUUUUUUGCUGAACCAUAUAGCGUGAACGUUUGUGGAUCAAUAAACUCUUAACAUGAAUAAUGAUAUAUUGUUUCCUUCCUCUUCUACCUGAAUUAUCUACUGGAGUGUGCCUUCUUUUUUUUUUUUGGUAGUUGAAGAGUUUUGUUGUUGUGCAUGUAUUAGAUUAUUCCUGACAUUUUAGAGGAACAGUUUUACAGGGUUCAGAUAAGUGUGCAGUCUCCGGAAGGUGUUACCACAAUGCGAGGAGUGUUGAGAAGAUUUAAUGAUUUUCUUAAGCUAUUAACUGAUGUAAGAAUUUUAUUUGCCUUAUACAACUCUCCAUUUUUUUCUUCACUUCUCAACGAUAUGCACAUUCAUGUUUUCCUCUCAGCUUAAAAAAGCAUUUCCCAGAAAAAGUUUUCCAUCAGCUCCACCCAAAGGGCUGUUACGUAUGAAAAGCAGAGCAGUGUUAGAAGAGGUAUGCAUUUUUCUUGGCGCUAACUGAAUUAGGUCACUUGUGUAACCCCUUUCUCUAAACUUCGCCCAACGAAGAGUAAGCACGAAUAGGGCAGAUGUAUAGAUAUACGGAAAGCCAUGUACCCAGCAUACAAUUAUUCAUGCAAAAAAUCUGUUUCACAAGUGAUAACUGUGACCUUGUUGCAGAGAAGGUGUUCUCUUGAGGAAUGGAUAACGAAGCUAUUAUCCGAUAUAGAAUUGGCAAGAAGUGUCGUAGUUGCAUCCUUUCUUGAACUAGAAGCUGCUGCUAGGUCUGGUAUGAGCUAUUACAUUAUGCUCUUAAGCCGUGCUUUGGUAAACUUUAUUAACUGUUAUUAAAUUCUACCGUGAUGUUGCAUUUCAGCAUGCCAAGAUGUAGAUCAGAAUGCUUCUGAUGCGAAUAAUGAUAGCACAAGUUCGUCACCCAUGGUUCAUCCAAGUUUGAGCUUGUUUCAGACUGGCGGCAGUUCUUCUCUCACAUCUGACUAUGGCAGUGAUACUGUUUAUGAAACAUCUGAGCUUGGAUCUCCAAGUGUAGGACAGGAUGAUAUUUCUGAAAUUGGUACCGAAGAUCUAACUCUGGAUGAAGAAGUAACAAAUCCAAUAGAGAAGCUCGUUAACUUUAGCAUGUCCAACAUUGACGAGGGACUUUCAAUGAGCCAAACUAUUCUAGAGCAACUUGAAGACUUUUCCAAACGUAAAGUCCGCUCAAGAUAUGUCGAUAAUAUCCAAGGGAAGGAUGUGUAUAAUGGAAACGCUUCUAAAGAUGUGUUUCUUGGUAACAAUGGCUCACGACUUCUCUCUGAAUUAGAAUCAUCAGCUCACUCAGUUAUGCAUAAUAGAAAUCUUUCUGUUGAAAGUGCUGCCGGGUUUUCUCUACACACCGGUGAGACCUCAACAUCUGGUCUCCUAAGUUCAAGCAGUGAAAGCCACCUGGAUCUGAACCGAGGUGCUGGUGUAUCGCAUGGAACUGGUCUUGUUUGCACCCCAGAGAGACAGGGUAGUGCACAAAUAGUUCUUCCAGUGGACCUGCGUAAGAAAUUGAACAAGACUCUGUUAGCCACGAAUGAGAGACUUGUCAAUGCAAAAACAGAUAUGGAAGAUCUUAUAGCAAGACUAAAUCAAGAGAUAGCCGUGAAAGAUUACCUGAACAAAAAGGUACAAUAAGAAAGCUCCUUUUCUUUUUGGUAUCCGUAUCUUAUCAUUUUUUUUCUAUAGAACGAAUGGUAGUGUUGUAAUCUUGUUUUUCUGGUCAGGUUAAUGAUUUAGAAGGGGAACUUGAAACUACUAAGCAAAGAAGCAAAGAGAAUUUGGAGCAAGCUAUUUUGACCGAGAGAGAAAGAUGUACUCAGAUGCAGUGGGAUAUGGAAGAACUUAGACAAAAAUCUUACGAGAUGGAAAUGAAGUUAAAAUCGAGAGAGGUAUGAUUUAAAAUAGUCUCAUAUCUAUUAAAAUUAUUUUAGCAACCAAGCUGGUUCGCGUAGCAGGCUGAUUCAAAUCAUUACAACAGGAUGGGAGCUCACAUGAAGAACCCACUGAAGAGCCAACUAUUUCCGAGAGAGAUGUUUUGUGGAAAGAAUUGGAUGCCAGAAAACAACAACUGGGGGAUCUCUCCAGGCGAUAUAAUGAAUUAGAGGCAAAAUCUAAAGCAGAUAUUAAAGUUCUUGUCAAAGAGGUUAAAUCUCUGAGGCGUUCUCAUGUGGAGCUAGAAAAGAAGCUGACUCAAUCUUUGACAGAUAAAACAGAAGCUGAGGUAAUUUCUGGCUAUGACAGCACCAUGGGUUUGUAGAUUUUUACUAUGUAUGUAUGAAAACAAGAGAGAUAACUGAGCCUGGAAGAACGUUGCACUUUUCAGAAACUGCUGGAACAUGAGAGAAAGCUACUUGAGAACUCAGCAUCGGCUAGAAAAAAGUUGCUUAGUGACUGCAGAAUUCUCCACGACCGCCUUAAAGAGUACAACUUGAAUUUAUCAACAGACGGAAAUGGUAGCCUGGUAGAGGACUCAACUACAGUAUCAGAUGCUCUGCGUUUGCUGUCAAUAUCUGAUGAUCAAAUUGAGGAGGUAAUACUGCAUCUCUGCUUUAUCUCCUUUUUAAAUCACAGUUUCCCAACCCAAUCACAUCCAUGGUUUCCUCUACUAGGAGUUGCUUUUCACUGCUGCUUGAUACAUGCAUCGGGAUAAAGCUAUUUGUUAGCGUAGGGUAGUUAGUUAUUCGCUGUACUAGUGAAGCAUUGCUAAAACAAACCUUGCUUGUAACACUGUAACGGUGGCCAUUUUUCAGGCUCAGCUGCUUGCCGGGUUUGAUGAAACUGCUCAGGGCAUUGAUAAAUCUCUCAGCAUCCAUACCGAGACAAGAAUCAUGGAGGACGAGCUGAGGAAGACAUUAGGAGAGAUCUUUGUUGAGAAUGCCAAAUUGAGAAAACAGGUGAACUCUGCAAUGCUUCGUGCUCUCCAAAGACCACCAAGGAAGAUAUGAACGAGAAAUAGGAGGCAUCAACAGAAACACUGAACGUCGUAUAGGUAUUAAUCAUAACAGUUGCUUUGACCUGAGAAUAGAGUUACACAAUGAGAACUGCCAUUUUUAUUGUCUUUGAUCAAUGGACUGGUCGCUUUCUAUUACAAAAGGGUUGGUCUCUUGGUGAAGAAGUUGAAGCUGUGUACUGCGUAUGUUUGUUGUAUAACCGUAUUGCGUUGUUAAUCCUUUUUGCAUAUAUAAUAAAGUGUGUUGUAACAUGCCGAAUUGACCGAAAAAAUGUGAACUGAACCGGAACAAAAUUGACCGAAACCAGACUGAAUCUGAUUUUUUUUUUCAGAUAUAAGUCGAUUCUCGGUUUUAUUAUCUAAACCAAAGAAACCAUUAAGGCUCUUGAUUCUCAGAUCUCUGCUCUUAGUCAAGACAUUGUCAACAAGGUUCUUCCUUCUUAAAACAAAAAAAAAAGAACUCUUAUUAAUUAAUUACUCAUGUAAAUCUCUCUUGGAUUGUUCGUGUAUAAGUUUUAUGAUAAAAUUGUUAGCUUUAUAAGUAAGUGUCAUGGACCAUCAUCGUAUGAAGAGGAUGUAAUUAUCUCAGUAAUCUGGAUUUGUCAGUCUUGUUCCACUCACAAGUCACACUGUCGUUACGUUUCAUCUAGAGGCUAUGGUCAGGAUUACUCAAAGUAUAUGGUAUCUUAGUUCUUGAUAUAUUGGAAGGUGGUUGUUAGAUUCUGGAUGGUUACGACGACUCUCGCGAUCUAAAUAGCGUGUGAUCAGAUCAUGUUUCUUCUUUUGGUUUUCUUGAUUUAGUCAUUUUGUCCACCGUAAAAGUCGAUACUCAUCAGAUAUUAUAUGUUUACCGUAGGGGUGGGUGGCAUUGCACGAAAAAUCACCCUAAUUCUCAAAUUUUGUAAUUUGAUUUUCGAUUUGUGUUUCGAAAAAAUAUAUGUAUAUCCAGUUUUUUUUUUAUAUAUCUAGAAAUUUGCAAAUAUUUUUUUACAGAUAUUCAUAGAUAUUUUAUCUAUUUUGUUUAGAAAAAAAAGUAGUUUCACCAUUAUUUAUAAAUUAAUUACUAGUUUAACUCUAAUAUUAUUUUAAUUACUAGUUUAUUUUUCUUUUUUGUUCAAUACUCCUUCUGUUUCAUAAUAAUUGUCAUUCUAGCUUUUUUUUCUUGUUACAUAAAAAGUGUUAUUUUACAAUUUCAAUGCAAAUUAUACUUAAUUUCACCCACCGUAGAGACCAAGGGUUUGAUGUUUGCAACAUUGCAUUUUACUCACCAUCUAAGGUUUUUGUGUGUUUGCUUUACAUUUUGCUUCGAUUUAUUACCUCCAAAUUUCAGCUAUCAUGUUUCCCUUUCAUUAUAAUGUUUUGUAUCAUUCCAUAGCUAUGUUUUCAUGCGGAAUAUUUAGUAUGAAUCUGAGGGUUUUAUAUAAUGUAUAUCCCAUGAAUCAUUAAGUCUUAUUGGAAGGAAUAUUCGUUAAGGGUAGCUUAGUGAAACAAAUGCGAUAGCAUAAUAUACCACCUAGUUUUAACCAGAAAGAUAUAAAGAGACCAAAAUGUAGUCUACUUAUGUAUGCUAAUGUUUUAAUUGUAUCGAGAUUCAAAGCUGCAUAAUGCAAAUAUUAUAUUUACUAUAUGAAGCAAUGGUAGGUGGGAACCAUCUUUUGGGCUCUAUUGAUCAUAAUCUGCAAGAUUGCUCUCGACCUAACUACUGAUUUUUGUUCGUUAUUAAUAUCUCCUUCGCUAUCUUCGAUAUUUUAUGUGAUGUUUAAUACAUAUAUAGGACUGAAAAUUGAGAAGGAACAACCUUAUUUCUGCGACAUAGUGAGUUAUCAAAUACGAGAAACCAUAUAUGAAUUAGAAAUACAAAUCAUGAUCUAGAAAUCACACGUUUGAGCAAUUCGAACGUGCCAAACAAAGGAUCCAAAUGAAUAUCAGAUAGUAGUUCUCUGUUGAGUAUACGUAAGUUGAUUAUCUUCUUUUAUCUUUUUAAGAACUAAGUAAGUUGAUUAUCUUAACACAUGCAUGCUUUCACACAAUCAAAUAAAUUAAAUGUCAUCGGUGUUACGAAACUUUUAAUGGCUAUAUACGUGUGUCAGGAUACGUGUAUCUUAAUCACAUGACCUCUCAUCAAACAUUGCUCAUAAAAACAUACUAAACAUAUAAAGGAGCCCAAGAAUCUUGCAUGACAUUGACAUGCAAGCAAAAAUGGAUGAGACCACUGUAAUAUUGGUCACUUACACAAAUACAGUACUAGGUUUGAUAUAAGGAAUUUGUUAAACGCUUAUGAUUGUUCCGAAAAGGAAGAAGCAUAUUUUUUUUUCUGAAAAAGGGCUUAGGAAGAAGCAUAUUGCCCAUAAAGAAAAUCCUAAAUUCAAUGCAUAUAACCACCUUUGUAUUGUCUGAUCUUCAUAUUAAUUUGUUAUUCAAGGAUUUAAAAUAUUAUCAUACUUUAAGAAACUAUAAGAAGAUUAUCUAAUAUACAAUUACAAAAUCUUCCAUUCUAUUGUAAUUCACGAUACGGCACAAAAGUAUACAUAUCCCCAAGAUCUUGGUUUCUUUUGCCUCCUCUUUUCCUAGUAUACACACCCAUAAGCAUAUUAAUAAGAAAUAAGAAUCACAUCAGUUCUAAUGUUUGAAUCACUCAUUUAAGAGAUACGCAUUAUGAGUUGUUGAGAUCUCCCAAAUAUUCGUUUGAUAUCCUUAGUUAUAUCAUUAUUGGUGAUUAAAUUAAUUUAUUAUCAACUUUGGGAUGCCGUCCAACAAAAUCAUGAUCAUGAAAUCAGAUUGUGUUCCAAUAAAGAUUGUCUCAUGACGUUUAAUUUAAGAACAAUGGGGUAUAUAUUAAGAAUUUAUAAUACUGAAAGCCGAUAUUAUUUCCAACCAGUAUAACCAUACAAAGCAUUAACAACAAUAGAAAAUCAAUUAAAAUUCGAUCUUAUAUAACUUAGAAUGCAAAUUACAUUAAUCGAAGAGCUUGAAUGGUAUUUAUAUUUUGACCCGAGCUUAGAAAGCGCGGUUUUGUUUGUUUUUCAUUUAUUAAUCGAAAACUAAUUUACAAAUUAUCAUUAUUUUUGUUUCGAACCAUAACAAUUGAGUUUUUAGGUUUUUAUCAUUUGUUUCUUUUUCUCUUCAAAAUAUAGUAAUUGUUCAAAAUGUGGUAUUUGUUCUAUAAUAAUGUUUGAGUUUUAAGAUUUGUUUUCAUAUCUGACCUAGAUUCAUGGUUGAACCUAUAGACUCGAUACAUUGUAUAUAAUCCGGUUCAGAUUUAACGAAAAAUUCGUUAAUUAAAAAUCCGAUAUAACCAUGCAAAAACCCAAAAACUCACUAUUAAACUGCGAUCUAAUACCAUUGAUUCGAUAAAAAAAACAAAAUAUCUGAUAGUAUUUUUUUCAAAAAAUUGAUUAAAUUACUCAUAUUUUUUAAUAUUACAUAAUUUAGUGAUUCCUUAGAAUUUGAUAAAAAAAAUUUAUGUUAUCCAAAUAAAAAAUGAAAAUAUAAAAAAACUUAUUGAUAGGAAAAUAUUAGUUUAUUUUCGUUAUUAAUAACCUAUUAUAAGUUUUUGUUUUUAUUUUAGAUUUAAAAAUUGAUUUUAAGAUAGUUUUUAGAAUAUUCUUGAACACUCGUAAUUGCCAUAUCAAUAUUAUGUAUAAAAUGAUAUUAUACAAGGAAAAAUGAUAUUCAAAUAUGUAUAUGAUAUAUGGUGUAGGAUAUAGGAAUUUGGUUUGUAUUGAAAAUCUGUAUAAUAUUCAAAUGAUCUAUUUUGAAUAUUGAUACAUAUAUUUAAGAAAAUAAUAUUUUCAUGUUUCUUAAUUUAUUUAUAGUUCAUAAUAUAUUUAUAUUUAUAUUAAAUUUAAAGUUAGUAUAUCUUUUAAAUAUACAGAAGAGUAGUGAGUAGUUACCUUUGGAUUCAUGGGUUAAGGUAGAUUAAGGUGAUUAAGUGUAGAUCUAGGGUGUUUUGUUGUAGAUCCUUCUUAUUCCUUGCUAGUAGAGUGAUCUAAAUGCUAUUUUAGAGUUGGUCUCUCUAAGGUUGAGCUCUAGACAUUUCAUACCUGAAAAGUAUUGAUGAAAUGUCUGAACCAACACUCCUAAGCUUUUAACACUCUUUACCAAAGAGAUUUGUUGUUAAAGGUGUUAAGAUGGCUAAUAGACUUGAUUUUAAUGAUUGCUUUGAUAAUAUUCAACCAAAGAGAUUUGAUGCUUGAGUUAUCUUAGUGAAUGAACAUUCAUCUAGAGAUAGAGUUUGUUUAGGAUUGUGUCUAAGCCUAAGGUUGAUAGAUUGAUUGAAAGGUACCACCUUUAGAUUGAAACUUGAUCACCCAAGGUCAAUUCCCUUAGCCCAUGGAUUCUCUCAUCUCAUAAAACAAAAGAAAGCUUUGUUCUUAUUUGCAUUUUAGUAAUAUUUUAGUCCAAAAUCAUCUUACCACUUGAUUGCACUUAGAUUAAGUAUGAACUUGUAUUCUCUUUGAUUCAGAAUGCUUAGAAAUGGCAUUUUAGUAGUAUUUUAGUCCAAAAACAUCUUAUCACUUGAUUGCACUUAGAUUAAGUAUGAACUUGUAUUCUCUUUGAUUCAAAAUGCUUAGAAAUGGAUUGACAUCUUAAGUACUACUUUGAUUUGAAACAUUGGACCCGAGAAAAGUCCAUUUCAAAUUUGGCGCCGUUGCCAAUUCUAAGUUGUUUUGACAUUGAGAUUUGGUCCUUACUUGAGACUAAGUCUUACUUUUAUUAUAUCUAGUUACUGAUACUCUAUCCUAGCCCUUUCGUAUCUCAGGUGCAUGAACUUGAGGAGCAGAGGCCCAACAAACCUAGUUCCACCAGUUGAAGACAUUAAAGCACUUGAGAGGGAGAUUACAAGGAGAAGAAGAGAAGAAGAGCAACAGUCUCACCUAGACAGAUUGGGGUUUGUGAUGGAUCAACAUCAGAAUCAGCCUCAAGAAGGAGAGGCCAUUACCCAAGGAGCUGCUAACCUUCGGCUACAACACCCACAGCGACAAACUAGAGCCAUUGGCACCUAUGAUCAACCUAAUAUCCAUGGGAACAGGAUGGGCAUUAGAGCACCAGCUGUGGAGAACAACAACUUUGAGAUCAAAUCUGGUUUGAUCAACAUGAUAGAGAACAACAAGUAUCAUGGUCUUGCUUUGGAAGAUCCACUUGAUCAUUUGGACAGAUUUGACAAGUAUUGUGGUUUGUCCAAAACCAAUGGUGUUUCUGAAGAUGCUUUCAAGCUGCGACUGUUUCCAUUCUCAUUGGGAGACAAAGCUCACACAUGGGAGAAGAACAUCUCAAGUGACUCUAUCACCACUUGGGAUGAAUGCAAGAAAGCUUUCCUCACCAAGUUCUUCUCUACUUCAAGGACUGCCAAGCUUAGGAAUGAAAUCUCUGGGUUUCAACAAAAGAAUCUUGAAAGCUUUGGGGAAGCAUAUGAGAGGUUCAGAAGCUACUUAAACAAAUGUCCACACCAUGGCUUCACCAAAGAGAGCCUGCUUAGUACUUUCUACAGAGGUGUCCUACCCAAGUAUAGAAGCCGGCUUGAUACCGCCAGCAAUGGUUUCUUCUUAGGAAGAAAUGAAACAGAGGCUGAGGAGCUUGUAGAGAACAUGGUUCAGAGUGAUUCAGUCUACAGUGAUGAGCAUAAUAAGAGCAACAGAGGCAGUGGAGGUGAUGACUCAAACACAAAGAGAGAGUUGAAGGCUUUACAAGACAAGAUGGAUCUACUUCUUAUGGAUAGAGCCAAACAAGAGAAAGUGAACUUUGUUAGUGAGCAGAAACAAGAAGAGAUUGAUGUUCUUAAUGAAGUUGAUGGUCUAGAAGGUCAAGAAGAGUUGUGCUUUGUGAAUGCUAAUGGGACAUGGUACAAGAAGGAGCCUCACUUUCAAUAUCAAAACAACUACCAACAAAAGCCCUUCUACAACAACCAACAAGGAAGUUAUCAAGCUAGCCAAAACUACUCUCACGGUUUCUCCUCCAAAGGAAAUCAGUCUACACAAGGCCAAGCCGGAUCUUCUACUCCUGCUCAACAAGAAAGUAGCACUGAUGCAAUGUUGAAACAGAUCUUGGAUUCUCAAACUACAAGUGAGAAGCACAUUGGAUAUGAGUUGAAGAACCUUCACACCAAAGUAGAUGGAAGCUACAAUAAUCUCAACAACAAAUUCUCAAACCUUGCUUCUAACUUCAAGGCUUUGGAGAAUCAGUUUACCUCUAUGACUUCAACCUCCAAGCUCCCAAUGGGAUCUCUACAAGGAAAAUCAGAGCAACACCCUAAAGAGUAUUGCAAUGCUAUCCUCUCUACUUCUUCUAAGAGUGAGUUAAGUGAUCAUAGGAGAGAAGUAGAUGAGCUUGAAAGACUCUUGUAUGGAACAGAAGUUCUUGCCACGGUUGAAGCACAUAUUGUGGAGAAGGUUGAACACAAGAUUGUGGAAAGGGUUGCGAUACAAACAGUAAAGAAGGUUGAGGAAAAUGUUUUGCAACCAGUUAGACACAAGGCUGAGAAACCGGUUAUUGGGAAAGCUCUCACGCAACCGAAGGAGGUCCAGCUAGAAGAAGCUAAUGCGGUUGAACAAUCACCUUACGACAAGCUCCCAUUUCCACAACGGUUCCUCACUAAAGCUCAAAAGAAGGUGAUCUCUAAGUUCAGAAAAGACAUGGGAGAUUUAGGAGUCAAACUUCCACAUAUAUCAAAUAGGCAUGAAGCUCAUGUCCAAAUGAUGCUCAUCAAGGACAUUCUAGCUCAUAAAGAAGAAGUCGGAGAGCUCCUAGACAUCUCUACUAUGCAGCUUGAUCCACCAGUCACACCAAAGUCCCUUCCCAAACUAGAAACCCAAGGGAAGUUCACCUUGUCUUGCUCCCUUGGUAAGUUCACACUUGAUGAUGCUCUUGUUGAUUCUGGUGCAAGUGUGAAUGUGAUCUCAAUAGAGAUGGUGAAGAGUCUUGGGAUUGAAAACAUGGAGCCAAACACAUCUUUACUAAUGUUUGGGGAUUCCUCUUUUACAACCCCAAUCGGUCUCAUCAAGGACUUUCCAUUGAAGAUUGGAGCUUGCACCAUUCCUAUUGACCUCACUGUUUUGAAGAUGGCAACUGAGAAGAGAGUCCCAUUGAUCCUUGGAACACCAUUUCUCACAACAGUAGGAACUUGCAUUGACUUUGCCAACAAGAAGGUUACACUUCUAAAUAUCAACAAAGCUGUCUCUUACCCAAUCAAGUCUCCUUUGAUGAAUGUCGAGUAUUGUGGAACCAUCACUUGUGGAGAACUUCCACAUGAGAAGAUCAAAGAUGAAGUGAUGGCUAGUGAAAAACAAAUUCUUGAUGGAGAUUCAUCUCAUGAGAUAUGUGAUGAGCACUUGGAGGAGGUGGGUAGAACCACAAAGGCUACUCAUGACAAGAAGAAGAUGAUCAAAGAACCUCAUCCCACUCCUAUUGAGAAAUCUUCGCACAUUCUCACUCUUUAUCCAAUCAAGAUCAAAGAUGGAGUGAUUGAGUACAAGAUCAAGUGCAAGGGAGAGUCUAAACCAUUCUCAAGUGCAAGGGCCAUCAUAACUCCUCAGCUCCAAGAUGAUCCAAUCAAGCUACAAGAGCUCCUCUCUCAAGUCUUCACCAUCACCCUUGAAGGUGGGAAAGAUCCUCCUCUUCACUAACCAAUUGGAAGGAAAGUCAAGCUAAAGACUUAAAACAAGCUCACUUGGGAGGAAGUCCCAUGGUAUCCUUUGUAUAUAUUUUUAUAUAUGUUUUUCUUGCUUUAGUGUGUUUGAAUAAGCUUAGGGACAAGUUUGGGGAAUUCUCAAAAAUUCCCAAAGAUCAUGUCAAAAAUUCCAAGACGACAACAAGUCCUCCCUCCUCAUUUCCCUUCUAUCAUGACAGCCAACUUCAAGUAAGUGCAUUCCACCCUUGUAAAUACUUAGUUCUUUCAUCUUUUAUUUCUCCUUUGAUCUCUCUUUCAAGUUUACUCUCACACAAGAGACUGUGUGAAGUAAGUUUGGGGGAGAGUCUACUAUCUCAUAUUGUGUUUUGUUUUGUCUACUUUUCAUUGAGUCUCAUGCAUUCCAUUGUGCAUACCUAUAAAAAAAAAAAAAAAAAAAUGAAAAAUUUCGAAAAUCACAAAAAGAAGCAUUUUGUUGCAUCAUUUGCAUCUGUAGGAUUGAGUCUAGAAACAUUUAGAUUGCAUUCAUGCAUAGGGAGAAACCUUGUAAAGAACACAUGUCUAGAACUCGAUUUGACAUCCUAGCUAAAUAUAUCAAGUAGCUUAAGCAUCUUUUGAAAAAGCUUGUAAGCUUCGAGCCUUGAAAACUCUUCUUGAAACAUGUUGUUUGCUUGAUGAUUGACAUUGUUUUUGAAACCAACUCCAAAUGAACUAAGGCUUAAUGAACUUAAUUUCUCUUGCAUAUGGGCAUUUGCAUACUUGAUCAUGGAUAUUAUACACAUUUGGGUUAUCUUUCUCUCCUUGUACCAAUCUUUGUUAACCCAAAUGGCACUCUCAUACCCAUUAACCCUCACCAUUCUUUGAAGCCAACAUUAAUUUGCUUGAGUGAGGUCUUUUAUUGAUAGCAUGUCAUGUGCAAAAUCUUUAGAGUAUUAGGAGCGACAAUGGGGUUGUUCUAAUCUUUGGCUAGCAUUGGGACUUCAUUUGAGCUAGCCUCUAGGAUUGUUUUUGGGUUUGUAAGCUUAAAUUCUUUUGAUCUUGGGAAUGAGAGAGAUUGAGCGAAAGAGAUGAACCAAAAAGAGUGUUUAAGGUAAGGAACCCCUAGGGACAAAGAAAAUUAGAAAGGAAAAGCUCUAAAGUAUCAAUAGAACCCCCUCCCAAAUAUAAAAAAAAAGGAAUCAAAGAAACAAUAGUUGAGUGGGGGAAAAGAAAAGAAGAGAGCUAAGUCUAAAACUUUAAAUUCAAAAGAACAAGUCCCUAGUUAGUUAAAUCAAAGGAAAGAAAGAAAGGAAUUGUAGAACUUAAAGCUACUUAAGAAAAGGGUAGAAUGAUGAGAACAAGCAUUGUAUGCAUGAAUUGCUCAUUUUCUUAGAUAAAAUUUGCAUAAUGAUCUUGCUCAUAUUCUUGAGUGUGAGCCACUAUAAAUGAUGCAAUUGAAACUCAUUUUUCUUAACACUAGACCACUCUUAUCUGUCGUGGUCUCCACUGUAGACUGCAUCACUCUUUACCAUGUUGUCAACCAGCUCUUCUGCAUCAUCUUCAGUUCUUCCCAAGAAGAACCCAUUGCUAGCUGUAUCCAGUCUGGCUCUGUACUUAGGAAGAGCACCACGGUAGAAUGUGCUCAGCAAACUCUCCUUAGAGAAACCAUGGUGUGGGCAUUAAGCUUGAUAGCCCUUGAAUCUCUCCCAGGCUUCACUGAAUCCUUCCAAGCCCUUCUGUUGAAAGCUGGAAAUCUCAUUUCUCAGCUUAGCAGUUCUUGAAGUAGAGAAGAACUUCUCCAAGAAUGCUCUCUUGCAAUCAUCCCAAGUGGUGAUAGAGUCGCUGGGUAGAGACUUCUCCCACUGACGUGCCUUAUCCCCCAAAGAGAAAGGGAAUAGCUUGAGCUUUAAGGCAUCUUCGGACACACCAUUGGUUUUUGACAACCCACAGUAGCUGUUGAACCUGUCCAAGUGAUCAAAUGGAUCCUCUAGAGCCAAGCCAUGGUACUUGUUGUUCUCGAUCACGUUGAGGAGUCCUGAUUUGAUCUCAAAGUUGUUGGCUGCCACAGCGGGUGCUCGGAUUCCCAAUCUAUGACCAUGAAUGUUGGGGCGAUCGUAAGUGCCAAUGGGUCGAGCUGCUCGUUGUUGGUUAGCUGGAGCAUUGUUAUUAGCGCCAUUGACGCCUGCAUCAUGCUGAUGAACGUCUCCCAUAUCAGUGUUCAGUCUUUGCAGUUGAGCCUGUUGCUCUUCGUCUCUUUUCUUUCUAGCACACUCUCUCUCUAAAGCUCUGAUGUCUGCAGCUCGUGGAACUAGGUUUGAUGGACCGUUGCUCCGCAAGUUCAUACACCUGUAGAAUAAGAGGAGGUGAAAAAGAGUCAGUAACAAAAGAAAAUAAAAAUGACUUAGUCUCAAGCAAUUGACUAAAUCUCAAUGUUUAAAUCUACUCAGAAUUUGGCAACGGCGCCAAUUUGAUGUUAGGAGUUUUCAAGGCUCCUAAGACAAAUGUUGUAGUAUAAAUGAUUGUCGAACCAGUUCUGAGCGAUAUGAAAGCACCGAGAAUGCAAGUAAUCACUUAAUCUAAGUGCAACCAAUGGUUUUUAAAAGGGUUUUUUAAACUAUAACUAACUAAAAGGAAUAACUAAAUGAUACUUUCUUAACUAUGGGAAAAGAGAACUCAUGGAUAUAGGGAUUAGACCUCGGGUGAUCAAGUUUCGAACUAAGGAUGGCAAACGAUCAAUCAAACUAUCAACCUUAAGCUUAGACACAAUCCUAAACAAACUCUAUGUCUAGAUGAAUGUUCAUUUACUAACACAAUCCAAGCAUCAAAUGUCUUUGGUUGAAUAAUAUGAAAGUAAUCAUAACUAGCAAGUCCAAUGGCUAUCUUAGCACCUCUAACAACAAAUGUCUUUGGCAAAGUAUGCUAAAAGCUAAGAAGAGUUGUCUCGGGCAUUUCCUCGAACACCUUUCGGGUGAGAAAUGCCUAAGGAUCAACAACUGAGUGGCCAACUCAGAAGAUGCAUUAGGUUCACUCUGCUAGCAAGGAAAUAUGAAUGAUCUACACUAAAACAUCCUAGCUCUAACCUAAUCACCCUUAAUCUCCCUAACCCAUGAAUUCAAAGGGGGAUUACUCACUAAUCUCCAUGAUUCCUCUUAAACCCAUGUUGGAUUUCAGAUUAAUCAUGUAGAGAAACACAAAAAAAUAGAUAUAAGAACAAUAACAAAACUGAUCAAUUGAUUCAAGAGAUGACUUUCCAAAGGUUUUUGGUGGUUUUUCUUAAGAACAAAGAUGAUCUGCCUCCUGGUGGCUUACAGAGUAUUAAAACAUAGGUUUAGAAAAUAAAAACGUGCAUCAUGAAAUGACCAAAAGGCCCUUGAGAAAUCAUAAGUUCGAGCAGAAAUAAGACGCGGAGCUACCUCCGCUCGUCGCUCCGAGUAGUCGCUCCAUGCUUCGGGAGCGACCUCGCUGUGUCGCUGCGAGAGGUCGCUCCGGACUCGUUCUCGCGUUUCUGAGUGAUGAAAACGCGAGCGACCUCCGCUCGUCGCUCCGAGUAGUCGCUCCAUGCUUCGGGAGCGACCUCGCUGUGUCGCUGCGAGAGGUCGCUCCAGACAUGAAAACGCGAGCGACCUCCGCUCGUCGCUCCGAGUAGCCGCUCCAUGCUUCGGGAGCGACCUCGCUGUGUCGCUGCGAGAGGUCGCUCCGGACUCGUUCUCGCAUCUCCGGGUGAUCAAAACGCGAGCGACUCUUCCCUGUCGCUCUGGUAAGGUCGCCCUGAUAGGGAGAUCAGAGCGACUUGACGGUGUCGCUCCAGACUGGUGCGACCUCGCUGUGUCGCUGCGAGAGGUCGCUCCGGACUCGUUCUCGCAUCUCCGGGUGAUCAAAACGCGAGCGACUCUUCCCUGUCGCUCUGGUAAGGUCGCCCUGAUAGGGAGAUCAGAGCGACUUGACGGUGUCGCUCCAGACUGGUCGCUCCGGUAAGGUGCUCGCCCAAUGAUCACUUUAAACACUUCUUUUGGACUCCAAUUGCACCCAAAUUUCUCCAAGAACUCCAUGUCGUACUCCAAUACCUGAUAAGGACUCAUGUAUGCAAAAUGCAACCUAAACAUGGCUAAAUCCUAAUCUAUAUGAUCAAAAUGCACAUGGGUGAAUGGAUAAAACAUUAGAAAUAUGCAAGAUAUCAAAGAACAAACUAGAAGAUCAUUUGAAACCGAAAACGAAUUGAAACACUGACUACAUCGAUUGAAACCGAAAACGAAAACGAAUUGAAACCGAAAACGAGUAUACAUCGAUUGAAACCGAAAACGAAAACGAAUUGAAACCGAAAACGAGUAUUGAGUUUUUGAGCAAACUAAAUCGAUUGAAACCGAAAACGAAUUGAAACCCUAACUACAAACCAAAAGAUCCCCAAUUGAAAACGAUUUGAAAACGAAUUGAAAACCAGAAACUUUUUGAAACCCCAGAAGAAGGAUAUUUACCUUUGAAGUUCACGGGAGAAGACGAUCGACGACGGAGAGAAAUCGCCUUUUCGUCUCGAGCUCUGAUAUUUUUCUUCUCGCCUUCGGUCGCGAAUGAAUUUUUUUUUCACAAAACCGAACACAAUAGCUCACCGAGCCAACCAUCAGACGCCAAGUGCACAAGGACUUGAUCCUUCUACCCCUUAUUUACGGACUGAUCCGUCAUAAUCUUAGCCCAAAUUACAAUAUUAUAUUCCAUUUGGGCUACGGACUCGUCUUGGACCGCCGUUGCGGAUGGUCUAGACUAGAUUCGACCAUGAACCGAGAUAUUAAGUAGUCGAGUUGAUCUAAUAUUUGGUUCAAUUAUAAACUGAUUAUGUAGCCACUAGCCAGAUUAGGUAUCAAAACUAUUGAAUUCAAUAAAACCCACUAAAAUUAUUAAAAAUCUAUAAACCAGAUUAGAUAUUAUGUAGUUGAGUUAGAUCUAAUAAUUGGUUCAAUUUUAAACUGAUUAUGUAGCCACUAGCCAGAUUAGGUAUUAAAACUAUUGAAUUCAAUAAAACCCACUAAAAUUAUUAAAAAUCUAUAAACCAUUAAUAUUUACAAUGAUUUAUAUAUGAAAUGUAUUUAUAUUGUAACAAUGUAUUAUAUUUACUAAUAUGAUUUUAAAAUUUUUAUAUUAAAAGUAUAUUGAAUCAAGUUUGAUUCAGUUGAAUAUAUUGAAACGUGACCUAAAUAAUUACCAAAUUUAUGAGUUUUCUUGUGUUGCAUCAAAUUAAUAACUUUUAACCUUUAAUAUAUUAACGCACAAAACUAUAAAAAACGAAAUUCUUAGUGAAACCGAUUGGUUGCGCAAUUAUGGUUUAAUCACCAUGGUAAGCUUCAGCCAGGCGCUUCGGCGCCGUUUAACCUGCUUCCACGGCCGCAUUUUCGAAACAUUUUGCCAUGAUAGAUAGUUCCUUCCUACCUCAAUAACUAUUAACUACCAUGGUCCCAACAGCAUAUAAGCCGAGAAAGAAAGAAAAACAUGUCCUGAAGCAUAAUCCAACAUCAAUUUAUCCAUCUCAGAAUCAGAUUACAAGAGUCAUGAAACUAGAUACAAAGAAAUUACUUAAAUAAAAAACGAAAUGCAGUACUAAAGCAAUUAACAAAACGAACAAAUAACUUCCCUUCCAGCUGAUGUUUACGUUCUUGAUUAUUACUUUUUUUUCAUACUUGAUAAUUACUUAUUAGUUAUUAUCCUCCAGAGUCAAACAAGAUGAGACGACACAUAUAAAUAGUGUUUAAAAUAACCAUAAUAAUAAAGAUGUAGCAUAUAUCUAGACUCAUGUGUGGAAUUCAUCAUUUGGAGUCAGACUUUGGAUCACGAUGUGUUCUUCUUAAGCCGCUAUUGUGGAUAAAAGUAGAACUUGCAAUGUUCAAGGUUCUAACUCAUGGAUUUUCAUUCGUCCCCUUAAGUUCCUCCUUUCAGGUUUCACAAGAACACAAUUUGUAGGAGUGUCGUUGCAAGUAAUUAAUGUUGUGAUGCUGCUCAUAUUUACUAGCCUGUGGUGGUCUGAUUUAGUUAACUCAUGUCAUCACUCUCAAAGCUAAGACCCUCGUCUGAAUUUCUACUUGUAUGUUUAAUGGAUCUGCAAUAUCUUUUCAUGCUUACGCUAGCUCUUCUUAAAAUUCAUUUUUUCUCUUUUGGAGUGUUCUAUAGCCUUUGAUGGCACCUACUGGUAUCUUUUACUACUUUUAAUGUUUUGUUGUUGCGUUUGUUUCGGGUGUUUUACCCACAGACUGUUUUGCUAUAUUGGUAUGUAGUGAAUCAUCUCAAAUGAAUAAAAUUCAGUGUUAAAAAAUAUCUAGUAUUCCAAAACUCUUAACUAAUGCAGAGAAUUUCAAACGCAUGAUGUUCUCAACAUGAUCCAUGACAGCCCUGAUUGAAACUAGAUCACUAGGGCUUGUAGUUUGGAUUUCAGAUCUUCUAAGACCAUUUUGUUUCGUAUCAUAAUAAUAAACAUUUAGUGCCAACUCAAUGAUGAGAUGAGGUUGAUGGACUAUAACGAUUUCGCCUCCAGGAUUAGCGACACCCGCAAAUCUGGUAUUCAAUUUUGGUAAACUUUGAAGCAUGUCUAAGAAUGUAAUCUUCGACCACUCUUGUUUCUUAGCGUCCUGCAUAACCCACAUAUCCACAUCGACUUUGUUUCGACAUAUGCACCCUAACUUCCCAUGGUAGUUUACAAUAGUCAAAUCUUCAUGGUGAUGAUAAGCCAAAAGAUUUCCCGGAGUCUGAACAUAACUAAAUUUCUCAUGCCUAACAUCGAAACUCACCAAAACAUGAGUACAGUUUGCGUUCCUUGCUAUGUAAUAGAUUUCCCCGUUGAUGCAAAUUGCUUGUUCGAAAAGGAAGUGAACUCCAAUACUGCAUUGGAUGUCCCUGUAAGAAUAUUUUAUAUUUUUAUAUGACCUAUGUGUCUAUUGAUUCAAUAAAAAGAUCAAGUUCAUAUUAAUGUUAUGGAUUCUAAUAUAAAAGACGAUACCGUGAUGGAUUGGUUUCGGUUAAAGCAUUAGAAUCGGGUGUAUUGAUAACCCUCCUCCCUUACCUUAUUCAGUUAUGAAUGACUUCUUCAAUAAUGAUUAUAUAUCAUUUAGAUAUAUGUGUGUAUGGUUGUGCUUAUAAUAUGUUAAUCACAUAUAAAGAAUUGUUUGUGCUUUAAAGAGUAUUAAAGAAAAAGUGUGAUUAUUGAAAAGGCACUAUAGCACAUAUCUAUAUAUAUUGUCACGUGUGGUGGUGGUUACAAAAUAAGAGAAAAGUGACUUUAUAUGAGAGAAGAGUUACGAUUGUGUCGGUAUAACAAUUACGUAAGAAACGUAUAUAAGCCACCGUAAGGGAACAAAACGUGAUAAGAAGAGGUUUUAGAUUCCUUUGUCCAUCAAAGGGAAUCAUGAAGGAUUAAAGGCCAAAGGAAGGAGAAAAUCAAAUUGUGGAUUGAUGCAAAUACUCAACCAAGGAAAGCAUGGAUCAAGGUUAGUAUUUCUUUCUUCUUCUCUAGAAAGUAUUAGGGUUGAAUUAAUCUAAACUAGAAUAUGGUCUUGGGUAGAUUUCAUAUUAGAAAUCAUAAAAGUUAAUCUUACAGUCCCGCCACUCUUUUGAGACAUCUCCCAAUAUGAAAAGCUUCCAAGGCAUGCCAUGUUGGUUUUGUGUUUGACACAAGACUUUGUAUUGAUUCUUGAAAGUGUCGUACCCGAAUAAGUAAAACAAGCUUCCGGGUAAACGUGUAACGGGUAAGAAAAGAGAUUGCCUUGUUGUAAGGUUAUGUAUUCUGAACUGAUCAUUACGUGAACAGCAAAACCCAAUCAAACCACGUGCAUACUGAAAGCCCAUCAGAUAGCCUUCUUCUUUUUCAAUGAUCUCCUCGUGAUAGAGUUGUUGUUCGUCUGUAACUUGAUGAUAAAGAUAAGUAUACGAUAAGAUGGUAUGAGGUAUAUGAUCAAGCCGUGGUUGGAACCAAUGCCUCUUGAAGAGGAAGUGGGGAUCACGGGGUGGUUGAUUCAAUCUCCGUGUCAUGAUCGAGUCAAUGACUAUGAACUUAUUGAUCAUACUUUCCCACUGAUAGGAGACACAUCGAAAUCUCGCUAGAGAUUUGGUAGGGAGUUUCUCGAGUAUCUCUACCAUUAGAUCCAGAGGGAUAUUAAUAACGCCAGAACUUUUUCUAGCCAUGGUCUCACGGAGAUGAAGGUCUAGCAGCUACGACGUGACUCAAGAUCUGGUGGUGGAAGCAAGAAGGAGAAAUAGCGUUAAAAAGGAAACGUGAGGUCUUGUGGUGGAAGCAAGAAGGAGAAACAGUGUUAAAAAGGAAACGUAACUUUAGCAAAAAGAAAAAGGAAAAAAAAGGGAAACGUAACUUCUCUAACAAGGAGAUGUGAUGAUGAUGAUGAUGAUGAGGGUAAAAAUUAUAGUGGAAAUUGUUUUUUUAUGCCAAAAAAAUGAUAGCAUUAUUCAUUUUAGACUAAUUUUUAUUUUGUAUCAUUUUUGCCUUUAAUAUAUUUAAUGCACACAAAUCAUCAGUCUUUAACUCUUUUUUUUUUACAAACCUGUUGAAAAACAUUAAAGGAUAUCAAAGAGUAGAAUAUCAUAAACGACAAGUUCCAAAAUCAUAUUAAACACACAAAUGUCAACUUCAAACUACAUCCAUUACAUAAACGUGAAGUUCCAAAUACAUAUCACACACAAAAACAUCAAGUUCAAACAAAGCAUAUUACAGUUACAAAAUGUGAUACCGCCUAGUUCCAAGUUCCAACAACCUAGUUUCAAAGACCUACAUUUCAUCGCCUAGUUCCAAACUUCCAAGUUCCAAUAACUUUUAACGCUGACUCUUAGUGGUUACCUUUUUCUUUGAUGGAGCUGUGUCUUUUUUGCUCGUGCUAGGAGCAGUGUCAAUUUUUCUCUUGCUAGGACCGCUUCGUUGAUCACUCUUCCCCACCAAUUCAGUUGUUAGUACAGUUGUUCUGAGUUGUGUAACCUCAGCCUCAAUCUUCUCCAACCUAUCGGUUACAACUGUCUCAAACUGCUCAGUUCUAUCUGAAGUUGUCCUUAGCUGUGUAACCCCAGUCUCAAUCUUUCCCAACCUGUCGGUUACCACUGUCUCAAACUUGUCAAUUCUAUCCGAGAAUUGUUGACUGAAUUUCUUGUCAAAAGUUGUAAAAGAAGCUUGUACCAUAUCCUCUAAGAACUUUUCAUAUUUGUGUCAAUGUUCCCUUUCGAUAAAACAGCUAGUUGGCACAACACCUUCUUCUUCCUUGACUCUGCUCCUCGAUCCGCAUGCUUUCUCUUGUUUCUUCCUGAAACAUCAAUUGUGCCAUCAACAUUCUCUGCAACAUGACUGUUCUCGCCAAUUUCAGUACCAGGUGUUUGAUCCUCUCCUUCCUCUUUGUCUGCUUCCUCAAAUUCAGAGCUUGUAACUUUUUUUACUCCCCAAACAUGAUUGCUCCAAUCAUGUUUUCUUUGGAUCAUAUCCACAAUGUGAUCCGCUCUUUCUUCUUUCUUUUCAUCCUUUCUUGCAAAAUCAGUAGCCAACAGGACCACUCCAUCUCUGUGGAAUUCCAUGAAUGAAUGCAAAUUUCCAACAUUUUUAUUACAAAAAUAGUUCCAUACAUUAUCUGGAAAUAUAGUCUCAACACCAAUGAUAUCUUCAUAAGAACAUUUACACAUCCUCUCCAAUUACCACACAAAGGACCUGUGAAAUUGUCGCUGACUUUGGUGCCACAAAUCUCUCCUAAAGCAGGAAUAACUUCCAUUAUCCAAAUCUGGAAACCAAACAAGAAUCCUUCCAUGAGGUACUCAUCUUUCUGCUCCAAUUUAUCCCUUGUUUUAUCAAUCUGGUUCAGCAGAAAAUCGAAUGAGUACAGACCCCAUGGGUAAUUACGAAGCUUCUCCAAAUCCAUCACCAACUUCAUGUACAGAUGUGGGAUAUUAACCUUCUCAUCUCUCCCCAUCACCACACCCAUAAUAACGCAAAGAUAUACCAGCCUCACCCUAUCAACCCAAGUCCGGCUACUGCUCUCUUCCAAAUACUUUUUUUAAUGUUCUGCAAGUUGAUUUUCCCAUUAGUCCUUAUCUGCAUGCUCCAAAAACCAUCAUCAUCUUUCCAUGUCACUAACCCACUGUUCUUCUCUUGCUUCACUUUCAGACCAAUGGUACAGCAUGAUACUCUUGCAAUCCGAAACGGAGAGGACUCCUAGCAAAGAUGAACCACUUCUCAUGUCUCUUGCUUGUCAUCAACUCCUUAGACAAGAAAGAGUGUACCAGCCUCGCUGAAAACUUCAGAUUAUUCUUUUUGAUAACCAUAAUAUGCGAGAAAAGGGGAUCUUCCAUCACUCCAUCGAAUUAUGGCUUCAUUUUUUUUCAGAAACUCGAGAAGUUCUACUCGGCAACUAUUAUUAAUCUUCUUAACCUGAGGUUUUAAGCCCUCACUGUAUAUACGACUAGACAACUCUAAAUCCAUACCUGAAAAUUAAACAUAAUAAAUCCGAUUAGCUAUCAAAAACCAAUAUCACAGCUCGGUAUAAUAAUGUCUCUUAAUACUCUAUCAAUAACCAAUGUCACAGUUAAUGCAACUCAACAACUAGCAUCAAAAAAAUUAGCAUUCUCACAGUAUCAAUUCUUUCUGGUCUUUUGAUUUUUUUUUUUUAAAACAAAACCUAAAAUUCAUAAUUCUAUCCUAAAAUUACGAUUUAAGGCAUGGGCUGUGUGCGAAAUCGUCCCUAAUCAUCACCUUAACACAAGAUUGAAGCCUAAACAUCAUAACAAACUCAAAAAUUUCACCUUUUACCUUACAAUUUUUGAACUCAAAAAGUGGAGAAAGAGUUUGAUACCUUUGCAGAUCGAACGAGAGGGUGAUAGAUUUGAAAAAAGCUUUCGAAAUCGUGUGGGUAGGACGGAAGAAUCAUCCAAAGCAGAGUGAAAUUGAGUGAGUUAGGGUUUAUGAACUUGGGACUUUGAGUUUCUCCCUUUUGUUCGUGAAGUACAAGAGAAAUAAUGGGUUUGAACACAAAGAAAUCGAAUAUAGACCGUUGAAAUAGUGUUUGGUCGGUUCAAAUUAAGUGGGAAUCAAACCGGAUUUAACCAAAGAAAACCAUAAAAUCGAUUUGGGAGACUUACAUGGGCACUAGAUCGAUCGAUUUGGAUAUGCGAUCGGUCGAUCUGUAUUGGAUCGAUCUGUGACAAACGACUGAACUGGUCCAGGUCGAUCAGAAUAUGUGCCGCGUUUUUUUUAAUUUUCUGCAUAUUGAUCUGGAUCGACCAGACAAUACUGGAUCGAUCGAUCUCGCUCGAUCCAGAAUCACGACGUUCAUUUUUUUACAGAAUUUUAAAAUUACUUUAAUUAUUUAUUGUAUUUUAAUAUUUAAAAAUUAUUUUUCAAGUAUAAUUAGGAAAUUAAAAUUAAUAAUUUUAGGGCAUUAUUGUCAUUUUGAAAAUAAUUAGUCUAAAGGGACAUAAAGUAUAUGAAAUCACAAUACUAAAAGGAAGAUAUCAAGUCCUCUAAGCGCGUCCACGUCAGCUGAAAAAAUCAGCCAGUAAUAUUGCAACAAUCAUCCACGUCAUCUGUCAUCUUUGAUUUAUUUUGUUUUGAGCUUCGUUUGUUUUUGGCCUGUUUGUUCUGCAUCUUAUAGCCCACUUCGUUCCGCGACUGAUAACGUCGUAACCAUAACUUCGUUCUUCUCUUACCUUUCGACUUCAACAUCUUCCAUUACUCUUCUCUCCAAACCGUUUCAACGAGUAACUUCACCUUGCUCUAAUCAAACCUUUGAUGUUGAUUUAGAAACCACUUCCUGAUUCCAACACACGAAGGAGGUGGUUCAGUAGAGACAGCCCUUCAGCUAUCAACACGUGUUUACUGCUCUCCACCGUUGAGAUUCUCGAAAUCACGACUACAACCUUCUCCUUCAUGCUCAAACUACACGAAUCAAGCAACCGAACCAGAACGGGAACAAGUCCUUGAGCUAUGGAGAUCAUCACGUUCUUAUCAUCUUCCCGAAGCAAAGAUUCCAUCGUCGAGUUCUUCGACUCUGGUUUACCGAUCUGUAAUUGGAUAACUAGAUUCCUCGCCGCAGCUUCCUUCUUCGACAAAAUCGAAACGAUUUCGUUGAGAAGACCGCUUUUGAUCAGAACCUCAGCGUCCUUCACGUGGCGAUCGAGUCGAGCCAUGACCGAGUCGACGUCGCUAUGCGUCUUGAGCUUUCCCUCAGAUAAAUUCGGACCCUCGCACCUAGCCGCGACGGAGGCGGCGGCGUGGAGCGUCUCUCGGGCGGAGAGGAGGAGAUCCAGAGCUAGCUGGUUGGAAGAAGAAGAGGCGGCGAUAUCGGAGAGCUGAGUGUUGAGAUUGGCGAGUUUGACGCGGAUCGAAGACCAUUUGGAUUUGAAGCUGAGAAGGUUGGGGAUGUGGUCGAGGAUGGAGGAGAUGAGCUUCGUUAAACUACAGUCACCGUCGUUAUCCAACGGCAUCGGAGAAGUUGAGAGAGAGAGAGAGAGAGAGAGAGCUGAAUUUGGCCUGACAGGUAAAAGUAAAACCAACAUCAUGCCUUUUAUGUUCUUUCUCUUUACAGAUUCUGAAUUUUGUUUGUGUAUGUUUCCUUUUACAGUUUCUGUUCUGUCUUCGGGUUUCAUUUUCCAUAAUGGCGACUCAUUGAUUUCUCUUGCUAGAAACAUCUCAUGUUCAUAUCAUACUUACCUCUCUUUCUCAGAUAUCAUCAGCAAAAUAUUAGAGACAUUGGACUACUUGGACAACCUCAGAAAAAGGGAGCUUCUGACAGAACAAGGCGACACAAUAACCUUUGAAUCUGAGGUGAGGAUCAUGCAAACAUUGAUAGUGAAGAACAAGUAUUGUCGGUUAAUUCAUAUCAAAAUGUUACUUUUGAUUUCAGAUGGACCGGACUUACCUUGGAAGUAGUUCUUGACGAUGGACAACAAAAAACAUAUGUUAUUGGAAAAGAAGGACUUCCAUAUACGGUAAAGAAUCAUACAACGUUUUGUUUCUUUUCAUUAGUAAGAUAUAAGUUUGUUUGAUAAUACAGUUGUGUUUCUUAUUAAUUUCGAACCCGGUUGGUUGGUUACAAGCGAUUAGUUUUGUAUAUAUGUGUUUGGUUGAGGUUCCAUUGUUUAUUUUGAUGGAGAGCUUUUGGUAAAGUUUGUAUUUUUAAUUCAUGAAUUUCUUUUUAGUUUACGAUCUUAUUUAUGGUUGAUACAGACUACGGGUUUCUUUCUUUUUGGUAAAACAUCUUCCUAGACUUGAGAUCAACGUAUUGUUUUACUAUAUACAUGUAUGUAUUUUGGAGAUUUCUUUUAGAUCAUUCACUAUGGUUUUAAACUGUGUUUACAUGUUAUUUUUUGGACCAGAAAGAAUUAGCUCAAAGGUUCGAGAGAGUAAGGUCUCUGGAUCUGCAUCAUACAUAACCAUGGUAAUUUAAGCAUUUCAGUGUUCUCUCAUGCAGCUUAGUUGUAGUGACCGAAAGAAAAUUUUUGACCAUUUGGUAUCCUUAAUUUUGUGGAGUAGCACCACUUUCGUUGUUUUAUAGUUUUACCUUUAGUUUCUGCUACUCAGGAUGGAAACUGAUAUCACAUUAUUUUGCAGGUUUCUAGCUAGCAAGUUUCUUCUGGAACGUUGUGUAUUUGGAACUACCGGGUACAUGUGGGUGAAUAAUUUUAUUUUGUUUAUCUAUUUUCAUAUGCACAUGGUAACCAAACGUGCAAUUGAAAGAUUAUUUUCUUUAUGUAUUCUAUGAGGUUCACAGACUUCUCAUAGAUUUGUAGGAUGCUUUUAUGUUUUAUGGACCUUAUUAUAAUUAGGAUCUUGCUCGAUAAUCUUCUGGUGAUUGCUAAGUCUUUUGAGGUGACCGAAUUACCAAGUAUCUGAUCUUUUUUUCUUCUGUUUUAGUAAAAAUGUUUUAGUUUUAUUAUCUUUUUGCUAUAUGUUUUAUUUUUUCAUUAAUAUCACAUUCCAAUAGAGUUUCAACAUACAGAAGUAACGGCCACAUUUUCAAAUUUUGUAGGAUUCUGAUAAAUAGUAAAUUAUUAACGAUACGAGGUUUUGUUUGUGUCACUGUGAUACUUCUUUUGUCUGAACCGACGACAUGAAAAUGGCUUUAAGAACAAAAAAAACACCAGUCAAAUACUCAUAAAACAAAAGAAAACAGAACAAGUGGAUAUUUGUUGCUACCGUUUAGGAGAUUUCUCAAUCCCAACUACAUACCACAAAAGAAUCAUUCCCAAAAACCUAAGAUGAAGACGUGAUUUAGUCAUCGAUGGUUCUAAAGUGUUACUCGGUGCAAGAUGAUUUAAGAUAUCUAAUAUUCUUAAGAAUUAUAUGUUCAUAUAAAUCUAUCUCACUUCCUUUUUGUCCUCUGAAACCGUGUUCUAGAACCCGUUCGAGUAUUUUUACAUAUCGGGUCAGGUUAUGAUAUUUUUUUAUUUUGGUUUUGUUAUUUCGGGCCGGGUUCUGAUAUUUAGAUUUAGACAAAAAAUUUAAAUUCUUCAUUGCUCAAGUUUUUGUACUAAAAUUUUUACCAUUAACUUAACUGAUUUUCUGUUUUUUAUUGGUUGGACGAUUAACAUAUUUGGAGAUAAAAAUUUAAAAUUGAAAAAUUAAUCUGGUUGUUAUUUUGAGAUUUUGAGUGCAAUUUUUAUUUAUGUAUGAAAAAUGCUUGACAUGCAUUUUAAGUGAGAAGUAAAUCACUUUGUCCGUAAUUAUAUGCAUAUUAUCUAAUCUCUGAACCAUAUGCAACAUCAAUAUAAAUAUUUUGAAUAAAAUAAGAGAACUAAAUUAGAAACACAUGGUUAAGUAUACAUAUGUUAUGUUAUCUUUGGAUAUCCAUUCGGGUUCGAAUAUUAUCUAUUCGGGUACGGAUAUUCAGUCUCUCCUAACUUAAUAUCCGUUCGGGUAUUUUGCCACUUCAGUCGAAUUUCGGUUUGGAUUUUUCAAAUCAGAUUCGGGUAUGAAUUCAGAUAUCGGAUAAAAUGUUCACGCCUAAUCCGCGCGUAGCGCGGAGAAAAGAUUUAAUUAGUCUAAAGGGACAAUGUUACUAUUUUUUUGGCGUAAUAAAAAAAAAUUUCCAAAAUUAUAUCAAAAACCCAUAAAAGGCCAGGGACGACCAUUUACUUUUGGGAACCCACUUUUUCUUUUUAAAAUGUAACUUUAGUUUACAUGUAUAUUUAGUGUGUUUUAGAUACAUAUUAAAGAUUAAGAUUAGGUUCGGUACAAAAAAGUUUUGUGAUUUUAAAUUUUUGAAUUUUUCGGAGUGUCCAUUUAGAUUCAAAUAAAACAUAUAACCCGAAAUACCAUAAAACAAAAUCUAUUCAAUAUUUAUAUCGGAUUUAGAUCGGUUCGGUUUAGUUUAUUUGCCCUCUUCAUUGUGAUGCAUGAAAAUGGAAGACAAUUUUUUGCGAAUCAUAAUAAACACUCCAACGGUGUUACAAAUUACAAACUGAAAAUAAUAAAGAAAUUACACAAUGCCAACACACCUCUCUAAGAUACACACAUCCCUCUCCUCACAAAAGAAAAACUUAAUACACCUCUAAUAUCCCGACCAUACCCUCUUUGCUAGUCACUUGUGUUGUGUCCUACCACAGAAUCCUGACCAUAACCUCUUUGCUAGUCACUUGUGUUGUAUCCCAAUACCACAGACAAAUAAACAAAACUAAUAAAAUAUAUAGAAGACAAACAAAAAUGAACAAAAACCCUUUUACCCAAUAAAUACUCUCUCUCACGCUCACUAAUACUCACCGCCUCCAAAACCAUCCAACUUGACUUCUUUACUCUUUCAUCAUCUUAAGAGCUCUCAUUUAUUCUCAUUGUGAUCCAUCUCGCAAUCGAUCAUUGUGGAUCAAGGAUGGUUUUGGUUGGAUAUGUAUACAACAUGAGGAUCAACAUCAAGAAGCGGCUUAGCAGGAGAAGUAUGCAAUCUCAGAAGUGUCUCUGUUUCUCUGGAGUGGUUUAUAUCCAAGCAAGAGAGCCACGGUCGUCUGGGGUUUGUGGGCGUCCUCUGGUUGGUGUUGGUGGUCGAUUUGCAUUUAAUUCCUGAAAAUAAAUGCUCAGUUCCACCAGUUUUCCAAGUGAACAAAAAGAGGGAUUAAAAUGUGUUUGUGAUAUAAACCUGCAUCCAUGUGUCAUCUACAUGUCUUUCUGGUGAAGUUUCAGGUGAUGUAAUUGCUGGAGGUAGCGGAUGGAUGAGCUUUGGAACCACCACAAGAUCUCUCCCCAACACCAAGAUAGCCCCAGCAUUGUUUGCAGUUCCUGAGAAGAAUUAAACAUGUCAUUUCAUAAGACACUACUAUCAGUUAAGUUUUUCUAUUUUAGUCGGCUUAGUAGCAGGUUUUCGAUUCCAGAGACAUACCACAAUAAUUCGUAGCCGAAAAGAGCGUUAUCAAAUGCCCCUGUGCAAAACGCUCAAACCCGUCCAUCACACAUUCAUGCGCACGUACAAUCAAUUGAAGAUCAUUGUUCUUGCAGAACUCCAUGACACGAUCAGGCUGCAAUUGCCAGGCUUUUGGUUAGUAGUAGAACCGGAAGAAAUACUUGUGGCAGAGGGAAAGAAGAGAUCGCUUCAAAUGUGAACUAUAUGAAACCAAAGAAGCAAAGACCACUCACCCCGAAAGUAACCAACCCAGGGCCUCUAGCAUUUGGCCUUAAACCUUCGACACUGUCAUUUUCAGUUGGAUCGGACCUAACAGAUUGCAAAUUGACAUACUAGUGAGCAGAGGAUCAAGGUAAAAAACAAGAACGAAAUAGUAUUAGACAUGAACUUACCAUAGUAAAUCCAUAAGCACAAUUGACCCUGCUUCCAUCGUAAUUGGACGUUGGAUAUUUUCGAUCUGCUCCACAUGAUUUAUUGACCGACCAAUUCCCCCGUGCAUACAGAUAAUUUUCUUCUCAAUCAAUGCAGCCAGAGGUAGCCAAUUGAAUAACCGGUUUAUUCUGUGCCACACCCAGAUCCCAUCACGUUCACCCUGCAAAGUAGCAACUUUCAUGAGACCCUAAAAGUGGGAACAAGAUAUUCAUAAAGAUAAGACACUUACCAUACGCUCAAUACACUCUAUCCGGAAACCAAAAAGAGCAUUAAUAUCGGCGGCUUCAUGGUUUCCACGAAUUAGAUGUACGUUAUGUUGGUAUUCAACCUGCAGUGUCAACCAUAAAACGUCACACCCAUUUCUAUCAAGAAUACCGGAAAAGAGAUAUCAUUAAUAUGGUGCUCUAAAAACUACCUUUAACGCAAGCAGGAGAGUAAUUGUUUCUAAGCUGUGUUGACCCCGAUCUACAUAGUCCCCCAAGAAGAGGUAAUCAAUGUAUCUGAUAACCAUUAAUACGCAAUGUCAGAUCAACAAUAGCCAUAGCGAAAGUAAGGAUGAUACUGCUCUAGAGAUUGAGCUGUACACUUACGAUAUGUCUCCAGCUGUUGAUGGCGAACCAUAUUCAUCAAAAAGUCGCAUGAGAUCCCCAAACUGACCAUGCAAAUCACCAAAUAUCUUAAUAGGAGCUCUAAGCUGUAAUACAGUAGGUUCGCUUGAGAAGAUACGUUCUGCACUGUCGCAAAGAUCAGCUAUCUCAUUGCAAUCCAAGAAAAACUGGCGUCGUACAGGAGGCUUCCACCCACGAGGCUUCAAAAGAUGAGCUACAACCUAAUAAAACAGAGUUGUUCAUCAUAAGGUAUUGAAUAGUCCCACGUUGGAACAGCCAAGUGGAACCUCUAGGCUACUAAUAUCAUUGAACAAUAAACAAUAUCCAGUAGGACUACAGGUCUACAAAAAAGUUUCCCAUCUUAUUAAACAAGCAGUAUCUAAAUACUAUUAUGAUUCCGAUCAGAUCAACCAAAUGACCGGUGCUACAGCAAUCAAAUUUCUCUGCAACAAUUUAAGGAAGCAAUAUUUUGCAAUUCUUCUAAAUCCGCAUUCAUGAACAUAUUGCUUUCUUGCAGUACUACAUUUUGGAGAAAAAAUAUUUACCUUUUUCGGAACACUAUUGAUCGACUGCUGCCGAUCUAAUAAUUUCCUUGCUGCUGUUGCGCUUUCGGGUGUCCCAUAACCAACACGGCGGCCCUCAUUUUCAAAUUGAUCAAUUGAUAACUGUCUAACCAUUCCACCUAAGGCUCCACCUGUUUCUGCAGCAACCACCACCUUACAAAGUUCCAGAAAUAAUAAAAAAAGUAUUAGCACUUAUAACUAGACACGUACAACACUAGCAAGUGAAGAAGCAUGAUGUUGGAAAUAUGUUUAUAAACUUCAAUAAUUUGGCAAAAGAAAAAACUUGAGAUUUUACUUAAUAUAGUUAGUUUGACUCACAGCUCUAUGAUGAAGUCGAACCCCUGCAGGAAUAACACUAGUCGACACCGCAGAGUCAGGCUUAAUUAAGGAGGAUGAAGGUUUUCCACUGGGUGUAGCCUCAGCACCACGAUCCCUAUCUGGCUGCUCAACUUCACCGUUGACCUGCCGUGCCUUCGCUGCAGCUAAUGUUGCACUGAUAGCCUCAGCUUCCGCAGCAGAUGCUUCAACAAGAUACUCCACACCCUUGCUUGUUCUCCUACAAUGUUAGUUGUUAAAUAUUUUUCAUGAAGAAAUGCAGAGGCGCGCUAACAAUACAGCAAACGAAAAAUUAAGACGCUAACCGAGUUCCAGGGAGCAUUGCAUUUUCUGUGCUUAUAUCAGUAUACAUAUCCCCAUUCAGAGGCGGUGCAACAGGGCUUCCCAGCACAACAGCGUCAGGAGCUGAUUCCGAUAGUUCCCCUGUCCUUUCAUCAGAAAAUCCAUAUCUUCCAGGUGAACGGCCAGGUGGUGAGUUCGUUGCUGCUGCAGCAGCAGCAUGAGAGGCCGCAGAUGUUGUUUCCGCAGCGGCAAGAUCUUCAGCAACCAGUAGAUCAUCAAGUAACACUCCUAAAGCAUCAAUAGACUAUCGUUAAGUUUUGCAGCUAUAAUUUGAAAAAAGUGCACGCGUCUACAAAGAGAAGAGAAAGAAGAAAUGGCACUGAUAUUUGGUGAAAAGAGAAACUCUAGAAUAUUAGGACUGAUUAAUGGUAAUACUUCAUAAUAUAAAGUACCAGACUUCGACAAAAGAUCAACUACCAAUACAAGAAAGUGUGAAGUAUCAUACGGCAACUCGAUGGAAUAUUAUGCCAAAUUGGCAGAAUCAUUGGAUUAUCAGAUACUAUAAAAUGGUUCAUUCAAUAUGCAAUUGUAUAUUGCCAAUAACAACUAUAAAGAUUUUUUCGUUACCUCCACGCAAACCACCAUAGAUAAAUAUCAAAUCACCCACUGCAGCAGCAGCAUGCCUGCAACGCCUAGUCAGUUCACCAGAAGCAUCACCACCAGCUGCAUCAGCGCUAUAUCUACCAGUUCUAGGACUAGUAACAACCGAUUUUGUAUCACACCAAACACCUGCUGCAGUAUCCAACACUGAAACAAAGCAAAAACACAUGAACCAGUCAGAGAAAUUUAGAUGUCCACAUGUACACUUUAUUAUGAAUCGAAUAUUGUAGCCCCUCGAAGAUAGCUAUAGUAGAUGAGUGCAACAAAUUACAAUCCCUGUUUGAUGCUUUUAGAUGAAUCUCACAUCUGAAAGAAAAUUUUGGCUUCUGCAGUCCAUUUAGGAAGAAUGAUAAGGAAAGGACGACAGCUAACAUACUUUUAGAAAGAAACUAUAUGUUUCAGUAAGAUUCACUGACUACGACGGCCUAAGGUUGUAUAAAAGUAACAUAUUCAUCGUUUUAGAUAUUGCAUGUAUAAGAAGAAACUCCAAGUAUUCUCUCAUUUGAAAAUCUCCAAAACAACACAAACAUGAGAUUGUUUCUCUCCUAUUGCUAACCUGCAAUACUGGAUGAGUCCUCUACCAUGCGUCCACCACCAAGUGCCCCACCAGAGACAUGGAGUCUUGCAUUUACAAAGACCUAGAAUAUUCCACCAAAUGUUGCUUUUUCUGAUGAUUAUAGAUAAGAGAAUAAAAGAAAAGAAUCAGCAUCUCAUACUGCUGCAUGCUGGUAUCUGGCAGAAGGUGAAACACCAGGGGCUAUGGCCCAUUCCCAACGUCCAUCUCUGUGCUUGGCAAGCCCAUAUGCACUUGCAAGGGGCUAUCACAUAAUGGUACACAAAGAGAUACAGCAUGUCAAUCAAACAUUGAAGAUAAGAUGGAAAAAGAAGCUCUUAAACUCUAGUUAUGGAAACAUGAUAGAUAAUUUUCAAUUUAUGGAAACAUGGUAGAUAAUUUUCUAUCUGAACUUUUAUUUAAAAUAAUUGGCCAAGAGAAGCUAUUCCCUAUCACCUCACUGCAGCGUUAAUAUAAUGGUAGCUGAGAGCAAUACAACAUAUGAAUUUCCUCCAGCUGAUAAACUUAAAGGCUCAAUGCAAAGCAAGUGUCUAUUUCCAAACAGGGGGAUAAACUUUGUAGCAGGGGAACUAUUUGGCUUACCACACUAUUAGCAUCUCUUCCACCACAGAGGAGAAGAAGUCCAUCAGACCGUGCACUUGCAGUUGCGUACCUAGUUAACGUACAAACCCAAGACAUCCAUAUCACUAAAGAGCAAAAUAAAACAAUCACACAACAGAAAUUAAGCCAAGGAAGCAAAAUUACAUGCAUGUAGGUGGACCUUCCCCUUCUGGUUCCAGCUUACGCCAUUCAUAAGGUUUAGCAGCAGUGUCCAAAGCCCACACAUCAGCUAACGGACGUUUUCCUAGUGGUGUACAGAAGUUAAGAGAAAAUGAGCUAUUUAACGAGGAUAUAAACACACUUUUACUUGAGGUAGCGAGUAAAACUGCUUACCAUCAUUCCCACCAAUCGCCAUGAGAUACCUCUGUCCUACCAAUGCCAUGACAUGUCCAUAACGCGGUCCUGGUCCAGGACCCUGUACAACAACCCUGGAUAAAGAGUAUAUUCUAAAUCAAGCAACACAAAGAGACUUAUACAAGAACCGGCAGACUUAUAUAAGUCGAACCUGUGCCAUCGUGGCCGUUGCUGAGUCAGAUCAAGUACGUGAAGAUCCUCAGCUGACAAACCAGCAGGACCUAUUCCACCCUGCGCCAAAGAGACAAUCCGGUAUAAGGUUAAAAACGUAACCUCAAAUUGGUAAACAAAGAUCCACUAACAUAUACUCUCUCCCCCUACCUGAAUAACAACCAUGGUGCCAACAGCAGUAGCCACAUGCGCAGCUCUUGGGCUAGGUGGUUCUCCAUGCGGUGAAAGCCUGUAACCAUUAUUCCAUCACACCAAUCGCACUUCACUUCACACUUUCUAAAAAAAAUUUGACAAAAGAGUUUCUAUCUAAAACCUCACCUCGACCAUUUAUUAGUAAGGACAUCAUAACAAUGAACAUCAGCAGUUGCACCAGCUAAACCUGUUACAGUAAACAAUACUCUAAAUCAUCAAAUAUACACAAAGAAUUGAUUUUUUUUUUUAAAAACUGAAUCUUGAUUAGGAAACAAAAACGCACGAAUGCCUCCCGCACUUCCAGCAGAAGUUGGCGUUCCCGUUCCUCCCGAAUUGCCCUCGAGCGCCGUAGCGCCACCGAACAAGAUGAGACGCGGGCCAAUGUAAUUAGCGGAGCCUUCCUCGCCGACGGCGGGAACGGCCGUCAGAGUGUGGCCGCAUCUAGGACCGGGCCCGUCCUCUUUCUUCUCUAGUAUCGCAUUCACCACCGAGUACGGCGGCGCGCAUCUCGGACCAGCCACAGCCGGCGGCUGCUGUUGAGCUGAGGUCGCCGGAGUGGGAGUGAAAGCAGAAGCCGAUUCGGAUCCGGUUUGGGCCGGGGACUCUGAGGGAGAAUCUUGAGGUGGAGGUUGGUGAUUGGGAGACGCGGGAUCUUGAUCGUUCUCCUCGUGUAGCAUAGACGAAUCCGAAUCCAUGUUUUUUGGUCAAUUUUGGAGGGAGGAUUCGCGCAUUAGCAAAAACCCUAGCUUCUUCUCCGGUGAGAUUCUCAGAGGAUUGUGAAAUUAAGUUAGAGUUUCUCUCUUCUCUCUUCUCUCUUCUCUGUAAUCGUUACGAAGUUGUUAGUUCUCUACUAACCCUCGAGAGGAGAAAGAAAAGACAGAGGGACGAACUCGAGAGACAAACACAAAACCUCCACUCACUCUCUCACUCUCUCUCUCUCUCUUCAGCCAGAUAAUUUGUCACUAAUUUUUAAUCAUUUUAUCAUUACUUUAUAAAAUAUAAAUAAUUAAAUAGGGAAAUAGUUCUAGUUCAAAUUUGUUGAGACCCAAAUCAUUAGUGAAUAAAUUAGUUUCUUGCAAUACAAACAUAUUUGAGACAAAACUUAAAUUUUUAUUUUGUCAACAACAACUAAUUAAGCUACUUGAAACGGUUUAGGAAUUCGAACCGAUGAUAUAAAAUUGACAUUUUAUCAUUAACUGAUGGAGAAUUGUAUGUGUUGCCAACUUAUAUUGUUCUUCAAAUAUGCAUGUGACAAAAUUAGGAGAAAAAAAACGUUGUAUAUCGUUCAAAUUCAUCAAAAUGCAAGAAAGCAGACUAUUUUAUGGCCAUACCAUAUCAACGCCUCACUCUCCAUGGAAUAGAAAGAAAAAAAAAGACUGUUGAAUAUUUUGUGUUCCUAAUUUUUUAUCCUUUCCAACUUAAUCAACAUAACAAUUCCCAUCCGGCAUCUGUUUUCUGAUUACCUUCUUUCAAAAACAAACUUAAUAAUAUUGGAAUUUAAACCCUUUAUAUUCCAUUAAUUCUUAUUUACUACUUUAUGAUUAUAAUAAUAUUGUAUCAACUCGAGUUCUGUAUACAAAUGACUAAUAAAAAUAGAAAUAAGAUCAUUUAUUUUAUUUUAAAAUAGUACAUAUGGAUUCUAGCUAAAUACAAUCCAUCAUAUUUGUUCAUUUAUAUAUAUACCUGAUUUGGUGAUUGCAUUAGGUUUCUUUCUGUCUCAUAAUGUUGACAAAACAAUUGUUAAGAUUUUUAAUACUCCUAUUUGCUAAUUCCCUAAAACACGUGUUGGCUUCCUCUACGUGGUAAGUUUUGUGGCUCAUUAAAAUACCUACCAUGCUAAAAAUGACGAUACAUAAACUUAGGGAAGUAACUAAAUUUCUCCAAAGUCCAAAGCUAUGAAAAUAGAGGUGAAAAUGCAAACAUUAAGAUCGUGAUCUUGCUUGAAAAAGACAAGAAACCUUGCAUGUGCACAUUGAUCAAUCAAUGCACGAGUAAUGCUGAAGGAUGAAAAGGUCAAAAGGUUUAGAAGAUCAACACCUAAGAAACACACAUUCGGUUGGUUGACAACGUUUAUAAACGAAACUAGUCAAAGCUGCUAUGCGUACGAGUAAGCGAUCUAUAUAUAUAUUAGCGAUCUAUAUUAUGUCAAUCGCACAAAGACUUUGUGACCAGCAUCGACCUGGAAAAGUCUCGAUAAUUUCACAAGGACACAACAUAUAACACUUCCACAAUAAGAAUCCAACACUGUUAUUUUCAGGCAUUUUUGAUCAAUACAUUGAAACCGAUUAGUUUUUCCUCAGUGGCUGCUUCUUGUGCUGUUUAUGCGAGUCUACUUGUUUCUUCUUGGAAGACCCAAGCCCAUUUGCAAGAUCAAACGAGCUCAAAUCCUCUAAAACUUGAUCAAGCCCAAGCCCACGAGCUUCUUCACUAACCUCAGACACUGAACCACCAUCUCCAGUUUCGCCCGUCUCGUUUUCAUCAUCUUCGGGAGGCAUUGCAAAAUGUGGAAGCUUACCUUCAAUGUAGUCUUUCAAAAUCUGCCUAGCAGCUCUCGUCUCAUCAGGCAGUCCACUAGCGGCAACGUACCCACGAGACAGGCAGUAAGUUCUAAGAAGCUCCGAGGCAAGAGGUGGACGGAACCGAGACUCAUAGCUUUUGGGUUUAGGCAAAGAGAUGUUGUACACUCCCUCGAUAACAUCUCGAGGAACACGUUCAGCCACAACCUUAACAGCUUCGCGGUGCUCCGUCAUCCUGUCUAUCGGAAGCACUCCGCAAGCGAUCAUUUCGUAUCUCGAACUCGAGAACGAAGGGAAGACCAGACCGGGGCAAUCGCAGAGCAUCAGCUCCUCGGAGAUGAUCAAUGUCUGGAAGUGCUUUGUCUUCCCUGGGGUGGAUGUGACGCCUGUCCGCUUCUGACCCACCAGUGCAUUGAUCGUUGAACUCUUCCCCACGUUAGGGUACCCAACGAAGCCGACCACAACACGUUCUCGGUGCGAAUACGCAGAAGCUUUCCUCCUUUUCGCUAUCUCCUGAGCCUCGAGUUUUAACCGAUCCAGAAGCUCGUCUCUUCCGUAUACUUUAACGGAAGGAUCAUCUGUGUUGUGUGAGGUUUCAGGUGAUGUCGUCCACUUUUCUUUUAAGGGUUUGCCUUCUAAGGUAGCAGUAGCAGCUUUGGCUGACCAGAAGACGAAUAAAAUGUUGUUGCGGGUGAAGUAGUCCGCCCACUUCUCCCUGUGUUAACAAUCCAAAUUGGUUAGCCAAAAUAAAAAGAGGUUAGAGAAAAAGAGGCAAGGGGCAAGUUUACCUGACGUAAGGAGGUAAGAGAUCCGCCUUGUUUACAAGAAGCAUUGUUUCUUUAUGCUCAUCAAUUUCUCGUGCAUAUGCCUGUAAAUGAUUGGUGGAUCAAUGAAAACUCUAUUAAGAGAAAGCUGCAAGUUGGCAGAGAGAGAGAGAGAGAGAGAGAGAGUUACCUCAAGAUCAGGGCAACGGUAAAACAGAGGAUCUCUAGCAUCAACAACCAUAACAAUCUGAAAGAGAAGUAAAAAAAGAGCCAAUUAUAUUCCGAAAUGAACUUAACCCAUUCAAAUGGGCUCUAGGAGGCGAAAAUGGCAUACCAAAUCACUUCGUUCAAGAACUCGCCAAAGUUGUCUCCAUAUGUCAAGGUUCUUCUCGAAUGGUGUCAGCACAAGCUUUUCAUUUUCCUCGAGGCUGAUUGAAUGCAGGAAAACAAAUAGGUAUGCUUUAAGUGUAUAUCACCAUGUCCCCAAGGAGAAUUGCACAUAAUAAAAUCAAACCACGCAUCUAAAACAGCAGCAAAAUAACAUCUUGAAUGAGCUAUAACUGUUUUGUUACUCUAUUCCAAAAUAUUGAACUUACAAAUGCAUUCCCAAAGAAGUUCAGAUUCUCAAAGGCUAUUUAGAGAUAAGAACACAAACUCAUAGCAUAAGAGCCAAAUUUAUCCACAAUAAUAACAAACAAACAAAAAAAAUCAUUCUCAACUAAAGCAAUCAUGGUUAUAGCGAUGGCUAAAAGAUUGCAGUUUUGUAUCUCAUUUGUAUACACUGAUGCAAGUAUGAAUUCUUCACAACUUUCUCAUCCUUUUAACCAUUCGUUUUCUUAAUACACAAACAUUGUAGCAAAGCAUUUGAACACUUUGCAUAUGAUUAAUCCCAAAUUCUACUAACAACAACAACAACGAAGAAGAAGAAGAAGAUAGAGAACCCUUUAGAUGAGGUGAAAACAGAACAAACCUGACAAGUUUGCGGCGCCAAGAGAGAAAAGCUUGUUUUUCAUUAGCAUCAAGUUGUUCCACAUUCAUUUUAGGCGUCCAAGGAGGUCUGAAUAUUAACAAAUAGAACAUCACUAAACCGAACAGACUCUAUAUUGACUCCAUAACAACAACCCAAAGAAGCAAAAGAGACCUUCUAGGAACUUGAAGACUACUAGCAUGUAAAGCCUCCUCUCUCAUCCGCUGCUCUUUCCACUCUUUAGCCGUUACACCACUCGAGCUCGAACCUGCGUCCCUGUUUUUCACCAAAACGAAAGAAGAAGAUCAACAACAACACACUAGAGAGAAAGGAUUCAAAAUCGAUCUUACAUAUUGAUGGGGAGAGGCGUUGCGGAUUCGUGAUGAAUAGCGUAAAGACGCUCAGCUUCCUCGGCUUGCUCGAUGAUGGCGUCGAUGUCGCUGACCUCCGUGACGGAUUCGAGAACCUUCUUGUUUUGGGACUUGUAGUGUUUCCCUUUAUCCUUGGUUUCCUGGAUCGCGUGGUUGUGGUGCUUCACUAGGGAUCGGCCUAGAGAUGUCUUCUCGUUCUUCCCCAUUUUCGGAUUUUUGGCGGAGAUUGGAGGAAAGAUUGAUUGAACGAUCUUUUUGUGUGUUUCUCGAAAGAGAUAUUUCAAUGUUCGUAAAGGCUCGUCGUGUGAAGCCGACGGAUGUAGCCGCCGUGUGGGGCGAAAUUUAAUAAAAAAAGUAAAAUGUAGGGUUCGAAGGGUAAUUACUCAAUACUGCAAACGGUUUACUUACCCUUGUUGUUCGGGUUUAUUUCAAUUGUCCGGUUUAAUCAUCUCGUUUUGCAAUUCCGGUCUGUUUGAUUGGAGCAGUGCAAUGUGUUUGUGGUGCUUCACUAGGGUCUCUUCAUCUCUUUCUCUCUAUCAUCAUUAUCUUUAUUUCUUUUAAGCCAUCUAAUUAAUUUUUGGUUUAUCCAUCUUUGAAAACUUCGGUGAGUUUUUAGAUCGGUUUAAAUCGUCCUUAGAGUUGCUGCUAUUUCAGUCUCAGAACAUAGACAUGUUUGUGUCUUACAAUUGUCCCGUGGGAUUGUGGCUCAUGCUAUGCAUAUUUUUAUGAUUUUAGAGAAUAGAGUAGGUAUUGAGAGAUUAAAGGUAGAUUAGAGAAGGUUAAUGGGAGAUUUGUAGACAGAUUAGGUAGUAAUUAUGUUUAAGAGUAUUUAAGAAUCAUCAUGAACAAGAGAGUUUAAAGAGAUAAUCUCAUAAUUCUUAAUUAUUAAUCUGAUCAGAGUUUACAAUAUAUAUGAAGAGGCAACAAUAGGAUGAGGGUUUCAUAAAGUAGCACUAUUACCAAAGAUAAGAUUUGCUUUAAUUCAAACUUUUCAAUGAGCUUCUUCCUUGUGCAUAAAGCUCCUUUUGCUUUAUCCAGCUCUUCUCCAGCCUGUCACACGCGCCUCCUCUUCCCUUGCAACGGACUGAUGCCUUAGCUAAGGGAAUAGGGCUUCUCUUCUUCUUCUUCCAAAGUUACCCGGGUAACUAGUAUAACUAGUAUACUAGUAAGUUACUCGGGUAACUAGUAUUACUACGGCCUCUUCAUCAUACCCAACUCCUCAUGUCUUUCUCUUCCUAUAUAUUGAUCUCAUCUCAACACUCCCCCCCCCAAGCUCAGCUUUGUGAAAGUCUAAGCUUGGAUAGCCAUGAGAUCUUCCUCAUUAAAAACCUCACCAAGGAAAACCCAUUGGGACAAAACCUUGAUGAGGGAAAAAGAGUAAAGACCUCAUGACUUAGGGGAUCAGCUCCUUCUCUUCCCAAGAUCUAUGAGUUCUAAUCUGAUGUGAAUGGACUCCAUAGUCUUUUGUCUUGCAUGCUAAUUCCCUAAAACACGUGUUGGCUUCCUCUACGUGGUAAGUUUUGUGGCUCAUUAAAAUACCUACCAUGCUAAAAAUGACGAUACAUAAACUUAGGGAAGUAACUAAAUUUCUCCAAAGUCCAAAGCUAUGAAAAUAGAGGUGAAAAUGCAAACAUUAAGAUCGUGAUCUUGCUUGAAAAAGACAAGAAACCUUGCAUGUGCACAUUGAUCAAUCAAUGCACGAGUAAUGCUGAAGGAUGAAAAGGUCAAAAGGUUUAGAAGAUCAACACCUAAGAAACACACAUUCGGUUGGUUGACAACGUUUAUAAACGAAACUAGUCAAAGCUGCUAUGCGUACGAGUAAGCGAUCUAUAUAUAUAUUAGCGAUCUAUAUUAUGUCAAUCGCACAAAGACUUUGUGACCAGCAUCGACCUGGAAAAGUCUCGAUAAUUUCACAAGGACACAACAUAUAACACUUCCACAAUAAGAAUCCAACACUGUUAUUUUCAGGCAUUUUUGAUCAAUACAUUGAAACCGAUUAGUUUUUCCUCAGUGGCUGCUUCUUGUGCUGUUUAUGCGAGUCUACUUGUUUCUUCUUGGAAGACCCAAGCCCAUUUGCAAGAUCAAACGAGCUCAAAUCCUCUAAAACUUGAUCAAGCCCAAGCCCACGAGCUUCUUCACUAACCUCAGACACUGAACCACCAUCUCCAGUUUCGCCCGUCUCGUUUUCAUCAUCUUCGGGAGGCAUUGCAAAAUGUGGAAGCUUACCUUCAAUGUAGUCUUUCAAAAUCUGCCUAGCAGCUCUCGUCUCAUCAGGCAGUCCACUAGCGGCAACGUACCCACGAGACAGGCAGUAAGUUCUAAGAAGCUCCGAGGCAAGAGGUGGACGGAACCGAGACUCAUAGCUUUUGGGUUUAGGCAAAGAGAUGUUGUACACUCCCUCGAUAACAUCUCGAGGAACACGUUCAGCCACAACCUUAACAGCUUCGCGGUGCUCCGUCAUCCUGUCUAUCGGAAGCACUCCGCAAGCGAUCAUUUCGUAUCUCGAACUCGAGAACGAAGGGAAGACCAGACCGGGGCAAUCGCAGAGCAUCAGCUCCUCGGAGAUGAUCAAUGUCUGGAAGUGCUUUGUCUUCCCUGGGGUGGAUGUGACGCCUGUCCGCUUCUGACCCACCAGUGCAUUGAUCGUUGAACUCUUCCCCACGUUAGGGUACCCAACGAAGCCGACCACAACACGUUCUCGGUGCGAAUACGCAGAAGCUUUCCUCCUUUUCGCUAUCUCCUGAGCCUCGAGUUUUAACCGAUCCAGAAGCUCGUCUCUUCCGUAUACUUUAACGGAAGGAUCAUCUGUGUUGUGUGAGGUUUCAGGUGAUGUCGUCCACUUUUCUUUUAAGGGUUUGCCUUCUAAGGUAGCAGUAGCAGCUUUGGCUGACCAGAAGACGAAUAAAAUGUUGUUGCGGGUGAAGUAGUCCGCCCACUUCUCCCUGUGUUAACAAUCCAAAUUGGUUAGCCAAAAUAAAAAGAGGUUAGAGAAAAAGAGGCAAGGGGCAAGUUUACCUGACGUAAGGAGGUAAGAGAUCCGCCUUGUUUACAAGAAGCAUUGUUUCUUUAUGCUCAUCAAUUUCUCGUGCAUAUGCCUGUAAAUGAUUGGUGGAUCAAUGAAAACUCUAUUAAGAGAAAGCUGCAAGUUGGCAGAGAGAGAGAGAGAGAGAGAGAGAGUUACCUCAAGAUCAGGGCAACGGUAAAACAGAGGAUCUCUAGCAUCAACAACCAUAACAAUCUGAAAGAGAAGUAAAAAAAGAGCCAAUUAUAUUCCGAAAUGAACUUAACCCAUUCAAAUGGGCUCUAGGAGGCGAAAAUGGCAUACCAAAUCACUUCGUUCAAGAACUCGCCAAAGUUGUCUCCAUAUGUCAAGGUUCUUCUCGAAUGGUGUCAGCACAAGCUUUUCAUUUUCCUCGAGGCUGAUUGAAUGCAGGAAAACAAAUAGGUAUGCUUUAAGUGUAUAUCACCAUGUCCCCAAGGAGAAUUGCACAUAAUAAAAUCAAACCACGCAUCUAAAACAGCAGCAAAAUAACAUCUUGAAUGAGCUAUAACUGUUUUGUUACUCUAUUCCAAAAUAUUGAACUUACAAAUGCAUUCCCAAAGAAGUUCAGAUUCUCAAAGGCUAUUUAGAGAUAAGAACACAAACUCAUAGCAUAAGAGCCAAAUUUAUCCACAAUAAUAACAAACAAACAAAAAAAAUCAUUCUCAACUAAAGCAAUCAUGGUUAUAGCGAUGGCUAAAAGAUUGCAGUUUUGUAUCUCAUUUGUAUACACUGAUGCAAGUAUGAAUUCUUCACAACUUUCUCAUCCUUUUAACCAUUCGUUUUCUUAAUACACAAACAUUGUAGCAAAGCAUUUGAACACUUUGCAUAUGAUUAAUCCCAAAUUCUACUAACAACAACAACAACGAAGAAGAAGAAGAAGAUAGAGAACCCUUUAGAUGAGGUGAAAACAGAACAAACCUGACAAGUUUGCGGCGCCAAGAGAGAAAAGCUUGUUUUUCAUUAGCAUCAAGUUGUUCCACAUUCAUUUUAGGCGUCCAAGGAGGUCUGAAUAUUAACAAAUAGAACAUCACUAAACCGAACAGACUCUAUAUUGACUCCAUAACAACAACCCAAAGAAGCAAAAGAGACCUUCUAGGAACUUGAAGACUACUAGCAUGUAAAGCCUCCUCUCUCAUCCGCUGCUCUUUCCACUCUUUAGCCGUUACACCACUCGAGCUCGAACCUGCGUCCCUGUUUUUCACCAAAACGAAAGAAGAAGAUCAACAACAACACACUAGAGAGAAAGGAUUCAAAAUCGAUCUUACAUAUUGAUGGGGAGAGGCGUUGCGGAUUCGUGAUGAAUAGCGUAAAGACGCUCAGCUUCCUCGGCUUGCUCGAUGAUGGCGUCGAUGUCGCUGACCUCCGUGACGGAUUCGAGAACCUUCUUGUUUUGGGACUUGUAGUGUUUCCCUUUAUCCUUGGUUUCCUGGAUCGCGUGGUUGUGGUGCUUCACUAGGGAUCGGCCUAGAGAUGUCUUCUCGUUCUUCCCCAUUUUCGGAUUUUUGGCGGAGAUUGGAGGAAAGAUUGAUUGAACGAUCUUUUUGUGUGUUUCUCGAAAGAGAUAUUUCAAUGUUCGUAAAGGCUCGUCGUGUGAAGCCGACGGAUGUAGCCGCCGUGUGGGGCGAAAUUUAAUAAAAAAAGUAAAAUGUAGGGUUCGAAGGGUAAUUACUCAAUACUGCAAACGGUUUACUUACCCUUGUUGUUCGGGUUUAUUUCAAUUGUCCGGUUUAAUCAUCUCGUUUUGCAAUUCCGGUCUGUUUGAUUGGAGCAGUGCAAUGUGUUUGUGGUGCUUCACUAGGGUCUCUUCAUCUCUUUCUCUCUAUCAUCAUUAUCUUUAUUUCUUUUAAGCCAUCUAAUUAAUUUUUGGUUUAUCCAUCUUUGAAAACUUCGGUGAGUUUUUAGAUCGGUUUAAAUCGUCCUUAGAGUUGCUGCUAUUUCAGUCUCAGAACAUAGACAUGUUUGUGUCUUACAAUUGUCCCGUGGGAUUGUGGCUCAUGCUAUGCAUAUUUUUAUGAUUUUAGAGAAUAGAGUAGGUAUUGAGAGAUUAAAGGUAGAUUAGAGAAGGUUAAUGGGAGAUUUGUAGACAGAUUAGGUAGUAAUUAUGUUUAAGAGUAUUUAAGAAUCAUCAUGAACAAGAGAGUUUAAAGAGAUAAUCUCAUAAUUCUUAAUUAUUAAUCUGAUCAGAGUUUACAAUAUAUAUGAAGAGGCAACAAUAGGAUGAGGGUUUCAUAAAGUAGCACUAUUACCAAAGAUAAGAUUUGCUUUAAUUCAAACUUUUCAAUGAGCUUCUUCCUUGUGCAUAAAGCUCCUUUUGCUUUAUCCAGCUCUUCUCCAGCCUGUCACACGCGCCUCCUCUUCCCUUGCAACGGACUGAUGCCUUAGCUAAGGGAAUAGGGCUUCUCUUCUUCUUCUUCCAAAGUUACCCGGGUAACUAGUAUAACUAGUAUACUAGUAAGUUACUCGGGUAACUAGUAUUACUACGGCCUCUUCAUCAUACCCAACUCCUCAUGUCUUUCUCUUCCUAUAUAUUGAUCUCAUCUCAACACUCCCCCCCCCAAGCUCAGCUUUGUGAAAGUCUAAGCUUGGAUAGCCAUGAGAUCUUCCUCAUUAAAAACCUCACCAAGGAAAACCCAUUGGGACAAAACCUUGAUGAGGGAAAAAGAGUAAAGACCUCAUGACUUAGGGGAUCAGCUCCUUCUCUUCCCAAGAUCUAUGAGUUCUAAUCUGAUGUGAAUGGACUCCAUAGUCUUUUGUCUUGCAGCCUUGGUGAACACAUCUGCCAACUGAUCUUCACUUCUUGUAUAACAUGGCAAGAUCACUCCCAAGACUAUCAUCUGCCUCACCUUGUGGCAAUCUACUUCAAUGUGCUUCGUCCUCUCAUGAAACACUGAGUUUGUAGCAAUGUGAAUAGCCGCCUGAUUGUCACAAUGCAUAGUCAUUGGUGUUGCUUGCUCAAUCUCCAAGUGCCUAAGAAUCCCUUUGAUCCAUACCAACUCGUUGGUAAGCUUUAGCAUAGCUCUAUACUCAGCUUCANNNNNNNNNNNNNNNNNNNNNNNNNNNNNNNNNNNNNNNNNNNNNNNNNNNNNNNNNNNNNNNNNNNNNNNNNNNNNNNNNNNNNNNNNNNNNNNNNNNNNNNNNNNNNNNNNNNNNNNNNNNNNNNNNNNNNNNNNNNNNNNNNNNNNNNNNNNNNNNNNNNNNNNNNNNNNNNNNNNNNNNNNNNNNNNNNNNNNNNNNNNUACUUGAUGGUGAAGAUCCACUUGCAUGACACAGCUCUCUUCCCCUUAGGCAACUCACUCUCAUACCAUGUAUCAUUUCUAAUCAUGGCAUCAGCCUCAUCAUUGACUGAAUCUCUCCACUCUUGAAUCAUCAUUGCUUCUUCAUAGCUUCUUGGCACAUAGCUUUCAUCUAAGCUUACCAUAAAGGAGUAGUGCUCUUCCGGAAACUCAGCAAAGGAGCACACAGCUUGGGAAGGAUGUUCCACAGCCUGGGCAUUGUAUAACACUCUCGUGUUUACCCAGUUUCUUGUGUUUGUCCACUUGGAAGCAUCCCUCCUUACUCGUGUGCUUCUUCUCAAAGAAACUUCUACUUGUUCCUCAACAGCUUCCUCUUAUAGCUGAAUUUCUUCUCCAGCUUCCUGACCUUCAUUCUGAACUUCUCUUCCUGAUUCAUCUCCACUUUGGACAGGAGAAUCUGAGCCUUGAUCUUCUAGACCUCCAGCUUUUUCUGAGCCUUGAUCUUUUAACCCUUCAGCUUCAGAUUCACUUCCCCCCUCAUGUUCAAAGUGGGUUGGUUCUUCAGCGGCCACUUGAGUAGGCUCUUCAUGCCUGCUCUGAUCCUGGGACACGCAAAUACCGAGUUCUUCUAGUAUGUUUCUCAAACUAGCAGCUCUAUCUGAUGGUUGAGAAAGCCCUUCAAGCUCCUCCCAAUUCUUCUCUUCAUAAUACCCUUUAUCUUCCAUGAAUUUCACAUCCCUAGACACCAAGACUCUUCUAGCAGUGGGAUCAAAACACUUGUAUCCCUUUUGAGAUGCGGAAUAUCCAAUAAGCAUAGUCUUGGUGCUCUUUGCUUCAAGUUUGUUUCUCAUCUCUCCUGGCACCAGUACAUAGCACACACACCCAAAUGUCCUCAAGUGAUCUAGAACUGGUCGACUCUUGUUGAGUACCUUAAAUGGAGACUGAUCCUCUAGGAUUCUGGUUGGUAUCCUAUUGAUUAGAUAGCAAGCAGUCAUCACAGCAUCACUCCAGAAUCUCUUAGGGACACUCUUGUGGAACAUCAUUGAACGGGCCACUUCCAUGAGGUGUCGGUUCUUCCUUUCAGCAACUCCAUUCUGUUGUGGAGUGUAAGGACAGCUAGUCUGAUGUAGAAUCCCAUGUUGAGCUAGGUGAUCUUUGAAUGNNNNNNNNNNNNNNNNNNNNNNNNNNNNNNNNNNNNNNNNNNNNNNNNNNNNNNNNNNNNNNNNNNNNNNNNNNNNNNNNNNNNNNNNNNNNNNNNNNNNNNNNNNNNNNNNNNNNNNNNNNNNNNNNNNNNNNNNNNNNNNNNNNNNNNNNNNNNNNNNNNNNNNNNNNNNNNNNNNNNNNNNNNNNNNNNNNNNNNNNNNNNNNNNNNNNNNNNNNNNNNNNNNNNNNNNNNNNNNNNNNNNNNNNNNNNNNNNNNNNNNNNNNNNNNNNNNNNNNNNNNNNNNNNNNNNNNNNNNNNNNNNNNNNNNNNNNNNNNNNNNNNNNNNNNNNNNNNNNNNNNNNNNNNNNNNNNNNNNNNNNNNNNNNNNNNNNNNNNNNNNNNNNNNNNNNNNNNNNNNNNNNNNNNNNNNNNNNNNNNNNNNNNNNNNNNNNNNNNNNNNNNNNNNNNNNNNNNNNNNNNNNNNNNNNNNNNNNNNNNNNNNNNNNNNNNNNNNNNNNNNNNNNNNNNNNNNNNNNNNNNNNNNNNNNNNNNNNNNNNNNNNNNNNNNNNNNNNNNNNNNNNNNNNNNNNNNNNNNNNNNNNNNNNNNNNNNNNNNNNNNNNNNNNNNNNNNNNNNNNNNNNNNNNNNNNNNNNNNNNNNNNNNNNNNNNNNNNNNNNNNNNNNNNNNNNNNNNNNNNNNNNNNNNNNNNNNNNNNNNNNNNNNNNNNNNNNNNNNNNNNNNNNNNNNNNNNNNNNNNNNNNNNNNNNNNNNNNNNNNNNNNNNNNNNNNNNNNNNNNNNNNNNNNNNNNNNNNNNNNNNNNNNNNNNNNNNNNNNNNNNNNNNNNNNNNNNNNNNNNNNNNNNNNNNNNNNNNNUUCAAGAAGAGGGACAUCAAGAGAUCCUUGCAGCACGGAGAGCACCAUCAAGUCUUCUUGCACCCACUUCUUUGCUUCAGCUUUGGUGAGAGUCUUUUCCUCUUCACCUUCUUCAGUUUCUUUGGCCACUGGCUUCAGACCAUCAUCAGUGAUGUGGCUCCACAGCCCUAGCCUUCCAAUGGCAGUCUUCACCAAUCUAGACCACAAGAGGUAGUUUGAACCACCCUUCAACGCAACCGGGACAGUAACUAGCUUGCUGAAGUUGUUUCCUUCCAUCUUCUCUUGCUUGAACCAGAAAUUACCAGAAGUUACCAGAAAGCUUCAAACUUGCAACUCAGCUGAAGAACACACAGUACCAGACUUCAAGAACACACGAACUCAAAGCACAACACCACAAGACUCAACUUUAUCACACAGCUUCACAGAACCCUCAAGAACAAAAGAGCAAGAACACAAGGACACAAGAGCUAGAGAAAGAAAGAAAUGGAACGAGGUUUCUCAAUACCAAAGCCAACCAGGCUCUGAUACCAUAUGAUUUUAGAGAAUAGAGUAGGUAUUGAGAGAUUAAAGGUAGAUUAGAGAAGGUUAAUGGGAGAUUUGUAGAGAGAUUAGGUAGUAAUCAUGUUUAAGAGUAUUUAAGAAUCAUCAUGAACAAGAGAGAGAGUUUAGAGAGAUAAUCUCAUAAUUCUUAAUUAUUAAUCUGAUUAGAGUUUACAAUAUAUUUGAGGAGGCAACAAUAGGAUGAUGGUUUCAUAAAGUAGCACUAUUACAAGAGAUAAGGUUUGCUUUAAUUCAAACCAUCCAAUGAGCUUCUUCCUUGUGCAUAAAGCUCCUUUUGCUUUAUCCAGCUCUUCUCCAGCCUGUCACACGCGCCUCCUCUUCCCUUGCAACGGACUGAUGCCUUAGCUAAGGGAAUAGGGCUUCUUUUCUUCUUCUUCCAAAGUUACCCGGGUAACUAGUAUAACUAGUAUACUAGUAAGUUACUCGGGUAACUAGUAUUACUACGGUCUCUUCAUCAUACUCAACUCCUCAUGUCUUUCUCUUCCUAUAUAUUGAUCUCAUCUCAACAAUUUUUACAUACAUAUAUGUUGUAAUGGUAAAAUAUUAUUCCAAUCUAAAUUCCAGCUGAACAACAUAUUUGUACAAAUAUGAAUCAAAUUUUGAUUGGAAUUAUUAGUAACUCCAACUAAGACAUAAAUGAACGUGAAUUGUUAUCAAUGCAAAUGUGAGCACUAAUUUUAUUAUAUUCAGUUCACAAAACUGAGCAUUUGUUUUCUAUUUUCUCUACUUCUUUUUGAGUGAUUCAUUGAAUGCUAAAGUAGUCAUGACCAGAGUGUUUUAGGGUGAUUCAAGCCCCCAUUGAUUGAGUGAGUCAAUUUGUCCAUCAUCAUUAUCUCGACUACGAUUCCAUCUUCCACAUCAGAGCUGGCAAGUCUAUUGAGAUUAAGUGUUUAGAGCACUGGAGUGAUUCCAAGGCGGUAUCACCACUGUUGAGCUAGUUGGUUUGAUUCAAGGUGUUGACUUGGCGGUGACUUAGUGAAUCCGUAGAAGAAAGCUCUAGCGGUUAAUUUGUUGACCAUGAUGUAAUUAGAUAAGUGAGAAGAGGCAACACUGAAUUAGCGGGGUGUUAUUGGAUGAAUUCCCCUUGAGGGGUUCAUUAUAUUAGAUAGGCUAUAUAAAGCCAAAGUUGUUACACAUAUCACGUUAUACAGUUGAGAUAUUAACGAGAUAGAUACUAGAGAAUUAGGAAUAUUCUCUUAUAUUCUUUCACCCUCCCGCAGUCGAAGCAUCGUAUGGUAAGAUGGUGAGACUGGAGCGGAACUGUUCAAAGAGUGUUGUCGGGAGUCCUUUUGUGAAGAUGUCCGCAUAUUGGAGUGAUGUUGGGACGUGUAACACUUUCACUUCACCAAUGGCCACCUUCUCGCGAACGAAAUGGAUAUCCAACUCCACGUGUUUUCUCCUUUGAUGUUUGACGUGGUUAGAAGAUAGGUAUACUGAUCCAAUGUUGUCGCAGUAGAUGAGAGAGGCUUUGUUCAUCUUGUAGUGGAGUUUAAGCAUUAGGUUCAGUAUCCAGCAGAGUUCUGCAACCGUGUUGGCCACGCCUUUGUAUUCAGCUUCAGAGCUCGAUAUUGAAACCGUUGGUUGUCUCUUAGCUGACCAGGAGACAAGACUUGGGCCGAGAAAGACACAGAACCCUGUGGUUGAUCUUCGAGUAUCAGGACAACCUCCCUAGUCCGCAUCUGUAUAGGUUGUCAAUGUGUCGAUAUUACCUCUAUAGAGCUGUUGUCCAUGUGAAAUUGUACCCUUGACAUAUCGUAUGAUGCGCUUCAAUGCUUGAAAGUGUGGAACGCGAGGGUCAUGCAUAUAGAGACAAAUUUGAUGGACUGCGUAGGAGAUGUGGGGCGUGUGAAUGUGAGGUACUGUAAGGCACCUGCUAAGCUGUGAUAUUCUGUGGGGUUCUCAAGCUUGUCUCCUUCCUCUGCUGAAAGUUUGGAUUUGAUGUCUACGGGCGUGGUGACCGGUUUUGACGUUCCCAUGUUUGCGCGAUCGAUUAUGUCCUGAGCAUACACGCUUUGACUAAGGAAGAGGCCUUCUUUGUUGAAGUCUGCCUUUAUUCCUAGGAAGUGCUGAAGACGACCAAGAUCAGUCAUGGGAAAUUCGGUUUGAGUGCCACAAUGAUCUUGUUUAGGAGUGUCGUUGAUGAUGCUGUUAAGACAAUGUCAUCAACGUAUAACAGAAUGUAUGCGAGUUCAGCUCCUUUCAUGAAAACAAAUAAAGAUGUAUCCGCCCUGCUAAUGACAAAGGCAAGUUUCAUUAGAAAUUUUGCAAAGUGCGCAUUCCAGGCCCGUGGAGCUUGCUUUAGGCCAUAGAUAGCCUUUCGAAGCUUGCAGACAUGGUUGGGAUGUUCUUUGCUGACAAAACCCGGCGGCUGAUGCAUGUAGAUUGUCUCCUCUAGGUCACCAUGGAGGAAGUCGUUUUGUAUCGGCCAGUUGUUUGCGACACCAAUGUAGAGUACAGUCCGAAUGGUUGCUGGUUUCACCACCGGGCUAAAAGUUUCGUCAAAGUCAAUACCUGCCUCUUGUGAUUUACCAUUCGCGACUAUAUGAUACUUGUGCUUCUUGAGCUUCCCAUUUCCAUCAUAUUUGUGUCUGUGGAGCCACAUUGACUUGAUAAUAUUGACAUUUUUCGGAUGUGGUACCAAGUCCCAAGUCCUAGUCUUAAGCAUAGCACCAUAUUCAUCAAACAUUGAUGUGUUCCAGUUUGGGUCGGCUAAGGCUUGGAUAUGGCUCUUUGGUAGUGGUAAGAAGAGAAACAAUAGGUUUAGGUUUUGUGAUUCCAGACCAUGCUCUCGUUGUCAUUGGGUGACGAGAUGGAGCUGUCUGAAUGGGGUUAAUGGGUGGGUUGGGUUAUGGUGGCUGAGGCGCGGGUAGAGGUUUGGUAUGUAUGGUUUUGAAAAUGGGUGCGGGUUCAUCUUGAUGGUCAAGAAAGUGAUACUUUGAACCAUCAUUUUUUGUUUCUGCAGCAGGGAGUUUGUCCUCAUCAAAGUAGACGUGUCUAGAGAGGAUUAUUUUGUUGGUUUUUAAGUUUAGACAGCGGUAACCACGGUGUUGAGAUGGGUAGCCAAGAAAUAGGCAAGGUGUAGAGCGAGGUGAGAGUUUAGAGAGAUGGGAAUGGUUGAGGUUUGGAAAGCAUAAGCAACCAAACACUCUUAAAUGGUCAUAAGUUGGGGUUUGAUG
RNAcentral lists this long non-coding RNA (97514 nucleotides) under Brassica napus (rape). RNAcentral's name for it is "long non-coding RNA (BNAP_LNC021023)". The stretch from base 61409 to 61515 matches the Rfam family "Plant small nucleolar RNA R71". Lineage: Eukaryota; Viridiplantae; Streptophyta; Magnoliopsida; Brassicales; Brassicaceae. The record is from RNAcentral.